Molecule: long non-coding RNA, 118869 nt
Filed under: Jatropha curcas
Lineage: Eukaryota; Viridiplantae; Streptophyta; Magnoliopsida; Malpighiales; Euphorbiaceae
Description: long non-coding RNA (JCUR_LNC001849)
Rfam family: Bacterial small subunit ribosomal RNA (bases 61885-61999)
Source: RNAcentral
UUUUUUUUUUUUUUUUUUUUUUUUUUUGUUCAAGGAAGAUGGAAUUUAAGCAAUUAUCCUAGUUUAGGUUCAAUAUGAUUUUGAUAUAUAGAUCAUAGAAAAGGUACCCAAGAAUGUAGCAAAAGCAUAAUAAUGUGAAAUUACAAGCUGUCAUCAAUCUUUGAAAUUAAACAGCCAGAAUCCUUUUUCCCCCUUGUUUUUUCCUGAUACAACAGAUAUAGGAAAAAGAAAAUUAAAGCUAAAACUUUCGGCAGAUUUUGUUUAAUUAGCCUUUACUUAAAACCAGAAAACCCAUUUUUUCUCAUAAUUAAUGUAAUUAUGUGGCAAUUAAUGAAUAAAAAUAAAAAAAUAAAAAGAAGUUUCCAAAUAGAAUAGAAUGUCUUUUAUUUCUAAAGGUAGAUGAUAGCGACAUGAAAGCUUUUAUCAUGCGUGUCCUCACAAGGAAAACAUAGUAUCAGACAAUCUGACAGUGGAGGAAAUUGAAAAAAAAAAAAAAAAAACGGAAAAUAGAAAAAAAAAAAGACAAAAGAGGCAACUUCACUGGUUUGUUGUUUUUAAGUGAAAAUUAUCUGUUCAAAACCCUAACCCUAUUUUUCACAUGCUUGUACUUUCUUUUUUUUUUUUUUUUUUUCUUGGUUGCAGGAGUCAUCCAUUGCAAACCCACAAGAGCCUGAAUGGUUGAAGUACUCUCCCUUCUGGCCAGAACCUGACAACCAGGAUCAUCAUGGAUAGGAGCAAAAAUAAUAGAGAAUAAACAAAAAAGAAAAAGGAAAAAAAAAACCCUCAUAAACAACAUCAUUAUUAUCAUCAUCGUUAGUACUUAAUUAAAGCCCUCACACAAGUUCUUUUCAAGAAGAGGCCAAGAAACCAUCUCUGCGGUUUGCUCUUUUUCCUUCUUUUUUUCUUUCCCUCUUGAGGGGGCCUGCCUCAGGUUCCAAUGGCUCCCAACUGAACUAACUGUACAACAGUCCAUGUUGGAAAGAAGGAAAGAAAGAACAAAAGGAAAAAGGAAGAAAAAGAUAAGAAAGCAAGAAAGGCUGCUCUCUACUGACAAUAGAAGGAGAACCAAAGACCCAAAGCAAAAAUCUCUGUGCAUGAAAAUCAUCACCAAUAUGAUUACACUAUCAUCUUUAUGGCUCUAUAUUUUUAUUAUUUUAUUUAUUUUAAGAUAUUGUAUAAGUUCUUUUAUUGUUCUUUGAAAAGGAAAAUACCCCAAUAGUUUGUGCAAAUUGCAGGGAGAUAAACUUUGUUAAUUUGUUGUGUUUAGUCACUUUUUAGUAAAAUACGAAUAGGAAUUUAUAUGAUGUCUCUUUUUAGAAAUGAAAAAUGUGCUAUACAGAAUUGUUUAAUCUCAUUCUUGCCUUGCUUUUUCUCUGCUGCUUCUUUUCAUAUGCAAGCAAAAUUCAAAGGGGCAGUCUCAUUCUCCUUUGCUUUGUUUAUUAUAUAUGAAUCUUUGCACGGUUUUAUAGAAAUUUGCAACAGUGCAAUACAACGUGCCUUGCUUUAGCUAGUUCUAUUAAUUAUUUUUUUUUCCUUUUCAUAAACCAUAACAUCAAUCUUCUAUUUCUAUAUACACACUCAUAGUGUUAAAAGUUACUGAAAUGAUAGAUUUAGUGUGUCUCUUAAAGAAAAGAAGAAGAAGAAGAAGAAGAAGAGUUGAUCCUUAAUUAGACAAGAUUUUGUGCAAUGAUGAUAACUUUUUUUUCUCCUAUAUGCGUGCCUAUAGUUCUAUGGACGCUCAUUAAUUGAUCAUAUAAAUAGAACAUGGCAUGCAUGCAUAUCACUUACAAUUUAAGCACACUUGAAAAGAGAGUUCGCUUUUUCUAUGCUAUAAUUCAUUCUUUGAAAUUAAAUCUUUUUCUUUCCUAUUCUCUCUUUUCUUUGGAAUUAAAUGGAAUUUUUUAUAAUAAUAAUAAAAAAAAUCAUAUCUUCAUCUAGCUUGUAACACAUUGUGUGCUCUACAAUUAGUGAAAGUUUAUCAUCAUUAAUUAUCUUUUUUUUUCAAAAAAAAAAAAAUCUUUUUUUUUUAAUACUUUCUUAUUUUCAGAGUCCUGUCAAUUUAGGCAUAAUUAUCCACAAUGAACGUUUAUCAAAGUAAAUGUUAAAGCAUGAUUCCUUUUGCUGAUGAUAAGAUACAUGAUAUUGACUGAUUAAUUAGUCCAAACAAUAAUUAAUUAUCUUGAUUAAACAAGAAAUGAAAAUUAUUUCCCUGCUUGCAUAAUCUAAUUGAUAUUGAAAUAUGACUAAUAGAAAGUAAAUAUACUUUAACAUGGAUUUUUUUUUUUUUAAGUAUUUUACUUUGAUGUGUAGUCCCCACUCCCCAACAUGUCAUUUCCACUUCACUAGACUCUUGUAAUUACACUAUUGGAUUGAAUUAAAGGUUUAAUUUGACAAUUAGUUAAAUAACAAUAACAUAUAUCGUUUUAACAAAUUAAGUUACAAAUAGGGGAAUGCCAUGUGGAUACACUUGCACCUAUCCUCUUUGCUCCAAAAAUAAAUUUCACAUCAUGUGAUUGGUGAUGUUUAUUUAUUCAUUCAAAAAAGAAAAGGAAAGUUUCUAUAAUUUAAAAUAUGAAAUUCCAGUUACAUGAUAUAAAAGCGAAGAAGAGAUUACAUGAGGAGGAUCAUGUAAGACAUAGGUACUUAAAUCAAAAUUCGCUAAAACAUCAGAUUAGUAUGAGAAAGGUUGCAAUUUCAAUUCGUAGGCAAGAAUUAUUUAUUCAUUCUGGUAAAAGCAAGCUUAAUUAUGUGUGUGUAUAUAUAGAGAAAAUACAGAAUUUAAGUGAGAGUCUCAUUUAAUUAUUUUGUUUUUAUUAGUUAGUUGCGAAACUUCUUUUGCUGCUUUAUUCUAUUCCAUAUUCGAGCUUUUAUGCUGUAUUAUAGAAGUAAAAGAUAUGGUUAUCUAACAGGGAAAUAGAGAAAGAGAGUAACGUGCAUGCUAUAUAUAUAUAUAUAUAUAUAUAUAUANNNNNNNNNNAAAAAAAAAAAAAAAAAAAAACAACAUGGGGACGUGCAUGAAAUAAAGUUAAAAAUGAACACGAAGCAUAGGCAACUUCAUCGUAGUUUCUGAAAGGAAUAAAGAAGGAAUAAAAGAAUGAGCAGACAAGAAUAACCUUUAACUUUGAAAUGACCCUUCCUUAAGUAAUGCAAUUUUUCCACUCAUUUUUGCUUAUAUGAAUAUAUCUAUUCUCUAUUAUACGAAGAUUUCAUGUUUUGUUAUUAUUAUAAUUAAAAUAAAAAUUUUAAUUAUGUAUAUACAGUAUAUUAUUCAUUACGGAAUGAUUCGAUAUCUAUAUCAGUUAAUUUAUAUUAAAAAAUAAAAUAAAAUGCAUGAAAUAGAAAAAGACAAGGGGGUUCAAGAUUCAUUAAUUAAUUUCUUAUAAAGUUUUGGAGAAUCCAAGCUCUACCUCUAAUUAAGUACUUUGCUAAAGAUUAAUCAACAAAUUAAAAGAGGAAGAUCCUACCAGUAAGAUAUGUGUAUAUACAUACACAUAAAAUAUUUAAUUAAUGGAAUGGAGAUGGGAGAAGUGUCUCUUUCCACAUGCAAAUUAUAAAAUUAAAAAAAAAAAAAAAAAAAAAAAAAAAAAAAAAAAAAAAAAAAAGACAGAAAAAGAAAAUAAGGAAUGAAAUGUCUUGUUCAACCUACAAAGGUGAUGGUGCAAUUCUUUCGCUUUAUGGAAGAUUUUGGGUGCUUUUAAAGUAUAUAUUAACAUAAUAGAGAGAGGGUUUCCCUCUCAGUAUUUGCAGAGAUUUGGUCCCAUAAAGAAGUUGCAGCAAGAAUUGUGUAGUGCAAGCAGGAAUAUCACAACAUGGGCAUACCGACUUUUGGGAUUCUUCACCUCAUCACAACAAUUUUUUUUUUUCUUUUUUUUUUUUUUUUUUUUUUUUUUGUAGAUGUACUUCCUCAGAUUUAGCCUGUGACACCUUCAAUUUGUACUUCCUCAGAUUUAGGUCUUCUAACUUUAUCCAGUUCCAAGUCAGUUGCAGUUUGUUUUCUGAUAGUGAAUGAAACUCAAUACUUUCUAAUCCUGAAAGUGACCCAUCACAGUUGCUUCUUUAACAAAGUUUUUACACAACCUUACCUGCCUCAUCGUUUUGUUUCUUACUAAGAAACUUACCAAUUCUCAAGUUUUACACAAUUAACUAGGACUUCUUUGUCUUGGUUUUGCCUUUUUCUGUAAUUAUUUUUAUAAUUUUCAAGAAAAAGUAAUCUUUAAUUUUUAAUACAUGUCUCUACGGGAAUUUGCUAGCUUAUUUCAUAGGUAACAUUUACUUUGCUAAACCAUAGGCAGUCUUAUUAUAUUCGAUUAAUAAAUAUAUAUAUAAAAAAAAAAUACGGUCUCAGAAUGUGGAGCUAAAAGUGAAUAUCUUAGAUAAUUGGGACAGCAUCUCCCUUCGAUCAUAAUUUUGGAUAGAACAAUAUUAGAAGCUUUGGAGGGUUGCUGCCUCUCCCAAGGCCAAUGCUUCCAAAUUGUACAAUUCGAGAUACGUUGGCCUUGAAUCUCUAAUUAUAACGCCACUAAUACGUACAGAUACGUUUUAGAUAAGAUUGCGACAGAUGCAUUACAGAAUGCCGUAAUUUUAUGUUUUUUUAAAAAAAAAAAUAAGAAGAUUGAUGCUUUAAAAGCAAGGGUACAUGGAUGCAGCCAUCCAUACGGCAAUUCAUGCUUACGAUCACGAAAUUGGGAAAGUUCCGUUAGUUCAACUUUUUAUUUUUAAAACUAUUUUAUAAAUUAAACAAUAUAUUUAACACAUAAAUUACUUUUUUUUUUAUAUCUUUUUCAUAUAGAAUAAUCCUAAUGUAUAAAUGUUUAUAAGAAAAAAAAUUACCCAUGCAGAGUAGAUACACCCUACUUUAAAAAGAAAAAAUCAUGUCACGUGCUUAUUUCAACUUUAGAUUUUGUUAUUACUAUUUGAUGAGUGCAAUAAUUUCACCGUAAAGCAGAUACUAACAUAAAGUUUCGAUUGCAAAUUCUCCAUACUCGAAAAGAAAAGCUAGUUGCAACUUGCAACUUGCAACUUGCAAUUGCUAGGGCGGUGAAUAACUGAGUUGAGCUCAGUGAACUCAAAUUUGACUAUGCUCUAUUGAAGUUUAAAAAUUCAAUUUAUUCAACAAAUAGCUAUGUUUGAACACGACUAAAUAACAGUAAACGAGCCGAGCUAAAUAAUUAAAUAAAAAUUAAGAUACUAUAUAAGUGGUGAACGUCACCAAAAACACAAACUCAGAAGGCAAAUAGAUCGAGAUUUUAAAAAAAAAUCCUUCAGUCAGAAACUGACACUUCAACAUCUUAACUAAGCACUGGGAAACAGUUGGGGUGUUAAAGAAUGUUCCUUACUUCACUGCUAAGAUAAUGGUUAGAUUUGUGAUGAAAAUUCUCAUUCGUGUACCCAUUUGAUUUUACAUCUGCAGCAAAUGAUUAAAUUUAACACCGUUUCUUCUGGUAAAUGAUCCAUCAAUAGAGACUACAAAGUUCAAAACUAAAUCACAACGCAAUCAAAUUGUUCGCCCAGUUGCCUUCACCGUGUAAUCAUAGCAAAGGACCCGUAACAUAAUGAACUGCUGAUAAGCCAGUUGCUUUCUAUACCUUGCCUUGCCUGCUGAUCGGCAAAAUGAACUGCUCUUGACAAAAGACCAACUAGAAAGGUACUUUUUCAUCAUCUUUUCAAAUGACGAUAAAACGCCCAAAAUGUAACAGAGAACCACAGGUUAUUAUAUUCUCAACUGACUAGAAAAUUUUUACAGAAGAUACACAGUUACGUACAGUUAGAUUCAAAUUAUUCAUCAACUGACAACUGUUGAUUGGUGAUCUAUGCAAUAUUGAAUCGAACUGCCUCUCUUCUGUUCAGUUUCUCUCAUAAGAGGAUUAACAUGAAACUUCCAAUGUCAUUCCAUGAUGCUUUUCUCUACAACAAAACAACCUCUCAACAUUUCACGGAGGAUUCGGUGAGUUAGCAGGCACGUGCCUCGGGCAUCUGGCCAGUAACAGGUCCACAAACACCAGAAACUUUCAAGGAAGCAAAGAGACAGGACAGCCUACCCAUCAUGAGCCUGGACUUAAGUUUAGGUACAAUUGCCAGUUCUUUGCCAACCGCAUCAUCAUCACAUGGACUAUGGUAUCCUUCAAGAUCUGCUUUUGUUAUCAGAACUGCAUCCCCAGAGGGAGAAUGAGCACUAGGAGGUUCUUGACGCCUAUUAUAUUCUUGAACAGCCUGAUUAUUAUCAACGCAGAGAAGCAAGGAGAAAAGGCAGAGACGGUGAGCCAAGGUCCUAAAAAAAUCUUAGAAUUGCUUUGGGUGCAACAAACUCAAUUACAAAAAAGACAUGCCAGCGUACCAAAGUCCAAAAAGAAGAGCAAAUUGCUUUCUUUUCUUAGGCUAGUGAAACUGCACAUACAACAACUAUCUAGCUCAUCAAAGAAAUAUUACAAGCAGCUAAGGGCAGUAGGUGCUUAAUGGAUAGAACAGUUAUAGACAAAUUCAAGUAAUAAUUUCAAGAAUGGAAUCCUAAAAUCACGCGGAAUUGGCUUCAAACACCUAAUCCAACACCGCAGGAAGUUCUCCUGAGAAUGAACAGCAGACCCUUGUAGUGUCAUGAGUGUCGCAAGUCUUAGCCUCAUACAAAAAGGACUUAACAAAAAUUUUCAGCACUUCCAAUGCUUUACAUUUCUACAUCCAACAAUUUUAAGGAGUUUUUAUACAUUACCUUCCAUUGUGAAGGAGCAAGCAACACCCGAGGUCUUCUAGAUCGCACAUAUUCUAGAGCAGCGUUAGGUGUCAUGUGCUUAUACUCUAUCUGUGAAAUAUAAUAAACUCCAUGUCAUAAAGUGAUCAAUCAGAAAAUGUCACUUCUAAUUAUUGUAUUAGCUGCUAAAGAAAGUUUAGGCUUAUCAACAACCUGCUUUGUAAGGAUUAAACAUACCAAAUAACAAAGCACAAUAGUUGUACUCCUUCCUCGCCCUGCUUUACAAUGAACGUAAGUAGUUCUACCACAUAAUGCAUUUUCUACAACCAGGAAGGAAAAAAAAUAGAAUCAAUCUCCCAUGUCAUAAGGGACAAGAAUGAAAAGGGCCACAAGGUGGGCAUUGAUCAACAGAGAUUUACUCACCAUGAAUGAAGCCCACAGCUCUGCUGAUAUCUACAAAAGAAGGAGCAAAAAGAUAAUCUCUUGUGGGAAUUACAAGGUGUUCAAUGUCAUGGUCCUGUAAAUCAUAAAACAAACUAUGGUAAGCAAUUAAGCCUUCAUAUCAAACUAACUUUGUUUAGGCCAAACUUGCUAUUAGUUGUUUAUUUUUCUAAGGCAACUUUGAAAAAGAAAGAUGCAAAAUUCCUUUAAAUUGUUUUUCUUUGUUUUCCUAUGACAGACUCACCUAGAUCAAGUUCAAACACACAAAAACAACCGGCAUAAGAAGAAAACUGGAAGAGAGUCAUUAUUAACUUUAAGAACAGACCAACAAACUUGGGAAGACAACAAGAAGAUCUAUAUUUUUUCAUGAAAGAAAUUAAACUAAAUUAGCAAAAAGCAAUUCAAUUAACCAGCUGCCCAACAAUCUAGCAUCUGAACCAUACAGUAAAGAAAAUAACCCACACGAUAUAGGGAUGAAGGAACCAAAGUUUCAUAAGGUUCAUUGAGUGUAAUGACGCCACCAACACCAAGCUGCUUCAAGCGUGGAACAUCCUUGGGGAAUGGAACCGCUCCCAGCAAAAGAUACUGCAAAGCAUAGAGAUGAAUAAUAACAUAUCAUUACAAUAAGCAAGACAUCGGGAACACUCUAUGUUAACAAUGUUAAGUCUUAUAUAACCUCUAAUAGAUUACAGAUAAAUCUUUUAAAACUUAGUCAAAAGGACUUACAAGGUCAUUGGAAGCAAUGCCAAAUGCAAGCUAAAUGUCAAAUUGAAUAUGCAGGAUAUAAGUAUUCAUUAUCUAUAUCCAAAUACAGUUUUCUUCUCAAUUAAGUGGAACUUUGUUUACAGAUAAAUAAUGCCCACCAAAUUCCGCGAUUUCUUUCAUUUUCUUGGCAACCAAACACAGGAUAAAUUAACAGACCAAAUUUAUCAAGAAUAAAAAAGAAAAUAAACAUAGAUAAUAAAAAAAUACAGAUAAUCAUUAAAAAAAAAAAACCUGGUCAAUUUCGUCCCACCAUCGGAACUCGGCUUGGAUUUUGUUCCUAAACACAUUAUACAAAAGGGUCGGAUAAAAGAGGAUCCGAGCACCGGCUCCGACCAGCGCUCUCUUGGCGUCCACACUCACCAUCUGCUUCGAGUGAACACUGUCGUUUUGACCCCGAUCGCAGUCCACGUCCUCCAAUUCCUCGAUCUUCAUACCUAGCCACGUACCCAAACCAAACACCCUAAUUUCACAAAUUCUGGUCAAGUUCACGAACAAAAUUCACAAAUUGGAUAGGACAAUAUCUUUUUUUGCAGUUUUUAAUUUCAAGUGCUAAAGUGAAAUAUAAGAGCAUCGAUCGAUGGAGAAGGAAAAUAAAGAGAAGUUUCUGGGUGCGGAAAUGCAAAGAAGAAAUUAGAAGGGACUGGUUGCUGAAUUGGAGCGGGAGCAAACCGGAAAAACCGAAAAAGUAAAUGCCCGGAAUUUGGAACUUCCAACCAACGGUUUUGGAAGGUAAUUUAGCAAGGGCAAAAGCAUAAAUUGAAGGUUUAAUAAUUUUAUAAUACAAAUUUAGUCACAUAUUUAAUAAUUUUUAUUAUAAUGAUUUGUUUUUCCUAGAAAUACUAAUAAGUGGAUAAUUAAAGUCUUAAGAUGGAAUUUAUCAAUAAGCUGUUCUUUCAGGUGGUAAGCGAUCUCAAUCACUGUUAAGGUGAGAACAUAGAUUUGAUCCAUGAGAAAUGCAUUUUACAGAAAGGGCAAAAGGCAAAAAACCUUUACAUUUUAUAGUCCGACGGAGAUUACACCUCCCGGUUAUACUUAAAAAACAAUCUUAAAAUGGGAUUUGGUUGAAAUAAAAAAUUAAGUGUUGAAUAAUAUACAAUUAUUAAAAAAAAUUUAGAUUGUAAAAAUGAAAUACUCCGAAUUUUUAUUUUCAAAACUUUUAAAUUUUUAUUAAAUCAAAAAUUUCGAUUUUUGAUUAUAUGGGCUUUAAACACCAAACAAUCUUAAAUUUGGGUCCAAAGUGUUGUGAGUUGGGCCCAAGCCCAAAUAUAUUGUCAGAAUUUUCGAUUUGAGAACAGUUAAAAAUUUUCAAGAAAUAAUAUGAAAGCAAUUUAAUCUGUUAUGAAUAUAUAUAAAUUAAUUAUCCUAAAAAUCAAAUAUCAUAAUUGUUCAUAUUUUAUUUAUAUUGAGUGAAUGGAGAAAAUAUUAUGGAACCAAACUAAAUAAUUAAAAUAAAUCGAACCAGGCCUUAAAACCAAAUUGAUCUUUCGAAAACCAAACAAAUAGCUUGAAAACCAAGUGAAAAAAACUGCAAACCGAGCAAAAAUUGAGGCGAAUCAUUAAACUAGACCAAACCGGUUCGAAUCGAACCGGAAUGGUCUAGAAGCCCCAAGAUUUUUUUUUUCUUUCUUUUCUUUUUCUUUUCUUUUUCUUUUCGUUUCCUUCUUCUUCCUUGCGCCAGCGCCAGGCGCGCGACAGCCCUCCCCCUCUCUUUUUUUUUNNNNNNNNNNNNNNNNNNNNNNNNNNNNNNNNNNNNNNNNNNNNNNNNNNNNNNNNNNNNNNNNNNNNNNNNNNNNNNNNNNNNNNNNNNNNNNNNNNNNNNNNNNNNNNNNNNNNNNNNNNNNNNNNNNNNNNNNNNNNNNNNNNNNNNNNNNNNNNNNNNNNNNNNNNNNNNNNNNNNNNNNNNNNNNNNNNNNNNNNNNNNNNNNNNNNNNNNNNNNNNNNNNNNNNNNNNNNNNNNNNNNNNNNNNNNNNNNNNNNNNNNNNNNNNNNNNNNNNNNNNNNNNNNNNNNNNNNNNNNNNNNNNNNNNNNNNNNNNNNNNNNNNNNNNNNNNNNNNNNNNNNNNNNNNNNNNNNNNNNNNNNNNNNNNNNNNNNNNNNNNNNNNNNNNNNNNNNNNNNNNNNNNNNNNNNNNNNNNNNNNNNNNNNNNNNNNNNNNNNNNNNNNNNNNNNNNNNNNNNNNNNNNNNNNNNNNNNNNNNNNNNNNNNNNNNNNNNNNNNNNNNNNNNNNNNNNNNNNNNNNNNNNNNNNNNNNNNNNNNNNNNNNNNNNNNNNNNNNNNNNNNNNNNNNNNNNNNNNNNNNNNNNNNNNNNNNNNNNNNNNNNNNNNNNNNNNNNNNNNNNNNNNNNNNNNNNNNNNNNNNNNNNNNNNNNNNNNNNNNNNNNNNNNNNNNNNNNNNNNNNNNNNNNNNNNNNNNNNNNNNNNNNNNNNNNNNNNNNNNNNNNNNNNNNNNNNNNNNNNNNNNNNNNNNNNNNNNNNNNNNNNNNNNNNNNNNNNNNNNNNNNNNNNNNNNNNNNNNNNNNNNNNNNNNNNNNNNNNNNNNNNNNNNNNNNNNNNNNNNNNNNNNNNNNNNNNNNNNNNNNNNNNNNNNNNNNNNNNNNNNNNNNNNNNNNNNNNNNNNNNNNNNNNNNNNNNNNNNNNNNNNNNNNNNNNNNNNNNNNNNNNNNNNNNNNNNNNNNNNNNNNNNNNNNNNNNNNNNNNNNNNNNNNNNNNNNNNNNNNNNNNNNNNNNNNNNNNNNNNNNNNNNNNNNNNNNNNNNNNNNNNNNNNNNNNNNNNNNNNNNNNNNNNNNNNNNNNNNNNNNNNNNNNNNNNNNNNNNNNNNNNNNNNNNNNNNNNNNNNNNNNNNNNNNNNNNNNNNNNNNNNNNNNNNNNNNNNNNNNNNNNNNNNNNNNNNNNNNNNNNNNNNNNNNNNNNNNNNNNNNNNNNNNNNNNNNNNNNNNNNNNNNNNNNNNNNNNNNNNNNNNNNNNNNNNNNNNNNNNNNNNNNNNNNNNNNNNNNNNNNNNNNNNNNNNNNNNNNNNNNNNNNNNNNNNNNNNNNNNNNNNNNNNNNNNNNNNNNNNNNNNNNNNNNNNNNNNNNNNNNNNNNNNNNNNNNNNNNNNNNNNNNNNNNNNNNNNNNNNNNNNNNNNNNNNNNNNNNNNNNNNNNNNNNNNNNNNNNNNNNNNNNNNNNNNNNNNNNNNNNNNNNNNNNNNNNNNNNNNNNNNNNNNNNNNNNNNNNNNNNNNNNNNNNNNNNNNNNNNNNNNNNNNNNNNNNNNNNNNNNNNNNNNNNNNNNNNNNNNNNNNNNNNNNNNNNNNNNNNNNNNNNNNNNNNNNNNNNNNNNNNNNNNNNNNNNNNNNNNNNNNNNNNNNNNNNNNNNNNNNNNNNNNNNNNNNNNNNNNNNNNNNNNNNNNNNNNNNNNNNNNNNNNNNNNNNNNNNNNNNNNNNNNNNNNNNNNNNNNNNNNNNNNNNNNNNNNNNNNNNNNNNNNNNNNNNNNNNNNNNNNNNNNNNNNNNNNNNNNNNNNNNNNNNNNNNNNNNNNNNNNNNNNNNNNNNNNNNNNNNNNNNNNNNNNNNNNNNNNNNNNNNNNNNNNNNNNNNNNNNNNNNNNNNNNNNNNNNNNNNNNNNNNNNNNNNNNNNNNNNNNNNNNNNNNNNNNNNNNNNNNNNNNNNNNNNNNNNNNNNNNNNNNNNNNNNNNNNNNNNNNNNNNNNNNNNNNNNNNNNNNNNNNNNNNNNNNNNNNNNNNNNNNNNNNNNNNNNNNNNNNNNNNNNNNNNNNNNNNNNNNNNNNNNNNNNNNNNNNNNNNNNNNNNNNNNNNNNNNNNNNNNNNNNNNNNNNNNNNNNNNNNNNNNNNNNNNNNNNNNNNNNNNNNNNNNNNNNNNNNNNNNNNNNNNNNNNNNNNNNNNNNNNNNNNNNNNNNNNNNNNNNNNNNNNNNNNNNNNNNNNNNNNNNNNNNNNNNNNNNNNNNNNNNNNNNNNNNNNNNNNNNNNNNNNNNNNNNNNNNNNNNNNNNNNNNNNNNNNNNNNNNNNNNNNNNNNNNNNNNNNNNNNNNNNNNNUUUUUUUUUUUUUUUUUUUUUAUUUAGUUCCAAGAAAAUUGCAAAUGCAUCAACUAAGAAUUUCCAGCUCAUAGAGUUCACAUCAAGAAACAUAAUUAUAUUCCAAUCGAAUACUCUUUUAGUUAGGUGAUACCCAACUUAAUACUAAUUAGUAUUAUUUUGCAGAAAAGAGUAAUUUCUGGGGAUUCUUUAUUGGCGGUUGCUGUGCAUUCAAUGAUGUGCCUCUCUCUCGCUGAGAUACUCAGCUGCCUCGCCCAUUGGAGUGGCAACUGGCAAGUGCCAAAAAUAUUAUUCUGUUAGUCUUUUACAGUACCACCACCAAAUUAUUAUCUUAAAUUAAAAAAAAGAAAAAGCAGCAUUCCGUGACACUUUAGUAACACUCGUCCAUUAGUUUUGGAUUCCAUGGAAUAUACCAUAUGCAAUUCCUUUGUGUGAUAGCACUACAGCUUUACCAUUCUAUUAGUCUCUAAUAACAAUACAAUAACUUUUCAAUCCAUGGACAUAGAACAUUGGAUUUAUAAUCAAUAUAAAUAAAUAAAGUAUAUUGUUACUCAUCAGAAAUAAUUCGAUGAACACUUAACAAUUUUAUUUAAUUGGAGUAACAUUAAAAAGCUAAAUGUUCGAUUUUUUUUUCACAAUUUACUUUCCCAAAGCAUAAAGCAGAGUUCAUUAAAAAAGUUCCGAUAUUUUAAAAUUUACUUAAGAUUAUAUAUAUAUAUAUAUAUAUAUAUAUAUAUAUAUAUAUAUAAUCUUAAGUAAAUUUUAAAAUAUCGGAACUUUUUUAAUGAACUCUGCUUUAUGCUUUGGGAAAGUAAAUUGUGAAAAAAAAAUCGAACAUUUAGCUUUUUAAUGUUACUCCAAUUAAAUAAAAUUGUUAAGUGUUCAUCGAAUUAUUUCUGAUGAGUAACAAUAUACUUUAUUUAUUUAUAUUGAUUAUAAAUCCAAUGUUCUAUGUCCAUGGAUUGAAAAGUUAUUGUAUUGUUAUUAGAGACUAAUAGAAUGGUAAAGCUGUAGUGCUAUCACACAAAGGAAUUGCAUAUGGUAUAUUCCAUGGAAUCCAAAACUAAUGGACGAGUGUUACUAAAGUGUCACGGAAUGCUGCUUUUUCUUUUUUUUAAUUUAAGAUAAUAAUUUGGUGGUGGUACUGUAAAAGACUAACAGAAUAAUAUUUUUGGCACUUGCCAGUUGCCACUCCAAUGGGCGAGGCAGCUGAGUAUCUCAGCGAGAGAGAGGCACAUCAUUGAAUGCACAGCAACCGCCAAUAAAGAAUCCCCAGAAAUUACUCUUUUCUGCAAAAUAAUACUAAUUAGUAUUAAGUUGGGUAUCACCUAACUAAAAGAGUAUUCGAUUGGAAUAUAAUUAUGUUUCUUGAUGUGAACUCUAUGAGCUGGAAAUUCUUAGUUGAUGCAUUUGCAAUUUUCUUGGAACUAAAUAAAAAAAAAAAAAAAAAAAAAGAGAGAAUCGCAUUUCUUUAAUCUUAAAUAUAGGAUGACGACUAAGAUAAAUAGAAUAAUAAUUACUUUUAGAAGUUGAAAAAACAAUCAACAAAAAUAAGAUAUAUAUCAAAAAUGAAAUGUAUAAAUUGAAACUAAAAAUAGAAAUUGAGAUUUUGGUAGACAUUCAAACUCAUGUGCUGACGUGGUAUGAUUACAUAUAAUAAUGAAAUUUAUGGGAAAAAAAUUCAUAUAUUAUAAUGAACUUUGGGUCUGUUAGAGCCCAAACAGUAAAUAGAAAGAGAAGCUAAAUAACAACUUACCCAAGCCCAGAAAUCCGUCCACUGCAAAAAGUGAACUCAGUAGUAUUGGCCCAAGCCCAACAAUCUUAGCCAUAAGCCAUGCAUCGUUGAUAAACCAUUGGCAGUUGGAUGUGGCCACAGAUAGCACCAACCCAAACAAACCCCCAAUGAAUUAACUGCUGUUAAAGAAGUGAAUUUCAGGGCAAGGAAGGAAUAGCCACAAACCUUAAAACAAAAUUAAUUUUAUAUUUAAAAGGUACAUAAAUUUUCACGGGUUAACAGAAAAUUGAUGAAGAGUGAAAGUCCAUAUAUGCCAAAAUGUAAUUAGAAAUUUAAAGUUGUCAGUAUUUAAAAAAAGAUGAUGUAAUCUCAUUAUAAGUUACGAAAUUAGCUUGUUUUAUUAAAAAAAAAAAAAAAAAGAUUAUCUUCUAACAGUCAUUAUCUACAAUCAUUAUAUAAGAAAUUGCACCCUCAAUUUGUCUGUUGUUGAGAGUAUUAAUCAUUUAAUGACUUAAUAUAUGCUUAAAUAAUUGAAAAUUAGAGAUUGAUUAAGUUGAAUUACAGAAGUAAACUUGUAAUGAUAAAAGCUGGUCUAAAUUUAAUUUAGGAUCGGUCAUGUUAUGUAUAGUUGUUAGAAAAUAAAACUACUGAUAUAAUUAUAAAAUUAAUAUUGAAAUGCGAUAUUAAUAAUUUCAUUUCCAUGUUAUAUCUUGAAGUGGGCAGCAAACGUAAUGGAAGAGCAUUAAAUGGGCAGUGGUCAAGUCUAAAAUUAGCAACUACUUUUUGCAGGGCUGCCACUUAUAGUGUAGCACUUGAAUUGGGACACUGUAAUAUCUUUCUUUUUCUCUGUAUUUUCGCAUUUAAUUGGGUUGGUGAGAAGAGGCCAUGGAAGCUGGCUGCAAUCCAAUACCAUACCUCAAAUACUUGCAUUGCAUGCGCUUCGCUUUAAUCACUACAUUCCCUCUUUCUUUCUUCUUCUCCUUCUAAUGAUGAAUUCCGUGCCAUACCCAAAUCAUUCGCAAAGCAGACAUUGCAUGUGUUACCAACUCAAGUAAAAAUCCAUCUUCCUUUGAUAUAUAUACAAAAAAAAAAAAAAAAAAAAAAAAAAGUUUAUAUUAACAGACCAUUUAAAAAGUUGAAUCAGCAGAAAUAAAAUAUUUUCCAAACGGAACAUCUUUAAAAAAAAAUCUAUAUUACAUCAACAGACAGUUAGAGAUCAACGGAAGUACAUUGUAGCUAGAUGGACUUUACAUGCUCAACACCGCAAAGCCUGAGACCGACAAGCAUAAUUUUCUGUUCCUGCGAUUUCUAAUUUCUAAUUUGAUAUUUAAUUUUAAGACUAUUAGGUGGAGUUUUUACAUCAUAUGGUGAUUUUGACAACCACAACGUUUUGCAGCGCAGUAAAAAUGGAAGACGUGCGGGGUAAUUUUGACAACUCCAACAUUGCUUGUUACGCUUUCCGAGAUGAAUUUUGUUUUUUACUAUGAUUAUUUAGUUUGAAAAUUAGAACCUUUACAGGCUGGUUUGAAAUUAACUAGAAUCUACAGAACAUUGAAUAUCCAAUAAUGAGUCAACUAGGUCUUAGCUUUUAUCUAUCUAGUCUAUUACUUACGCAUUUUUUUGUCAAAAUACAAUUUUGCUCCAUCCAAUUUGGAAACUUUUGUUUUAACAUCGUAUAGGUAUUUUUGCUCUAACAGUAAUUAUUUUGAGACAUAAGUUAAAAGUAUAUCUGAAAGGCAUUUAUUGUUUCUUCCUAUGUUUACUGAUGAUUAAUAAUUAUUAAAACGAAAGAUCCCUUCUACGGAUUAGAAGCUAAUUUUAAUUAUUUUUAAGUUUUUAAUCCUAAACUUCUGUAUAGUUAUAUAAAAAUAACUAAUCAUGUAUUGGGUUUAUGCGGAAUAUACAAUUUAAUUAUAUUAUUUUUAAGAAUUUAUAUUAUAUUAUAUGAAUUUGAUAUUUAUAUUUUUAUCGUUAUAUUUUAAAGUCUUGAGAUAUAAAUUUUAAUUAAUUAUAUGUACUUGUUGAAUUUGAUAACUAAUAACCUUAUAAUAAGUUUAUUGUAUUAAUGAAAAUAAUUUUUAAUUUUUUUUCAAUAAUUAAUAAUCCAAAUAAUAAGUUCAUUGCGUUAAUGAAAAAACUCUUCAGUUUUUUUAAUUAUUAUCAAUUUUAAAUUUAAAUUCUUCUAGUGCUUUUUUUCUGUUCAAUUCACUUACAAAUUAUAGUAUAAGAAAAUGAUUUUCAAAUUUUAUUGAUAAAUUAUAUAUUAUUGUUAACGGUAUUAAUAUCAAUGUACUCAAUUGUAUAAAUAGAAAACUCAUUAAAAAAGAAUACAAACAACAAUUUUUUUGCGAACUCAGUUUUAUUCAUAUUCUUUUUAUAAAUUUCUUACAGCAUAAGAAAAAUAUUUUUUGAAUUUUUUAUUAAAAAUAAUAUUAUUAUAUUUAUUAAUCAUUAAAAAAUAAAUUGAAAAUUUUAUUAUUUGAAAUAAUAUAAAUGAUAUUACAAGUUACUUACUUAGUUAUUGAAAAAAAAAAAGAUAAUUUAAUAUUAUUAAAUUAAAAAUACUAAUAAAAUUUUAUUAUUUGGAAUAAUAUUUAUAAUAUUUGAAUUCCAAUAUAUAAUGUUUAAUUAUAAUAAAAAUUCCUAAAUGAGAAGAGAUUAUAUACUAUUAAAAUUUCUUUACACAUUUAUUAUUCAGUAUUUAAUUAAUUCUUAAAUAAGAAUUAUAUUUAGAACCCAAUAUAUAAUAUAUAAUUGUAUAUUUGUCAAUAAAAUUUAAAUUUAAAUAAAAAAUUAAUAUUACUUAUCAAAAUAAAUUUUGUUUAUAUUUUUAUCAAUAAAAUUAAAAUUAUUAAAAAUAUUUUUAUCGAUUCAGAAUUUUAAUAGACACAUUUUUGACAAUUUUAAUAUUUUUCUUGUCUGUUUUCACUUUUAUAUAUAUCACCCACUGGUCCACACUCUCGAGUCAAAAAAUAUAGAAAGAGACAAAUGUAAUAAUAAAAUCUAAUGUUGUAAAUGCACACAAGAAAAAAGUGGCAAAAAAGAAAAUGAAAUAGGUAAAAAGGUAAAAGAAAAAGGACAUUGAUCAGGACCAAUCAAACCCACCAUAUUUUUCUCUCUUGAAUGCUGAGUGUGACCUCAUUUGGACAAACUUUCUAGAAAAACCCAUCAAAGUAAUGGAGAAGAGCAGCUGGCUUUUAGCAUUUCUCCUUCUUUCCCAAAUAUUUUCAAAAGGAGCAGCUUUUGGUAUUGGUGCUGGCAUUGGGGUUGGCAUAGGCAAUGCAGGUGGUGGUGGGGGGGGGGGGGGGGGGGGGGGGGGGGGGGGGGGGGGGGGGGUGUUUGGAUUGGUGGUGGAAUCAACACACCAACAACCCCAUCUGGGUCUUCAGUUUCUAACCUAAACAGUGCUUAUUCUGCUUUGCAAGCAUGGAAAUCAGCGAUAACAGAUGACCCAUUGAAGAUUUUGGACACUUGGGUUGGUUCUAAUGUUUGUUCUUACAGAGGUGUUUUUUGUGCAGUUCCUAGAGAUGAUGAAUUGGCUACACCUUCUAGUCCAGUUGUUGCAGGUAUAGAUCUCAACCAUGCUAAUCUUCAAGGCAGUCUUGUCAAAGAACUUUCUUUUCUUACAGAUAUGUCUCUCCUUCACCUUAAUAGCAACAGAUUUUCAGGCUCGAUUCCUUCUUCUUUCAAAGACCUCACUUCUCUUCAGGAAUUGGACCUCAGUAAUAACCAAUUUUCAGGUCGUUUCCCUACUGUUACUUUAUACAUUCCAAAUCUCAUUUAUUUAGACCUCAGAUUUAAUAGUUUUUCAGGGCCUAUUCCUGAUGAUCUUUUUAACUUGAGAUUAGAUGCAAUUUUUCUUAAUAACAACCAAUUUAAUGGUCAAAUUCCUCAAAACUUGGGUAAUUCUCCUGCUUCUGUUAUAAAUUUGGCUAAUAAUAAGUUCAGUGGAAGUCUACCGGCUAGUUUUGGCCUAAUGAGUUCAAAACUGAAGGAGAUUUUGUUUCUCAAUAAUCAGUUAACAGGUUGCAUUCCUCAAGGAGUUGGGUUAUUUCAAGAAAUGCAAGUUUUUGAUGUAAGCUAUAAUUCACUAAUGGGUCGUUUGCCAGACACAAUUUCAUGUCUUGAUCAGAUUGAAGUGCUUAAUUUGGCACAUAAUAAGCUUUCUGGCGAACUACCUGAUCUUGUUUGUUCUUUGAGAAGUCUAUUGAAUUUGACUGUUGCUUACAAUUUCUUUUCUGGGUUUAGUCAAGAAUGUGCCAAAUUGUUUAUCAGGAAUGUGGGUUUUGACUUCUCUUUAAAUUGCAUUCCUGGAAGAGAUAUGCAAAGACCUCAACCAGAGUGUUCUGUUAUACCAGGAGGAGGAUUAAGUUGCCUUAGAAUACCUGCUGUACAACCUCUUGUUUGCGGGUCUCUUGGAGUGACUAUAAAUGUCAAUCUUGGCCCAUCAUCUCCAUGAAAGACAGCGUGUAUUUGUUACUAAUAUUGUAUAACAGGUUGGUGAUGGUUGCAUCAUUAAUUAAUAGCACUUAUGGUUUAGAACUCCCUAAUUAUUUCUUUAUCUACUGGGCACAUCUGACUCUAUAAAUCUGUUUUCCAAUGAAUAAGAAAUACCCAGGAAUUUAGUUGAUUGUGAUUCUUGUUGUAAGUAUUAUCUACAUCGAAGUAAUUCAUGAUAGAUAGUAAAAAGUAAUUAAGGAGCUUACUUUAUCAGGUGAUACAUGUGAUGGUGGUAUUUUUACCAGGUGAUAUUAUUUACCCAAUUCGAGGAAAACUAAGACUAAGCCAAGAAUUACAAAAAUGCCAACCAUAGAAAGAAACUGUCACAGAAAAUUACACUAAGAACUAUAACAAUGCCAAUACAUUACAGAACUGCUAUUUUUUUUUCUUUUUUCUUUUUUAAAUUAAAUGUAAUACAUUGGGUUAGGAAUUUUAAACGAUCUCUCUGCCGUUGCAAACCCUAAUAGGUCACUCCAUUGAUCUCCUGAGCUUCCAUGUAUCCUGUAGCCUUCAUUUACCAACUCCAAUCUCUUCUGAGAUUUGUACAGAGUUGCUGGCUUGCCUUGAUCUGAAACUCCCCUGUAUCAUACACCAUUAUAUUGAUCAUUAACCCAAUGUUAUUCUUAUCUCAAGUAUAGUAGAGAUCAUUUAUAUUACAUCACACACCUCAAAAUUAGCUUUUCCCAAUCGCUGUAUCCUGCAAAUACAAGAUUUUUUGCUGUAGCAUUCCUUUGAUAUUCACUCCGUCCGGUCAACAAAAAAAUUGUAAAACCCAGCCGCUUUAACUUCUUGUACAAUUUCAAACUUGCUGCCAAUGCAGGUGCUUCAGCUAAAUCCACCCACUUAUCGAAAGACAAUUCAUCGAAGGGUUCAGAUCUACAUAGACAGCAUGAAAAACAUAGCAAACUUGAUCAGCCAAUAUAGAGUUCUUGCAUUUGUGUGUACAUGGUUAAGGAUGCGCCUAUACCCUUAUCUUUAAAUUGUUAACUCACUGUAACAAAUGCUUCAUACAAGAAAACAAAUAUGGUUAAAGCUCGGUUGUCAAGCACUGAAAUUUAUGUGAAUAAUUAUGCCAGAAAGGAGCAAUUCACUUGAAGAUAAAGCAUGUAGCAACUUGCUAAAAAGGAAUCCAAAAGAAAUUAUGACCAUAAAGCUAGAACCAAACUGGUGGUACAAAGUUAUACACCAAACAGUGCAGCUACUAAGCAUGUUACUAGUAAAAGAGUUGGGACCCUUGCUUGCUCAUAAUGACUUUUUUUUUCCUUGGACACGGUAAAUCUCUCAGCAUUCUUUUAUGAUAAAUGCCUAUCAAAGAGCCUUAAAGGUUUGCAAGCUGUUUUUUUUUUUUUUUUCUUUACCCGGUAAAGCAACUGGCAAAAUCGGGGAGUAGGUUAAACAUCAAUUUCUUGUUUUGGCUUUAUUCUCAUGCACAAAGUAUUGUUAGAAAGUAAAAAUUGUCAACUUCAAUCUCCACUGCUGCCACAUAAUUUUACCAAAUUUGUAUUGGGUUGGGCCUGCGCGGCUGCGCCAAUCAAACUACCAUGAGGUGGUCCAUUUAUACCAGUACCAUGAAGCCUUUAACGUGCCUAGUUUUAAUUGGUGUAACCUUCCAGAAAAUGACAUUCAUGUGAUCAAAAUUCAAAAUAAUGAUUAAGCGAAAUCAGAUAGGUCAACGUAUCGCAAUCGGCGGAAUUUCAAUGGAUAAAAUAGUCAUAUAAUUCAAUGGCUAGGAUUCUCUGACGUACCCGUAUCCGUGGAGUUCGUAGUAAGGUAGAUUGGAGAGCAAUGUUUCAUCAAUAUCAAAGACCCAAGCGUCCUUCCCAUCUCCGGCAAUAUUCACUGUCUUUGCGAAGGCAAACGCAUAGGAAGCCACGACCGCAGAGUCGGAGACGUAGCGGUCGCCCGUCACGUAGAGCUCCACGAAGCGAGCGCAUCUGGAAGGAACGUAGGUCCAGUAACCGGCGUUGUUGGUUUCAACUGAGAGUCUCCAGCUGUCGCAAUAGAGAUCAUCGUCUCCGCCUCCACCACGAGUUUGAUGGUCGCUGGGCAACCGGAUAAUAGAUUGGGAAACGGUGACGUAUAAGAGGCUAAGGAGGAGGAGGAGGAUAAGAGAAACGAGGGAUUGAAAGGCAGCCAUUGGAAUAAAAGCUCGAGCAGGAAUAGCUAUUGUUGAUAGCUACAACAACUUUUCCUGGUCUGCCUUUUCCCUCUUUCGCCUCACUCUAGAUGUGAGAGGCCAAUGGAAAUGGAGGAACAAUUCUGAGAUUGCUUUAUUGAUUUUGGUAUGGGACCAAUACCAAAUUUAUUGUCUUAAAUAUAAUACGACAGACGACACUGCUCAUUAAAAAUCUGGCUAAACGACACGACAUUUUAUGCCCACCUCUUAAUUUUUUUUUUUUUUUUUUUUAAAUUCUGGUAGAUAUAUCCGGCCAAGCUGGAUCGCCACAAGUGCAUUUGGGCAUUUGCAAGACCCCGUCCUAAGGAAUUAAAGUAGUUGCACAGUUACUAUUUUUUUUAAUUAAUUUUUAUUAUAUUGGUGGAAAUUUGAGCUAGUAAUUAGAUAAAAAUCCCUUCACGGGACUCCACCUUUCCAACUCUAGAGUCUAGCUGAUUUAUAUUUAUAAUAAUGAUUUUUAUAAUUCAUAUAUAUUUUUGUCUCUUUUUGGUUCUCUUCUCUCUGCAAUAAUGGAAUCUCUCAAGACAACCAAAAUUAUGAGGGUUUGAAAGUUAAAUUAUAGGCCAUAACUUAUUAUUAACAACAGACAAACAGAGUAUAAAAAAUAUGAACAAACAAUUAAUUGGCUUUUUUAUUGUCUGUAUGUACAGUUUCUAUAUCUGUUGGUCAUAUAAGCAUUGUUGGUAUAACAAAAGUUAUACUAACAAACAAAAACUCCUCUACUGUGACAAAACCAACCAAAACCAACAAAGACAUAAUGAAUUCCGACUAUCCAUGCUCCCAGAGAAAGAAAAUCUUAUAGAAUUUAUGAGGGAAAAUUCAGGGAAAUGAAAGAAUGUAAGCAAACUUUAAAAAAAAAAGCAGCAAAACGUCUUGUCUGCUCAAACCAAUAGUUGUUUCACUCUAUCAAUGAGCAAAAAAAAAAACUAACUGGUUAUCAUUGCAUCAUAAGAGAAGCUCUAAGAGAAGGAGUAGUCUUGCUCAUCAUGGCAAAGCUCCUUUCGAAGCUUAUGGGAGAAAAGCUGGCAAGCGUCCAUGCUUAGAUCAAUAGCAGCAGAAAGAGCUAUAAAUAAGGCAGCAUCAGCCAUGCAAGUGACGUGUUGCAUUCCUACUUGCACUACUGGCUUGCUAACCUUUCCUUCUCCUUCUACAGUAGAAUCCAUCACAAAUCCUUUAACAGGCGAUCUUGAACUAUUCAAUCCUGAAUCUUUCAUUAUUCUACUAUCAAUGCAAAAUUGGCCGCCUUUCCUUACGCUCAAUGUAGCUUCAGCAAUCGGAAUUCCUCUGCUAGGACCGCCAUUGUCGGUCACAAGCUCAAACUUGUAACCAAGCCCAUCAAUAGGACCUCUUUCUCUCCAUGCCUCUAAGCGACCCCAUGGUUUCCAGCUACUAACAGAGAAUCCGUGAGGCCGGAGAAUUAGCCAUGCGCCAGGGUUUGAUCGAGAAACACGAUCUGAGCCUGGAGAAGGAACAAAUGGGGUGAUCAUAGAGGCUGCUGCAACUGGAGAACCAGAAAGAUCAUAUAUCAUUAUCAUCCAUCCCUUUCGCUCUCUUCCUGCUCGUUCUUUCUCCCCAGUAAAGGUUCUCCUCCAUCCUCUGUUAUUGUUGUUGAGGGUGAAAUCUGAUGGCAAAGAUCUGAUUUUACAAAAUAAAAUAAACUUUAGAACAUUACAUUACAUUACAAGUAACUGAAUACAAAAUAUUUAGAACAAAUAUUUGCACAUGGGGGAGAAUCUGAGUCGGUUGUAUUUGACAGUUGGGGAGAUAUAUAUGCAAUUGUUGUCUCCUUGACCAAACCGGUAAUGCAUUUAACUUGACUAAUAAAUUAUUUAGUUGGUGAGUUAUACAUAUAAUGGAAAGUUCAUGAUCUGUAAUGGUUGGUGGUGGAUGCAAAUUUUACUGAUUAAGUUCGAGAUUGAAGCAUUAUUUGGACAAAAUGUUGGAAGGAAAAAAAUGACAGAAGAUGAUUAACUGUGAGCCUAAGCUCAUCUGCAACAUUUGCGGCUAACUUGUACAUUUUUCUACAUAAAGUAAAUACCCCCAUUCUUUUCCUGUUGGAAUGUAAAGUAAAUCUUUCCAUUUCCUUUUUUUUUUUUUUUUUUUUUUGAAAUUUUUGGAUGAUCUGUUCCGAUAAGCAAGUAUUUGAAACAAAGAAAGCGCAUCUGAAUUUUCACUGCAAAUGAAGAUUUUAAAAAAUCAAUCUUUCUACUAAAAUGCAUACCUAUCAAAUUAAAGUGGAUCCUAACAAAAUUUUGAAAUUAGUAACUGAUAAACUGUGUCUUGUUAGAAAUUUAAUUUCACCAGAAUCAAAUAACAGAUAAGGUGCGUGGUGGCCACCAUGGCAGACUAGGCAUGUGAUGUUAGUAAGGUAAGAAAGGAAACGACAACCCACAUGCUUGCUUUAUCCGUAACCGAAACUCAUAUUCUGUACAGCUUGCAAAUAGUAAUAGCUAGCUAGGCCCCAGAGUCAGUAGGAUGAACAAUUAUUCACCGGAAAACAACAAAUUAAUCAAUUAGUCAAUCGGAUAAUCAUGACCCUACCCUGCCUUAACAACCACUAUCACCGCAUGUUUGCAUACCCACCUCAUACCCCACUGAAAUGCAUCAAAUAACAGAAAAAUCAAAAAGUAUAAAAAAGAAGAAUUAAAAAAAAUUUACCUAGAUCUUGCGUUCCGGUCUGCGCUAAACUUGCAACUGAAAACGGGCUGUCGUAUAUUUCCUUGAAUUUGGUAAACCACUGGGCUGCACUCCGGUUCACCACCAAACUGAAAAACAAACCGUGGGUCCGGUUCAGACCGGACAACAAGAUAUAGCCGAGCCGCUGGCUUAUCCGGUUGGUUACCCAAUUUCAACCAUCCAUUUUGAAACACUCUUGGAUUCGACGUAGCAUUCCCCAAAUCAAUACUGACCUGAACAUGACCUAGUAACUUCCCGCCGUUGACUCCGCAUGUCCGACCCAUCCGACCCGUGUAAACCUCCAUCCGGAGUGUGAUAGGCUUACCAGAGAGACGACUAAGAGCGAUGGCGUCGAGAUGGAAACCGGGGGCGGAGGUGGAGGUGUCGGGCGGAGAAUCAUUAGCAGUAGAACACAUAGGAAGAAGGGCAGUUUGAGAAGGGAAGUUUUUGAAACGCAAUUUGCAGAAACAUGGUGUGGUUGACGGGUGGACACCGGAACCAGCUGGUUUGGUGGCCAAAGGGAGUUUUAGAGCGAGAGAUUCAACGAUUAAACGAACAAAUGGACAUGGAUCCAUUUUGUGAGCUUUCUCACUCAAUCUCUCUUUGGAGUAUAUUAUUUAAGAGAGGUUUUUAGCUCGAAAUGUACGAUCAGUGCCUAGAGAGGUUCGGAAACAUCUAUGUUGAUGGAGUAGAAUGGUUGUCGGUUCACCUGUUAUAACAUUUCGCUUUCUCUCUCUAUCUUGCUCUUUUCCUUUCUCUCUCUAAUAUAACCCUUGCUUGUGUUGUUUAGUGGGACCUUUCUCUGCAUUUUUUUUUUUCUAUUUCGCGCCAAAAAUCCACCGUGAGAAAUUGUUUUCCUUCCAUGCAAUAAAACGACACUUCUCUGCAGUUUUAUAAUUGACAAGAAAAUGGAUGAAUGCAAACGAUAAAUUAAAGAGAAAAUGGUGCGGGCAUUAUCUCGUGGGAAUCGAUCGCAUUGUGGGGUCAAAAACACAGCUGGAUUAAGGCUGUCACCACGUUGUCAUUGGCGUCAUAAAGUCCAAGCUGGACUCUGAUUGGAGCAGAAUUUCUGCUUCACUGCACAUCAAAUUUCAAAUUAUCCCAUUUAUCAGAAAGAAGUUAUGGUUGACAUGGCAUUCACUUUCGCCUCUUCAUCUUUAAUCCCGUUUUGGACCGCGGUUUCCGACGGCGCUGGCCCGCUGUUUGGAAUUAUAUGAUUUCUAGAUUAAGAUCAUUAAUUCAAAAAUUUACCGUUUUAGUUGGUUUUAAAUUAAUAAAUUAGUUUUGUUAUAUGUAGACCAACCCCAAACUCUAGAAGUAUAAUGUCAGUUAUAAUCUUCUUUAUUAGUGGACUAAACAAAUGAUAUAAAGAUAUAUAUGUAAUUCAUAUUUAAUAAUCCACAAUAUUUACUCGAUUAUUUAGGAUCUGUUUGAUUUAGCUAUUUAGACCAGUUAAUAGUGAUUAUUGAUAAUUGGUCGCUGGUGCUUGAUAAAAGUUAACCAAUUAAUCUUAGUGUUCGGUAAUAUUUCAAUAUCAGUUGUUGUUAAAAAGUAAAAUGAUAUUUAAAGAUAUAUUUGUUUUUUUUUAUAUUAUGGUGAAUAAUAUAUUUUUCUUUUAAUUUUUAAGGUAAAUGUGUGUUUUUAUCUUAAUAUGUUAUAUAAAUAACAAAAAUACUUAUUAAAUCUUUUCAAUAUAAUAUUUAACAAAAAUUUUUAUUUUUAAAAUUACCAUAAUAAAAAUAAUGAUAAAAAAAUAACUAAUUUUGAAAAUAUAAUUUUACUAGUAAUUAUCUUUGUAAGAUUAAUAAAGUUAGACAUAUUAUAAAUGUAAACUAACUAUUAGCUGACAUGAAAAAAUUUUAAAAUGGAAUUAAUGGAAUUAACUGUUGUUUAAAAUAUUUACAAGAAGUUUGCAGCAUAACUGCUAAGUAAGAAUAAGCUAUCAAUUAUAUGAAAUCAGUUGAACUAGACAUUCUCGACUUGUGUUCUCUUCGAAUUAAUCAACGGACACUCUAUUUUUCUUAUAAAUUAUUCUAUAAAUAUUUUGACGGAUAAAUUGAAUUAAAUUAUUAUAUAUUCUUUAAACUGCCUAUUUCUUAUUUUCAUUUAUAUCAAAGAGUAUCUAAUAAAAUUAAAAAAUAUAUAUUAUAUUUAUCUUUAUUUAUUAUUAUUUGUCUCAUCGAUAUAUGUCAUUCAUAAAAAAUUCUUUUGAUUCAUCGUAUAAAUAAACGUAAAAAAAAAAAUUUUGAUUUUGAAAUUGCAUCGGAAAAGGAAAAGUUAAAAAAUAGAAGAAUUAAUAAAACUACCAUAUACUUUUAGAACUUAUAUGGUAUUUGCAACUAUUUACUUAAUAUUUUUAAAAAAUUUUGUACAAAUAUUUGAAAAGGCACUUGCAAAGAAACAAAGAUGAUACGUUAAUACCUAAAUAAUAAAAUAACAUGGGCGUUUUUGUCCAUCAACAUAUUCCCUCCGCGUCAGUGGCGAAUGACGAUAGAGUGACGGAGGCAACUUUACAAAUACAGAGAAGCAAUGUAUUGCGACAUGGACGUUUAAAUCAAGUCAAAACGACAAAACCUUAGAAAUAGGUAAUGUAAUAAUGAUAUAUUGGUCAAUGUAACAUAUUUGACGAAGUGAGUUAUACAUUGAAACUUAAUUAAUUGAAUAAACAAUCACUUGGUAAAGACACCUGGCUGUUGGUUGGUAAAUUUUAAUUUGCAGUUAUCUUUUUAAUUUGUUUUUAUUCAGCUGAGGUGGGAAAAUUGCAUAAAAGGCAAUGCUUUAUGAACAGUAAAAGUGCCAGCUUUUGUUCCCUUAAUCGAGGGGUUAAUAAGGAAAGUGCAUGUCGUUUUUCUUUUUUUGGAUUUUUAUUUUAAAGAGAAUGGAAAACGUACCAUUUUUUUAAAAGAAAUAAAAUAAUUCAUAUUUAGUGUCCUUGUAGUGUUUCCAUAUUUUUUUUUUUUAUGUAGAUGGAAUGCCUUUCCGUUGGGUUGGAUCCGCAAAUAACUUUUUCUAAGUAGUUUUGACAAGUGAAAAUGUUGAAUAUAUAGUAUUUAAACUCCUUUUAAAUGUUAUUAUAAUAUUUUUUAAAAUUUUAAUUUUCAUAACAUUUAAAUUUUAACGUCUUAUCAAAAAAUAGUUAAAUACCGAUAAAACAAUUAAUAACUACAAAAAUAAUUAUUUUUACUGAACAUGUUUUUUAUCUUUUGUCGUAUCUCCAUCCAUUCAUAUAAAUGAAAUUAAUCCUCUUACUAGUCAAAUGUAUUAUUUAAGUAAAAUAUUUUUAAUAAUGAUGACAACAUAUUUUGAAUGCGACCUUACAAGUAAAGUUCUCAUGAAAUGUAAUAUAUCUUUAUUAAUCCAACUAUAUUUGGUAUUAAAUUUAUAAUAAUUGCAUUACAGAUAAAAAGAACCUAUUUUUAAAUUAAAAUUAUGAGAUAAAAAUAAUCUUAAUUUAUAAUUUGAUCUAAAAAUCAAACCCUAAAUAUAAAAUAUUUACCUUUACCCUUAUACAACAUAUUUGUUAAUGUUAAAAUGAUUGUCCCCAUGUAAAAUUUCAUAAUUUCACCAUUCACUUUCACUUAGAAAUGUCCCUUUUGCUUGUGUUUUAAACCUUAUCCUUUUGAAUCCCAAUCAAGAAUCAAACCCUUUUUGUGAGAAGGAGACCCAACCAAAAAUACUACUCCAACGGAGUGGGCCUAUAUCUACAUUUAUCUAUGACCAGAGCGUGGGGAACAAACCUGUGGGCAUACCUUCUCUUCUGUUAUAUGCUUAUUUCAUUACUACGCUACCAAAUUGUUUAACUCAUUAUCUUCAAAUUCUCACACUCCAAUAGAUAUGGAUGCAUUUUUUCAGGAGACAGGUUGUCUAUUUGUCAUUUACUUUUAUAUAUAUGGAUUUAUGGAAAGCACUUAACUAAUUCGUAUAUGAGUCCAGCCAUAUAUACAAAGGAGAAAAAUAAUAAUAAAAUAGUAAUAAUAUUUUAAAAAAUCUAUUUCGGAUCGGAUUUAGUGUAUGAGAUCGCUUUAUGCACAUUAUGUUAAAUUCAUUAUUAAGACAAAACGCAUUAAUCAUAAUAAUUAUUUUCAACUAUGCAAUAAAUCACUGGUAUUGAAUGGUUAAUUAAUUACUGCUUAACACAACAAACACAAUUAAAGGGGAAGAAGGGGUCAUUUCAUGCAUACUUAUUGACACUAAUCCACUUAGUUGGUUUCUCUUUGCAAGCCAUGUGAAUUAGUUUGUAAGGGUCUUGUCCAUGCUUAAUGGUGGGGUAAGGCAAAGUUGAAAAGGGCCAAAAUCUGAAAUUAACGAUUAAAGAUUAGGGCUUUUUGGAUAAGAUUCUAUUUCGAUGAUUAUUAUUGUUAUUAUUUUAUUAAUAAUUAUUUUUUUAUCAAUGAUGAUCCAUUCAUAGUAAAAUCAAUAUGCCAAGCACUGUCCACGAGAUUUUCGGUCAUUUUCACUGUUUUUUAAGGAUAACUGGUGUUAUAAUCCGCGCGAUGCACGAAGCAAUAUUUAAGGAUGAAAUAAUUUUUUAUAACUUCGAUAUAAACACAAUAUGAAAAUUAGACGAUUGACACGAACAUGACACGUUUAACCCGCUUAAUAUCAUAAACAGGCUAAGUGAGUCGUGUUGUUGACCCAUAUACAACUCAUGACCCAUAUAUUAUAAAUAGGUUAAGUGGAUGUGUUGACCUACAUACGACCCACUUAACUUACUUAUAAUAUUUUUAACUUUUAACCUAUUUAACUCCAAUCAUAAUUAAAAAUAAAUUUUCAUACGUAAAAUGUAUAAAUUCUUCAAGAUUUAUAAUUAAAAUAAAAAAGUAAUACAAUAAUGAAAUUUAAAUAUGUUUUAGUUGGAGUAUUUAUUUUUAAUUAUAAAUUCUUCAAGAUUUAUAAUUAAAAUAAAAAAGUAAUACAAUAAUGAAAUUUAAAUAUGUUUUAGUUGGAGUAUUUAUUUUUAAUUAUAAAUUCUUCAAGAUUUAUAAUUAAAAUAAAAAAGUAAUACAAUAAUGAAAUUUAAAUAUGUUUUAGUUGGAGUAUUUAUUUUUAAUUAUAAAUUCUUCAAGAUUUAUAAUUAAAAUAAAAAAGUAAUACAAUAAUGAAAUUUAAAUAUGUUUUAGUUGGAGUAUUUAUUAUAACACUAAAAUUACCUUUUUACUCUUAAAUAAAUGGAUUACUCGCCUAACCUACCAGUGACAUAACACAUUUAUAUUCGUGUAAUAAAUAGGUGACUCGUUUAUGAUACGAACUCGUUUAACUUCAAUCCUAACUUAUUUAUUUCGCGUGUUAGACGAAUCAUGAUCGAGUGUUGUGACCCAUUUUGACACCUAUAACAUGACCUGCAUCAAAGCAUUCACAUACACUAUUAAUGUAUUUUUCGAUAGUGAUAAUAAUUUUGAGAAUUUAACGAAUUAUAUUGAAAUAAUAAGUUAUUUUAUUUUACGUUUAUGAUUUAUUAUAAAUGAUUGUUUAUUUAUUUGGAAUAUUAAUGUAUUAUACUUAUCUAGUGUAGUGUGUCCUAAGCGUGUGGAUCUCUUUUUUUUUUCCUUAUAAUCCGUACGAUGUGCAGGGUAAUAUUAAAAGAUGAAAUAAUAUUUUAUAACAUUAUUUAAAAAUAGUAAAAUUAUAUAAUAAAAUAAUAAAUUAUAUCUUGCUGAGAUAUGUUAAAAAGUUGCAGUGUUAAUAUAUGUCUUCUUUAAGUAUCAUGCGAAACUUUUCAUAAGAUAUGUAACAGUAAAAGUUAUGUAUGGUAUGAGCUAUAACAAAAAAAAACGUAUACACACGAUUAAUAUAUAUUUUUAACAGUGAUAAUAAUUUUGAAAAUUUAACUAUUGAAAUAAGAAAUUAAAUAUUUUUUUAAUGAUUAUUUAUUUAUUUGAAAUAUUAAUGUAUUACUUUUUUAGUGUAGUGUGUCCUAAGCAUAUGAAUGUCCAACUUUUUAAAAAUUGUUGCAUCCGUAUGUUCCCGUAUCCCGUGUCCCGUGUCCAUGCAACCUAACUCUUGGUAUAUGAAACUACUCCUUACACCAAGUUAAUCAAAUAAGGUUCUUUUUUAUUAUCAAUAAAAAUAAAGUAUUUUUUAAUUUACUUUUAUGUCAUUGAAAUAAAAAAUUAAAUAUUUUUAAUUUUAUGUUUAUGACUUAUUAUAAAUGAUUGCUUAUUUAUUUGAAAUAGUAAUGCAUUACUUAUUUAGUGUAAUAUGUCAUAAGCGUUUUUAAAAAUUAUCGAAUCUAUACGUUCUCAUAUUUCGUGUCCUAUAUCUGUGCAACAUUGCUCCAGGUAUAAAUUUAUUUCUUAUUCUACAGCUUGGGUUAUUUGUAUUUUAAUUAAAAUUUAAUUUAAUGCAUUAUCUUGAUGAGAGAUAAUUAAUAGAUAUUAUCAUGAUAAAGACAUUAUUUAAAAAUAUAAAAUAACUUAUCUUACUAGUAUUGUUGUCAUUUCAUCUUAUCUUCUCGCAACCGUGCUAAAUAGUUAUUGUUCUCCUCAUACUUUGUAAUUUUAGAAGCUUACACUUCAAUUCCAUAUAAUGCAAACUGCGCUGCUCAUAUAUAUAUAUAUAUAUAUAUAAUUAUUUUUGUAUUACAGAAUAUCAAAAUAUUAAUUUCAAUAUAAUAGUACUGAUAUUCUUAUAUAUAUUUCUUCAAAAAAAAAAAGUUCUUAUUUGUAUCUCGAUCAUGUAUUCUUAUUCGAUAUGAUGAAAUAUAAUUAUUUCCUCUUUCUAAUAAUAAUAAUAAUAAUAAUAAUAAUAAUAAUUCCAUGUAUAUUUUAAAAUUAUAAAUUCUUUAUUUUGAAGUUAAAUGGCCAUAAUUGUCAAAAUCAAAAGUAUACGAAGAGUAUAGAAAAGUUAUAGAUUAGGUAUUCAAAUUUGUACCCCACCUGGCCUCAGGCUUCACUCAAAUACCAAACCUACAUGAUUCUUCUUUCGAUGAACAGUGCCUGCUCACUCAUGCAUAAUUUUUCUAAUUAAUAUUAUAAUUCAUUAAAUAUAUAACAGUAGGAGUUAAUCUAUAAUGUCAAGAGUCAAGACCAAGAUUUUCGCAGACAAAGAGCUUUUCUUGUAAAAGUUUUGUCAAACAAACACCUCGUAAUGUUAAUGUUGAUCGCUAAUCAACAGGUUUCCCUUUCCUUUUCUUUUUCUUUUUCUUUUUCUUUUUCUUUUUUUUUUUAAUUAAUUGGUCAAUAUAUAUUGAACAAAUUAGGAGCUAAAAUAUGCAAAGCCCAAUGGAGUUGUCACGCACAAACCAAUUUGGGCCCAUCCACUUAUCCAAUAGGCUUGAGUGGGCCAUGUUGCCUCCGCAAUUAUAUCUCUAAUCAUGAAUAUUAAGUGGCACUGAUCAGAUUGCAACAACAGCCACACAAACCCAUUUUUGUAGGUUGUUAAACAUGGAUUAUAAUUGUUAUUUUGGAUCCAUAUUAUCAACUAAUUCUACAAAUCUACCUGUCCUAACAUCAUCCUUAAUUUUUCUUUAUCAUAUUUUUCUUUAAUUUAAAAAUAUUCAUUAAUUUUUAUGGGCAAAUGUUUUGGUAGAUAUGAAAUUUACAUAUCGAAUGAUCGAUUCUGUUUAGUGUAGUUUUUUUUUUUUUUUUUUUUUUUAAUAUGAAUAACCAUGCUGGUUUAAAAGAAAGAGGAAAGAAAAGGUUUGGUGGGCUGAGCCCCAUCAACACCAAUAGGCCCAAACAUUCUUUCAAAUGUGAAAUUGGGUCAAAUUUCUAGAUGCUUCUAUCGCUGACACAAUCUGACCGAAACCAAGCACGAACAAUAACGAAUGAAACUUCUGGGUCGUACUCGUACCAAUCUCUUUAUCGUUAAGAAAAUACAAAACGGUGCCAGAUUUUUCAUAAAUCAAAGCCAUCUUUUUCGAAAUUGAAGAGAUUCAUUUGUCAACAGAGAUUUUCUCUAUCCGAGUUAGCUUUCUGCUUCUGCAAUGUCUUCACCUGCUGAGUAAGUUUCCAUUUCCCUUUCUAAUAUCGUUUUGUUCUCCCAGAAUUUAUUGUCUUUUUAUAUUUAAUUUAAAGUUAUAUGUUCCUAAUUAUUAUCUUAUUAGGGGGGGGGGGUGGGUUUUCCUUGUGUUUAAUCACUGUUUGGGCUUCUGGUGAACUUAAUCCUAACCAAGUUCUUUUAGUUCUCUUUAGCUAUUUCCUAGCGUGUUUGGCUUUCGUGGUAAGGUUAUUAGUAGUAAUCCUGAAUGUGAUAGAAGUGCGAUGAGAAAAGCAAUUAUGCGAAUUGAGUUCACAAGUGUGAGGUUACUUCUUCUUGGUCUUCCUUCAGAUUGAAUACAAUGCAGAGGUGGGCAACUGUAGAUUGGGAAUGGUAAAUUAUAAUAUUCUAUAGAUGAUUACUGGUUUCUAUGAGUUUUUGAUGUACAGUAUUAUUCUUUUUUAGAAAGGAAGCAAAGGUCAUUGGCAAUCAGUCUUUUGGAGUGGGUCUCCAAUGGAGAUUUAGAUCUGGGCAUUCUCUGAUGUAUUAUUAGUUAUUAUUGAUGACCAUACAUUAAUUGAUUUUACUGCAAGUAGACAGGAAGAUAUCAUGGCUUUAAAAAAGGCUUCUCAAUAAUGUUUUCCUUUACAAUGAUACUUUCAAUGCUUGUUGUAAUCAGAGUUUUAAUUGGGAACAAAUUGACAUGGAAAUGCUCUGAUGCUUUCUAAAACGAUGACCGGUGAUGUUUUUUUAUUCUAAUCUUUAAUGCUUGAUUUGGUGGAUAGCUGUAAACUGGUUACUCCUGCUUUUGCAUUGUAUAAUGUGUAAUCGAUCUUUACAUCCGUUUUUGAAGCUUUCUAUAUUUAUUGUAACUUUUCUUGUCCAUUUGGUUCAGAUACUAUAACUCUCUUCCACCUAUAAGCAAGGUUUAUGGGACUCUGUGCCUGCUUUUUACAGUGGCCAUUCAGCUUGGAGUAUUUGAUUUGUUCCAUAUUGCAUUGAUAUAUAAACUAGCAUUGACACGUUUUCAGGUAUGAAUUCAAUUAUUUGUGGAUUAUUCCAUCCCUUAGAGCUUUCUGUUGAUAUCAUCAUCAAUGCAAUGUUUUUUCUGAAAAUUUUUGUUGACAACUGCAAUUAACAUGAUCAGUAUCUUAAAAAUAUUGAUGUCUAGAAGACAUCAUUGGUUUAUCUUAGUUGCCAUAGGUAUGGCACAUGCCGAUUAUUUCUUUUCCUAUGUGUAUGUGGAAGACUUUACUCAAUAUCAUUAGACACAGAAACUGUUUGAAUUCUGCUGAAUGAAAUCUUUUCCCCAUAGCCUAUAUAUGACCCUGCAGCACUUCACCCCUCUCUCUCUCUCUCUCUCUCUCUCUCUCUCUCUCCCCCUAUGCAUGCUCAUGGAUACAUGCAUUUGUUUUGUAUAUACACUAGAAAACAUCUCUGCUUUUGAAGCUUAUUUCAGUGUCUCAUUUCGCUUGGCUGUUCUUUUUUGUUCAAACCGGUCCACAAAACUCGUUCAUAAUUUUAUAUGGAUGUGCAGGUAUGGAGGCUUAUUACGAAUUUCUUUUUUCUGGGAAAAUUUUCUAUCAAUUUUGGUAUUCGUCUCUUGAUGAUGUAAGCCAUAGGUGCAUAGAUAUUACUUGAUUUCAUUGUUGAACUCCAUAUAUUUUUAGUUUGAGAACUAUUGAGUAGAUUUAUGCAUGCAUCUAGAACAUUUUAUUCCCUGGCACUAAUAUUUUCCAUGUAAUUGCUGCAAUUGUACAGAGCAAGGUACGGUGUUCAACUUGAGAAGGGACCUUUUGAUAGGCGUACAGCAGAUUUCUUGUGGAUGAUGAUCUUUGGAGCCCUUUCAAUGCUGGUAUGUAGUUAACUUUGUUGGUGCAUAUGCCCUAUCCAACGGUAGAUUCCACUUGAAAAUGCUAGACAUAUUGAUUAUAUUAUAGAUUAACAGUGGUGGAGACUUUCUUGCUUUGGCUUCCCAUUGUUGUUCAAAUUCAUCUUUUUCAAAGCUGUUUAGCUUUAGCCUGGAUAAUAGCAUAAGAAGCAGCACUCUCCAAAUAUUUAUUUGUAAAUCAAAUCUGUAGAAAAUAUUAAAUGUUUGAGCUGAAUUCACAUCCUCUUUCCUGCAUUUAGGUACUAGCUGCCAUCCCUUUAUUUUAUACACCUUUCUUGGGAAUAUCACUUGUGUUCAUGCUUGUCUACGUAUGGAGUAGAGAAUUCCCAAAUGCUCAGAUCAACAUAUAUGGUCUUGUGACUCUUAAGGUAUGUUUGAGAUUUUUCUGUUUAAAGUUUUGUUGGGCGGUUUCUCUUGCUUGGUAUACUAGGGGUUUGGACUUCCAUAUCUUACAUGUAUUUUCAUACUUUUGUUGGGUGGUUUCUCAGGCCUUUUAUCUACCGUGGGCAAUGCUUGCAUUGGAUGUCAUUUUUGGUUCACAUAUUAUGCCAGAUUUGCUGGGAAUCAUUGCUGGGCAUCUUUAUUACUUUUUGACUGUGUUGCAUCCACUUGCAACUGGAAAGACAUUAUUGAAAACUCCAAGAUGGGUGUAUCCUUGCAUAAUUUGGCAGUUCUCAUAGUAAUUUGCAUACAUGUUCAAUAUGCAGCCUUCAUUAGACAUAUCAUCUACUCAUAACCCACUGCAAUUUUGAAGUUUCCCCACACAGUUUUUCUGUUGCAUUAGGAAGUCAUUGCAAGUAGCAAAUCAUGUUCAUAUGUUCUGAUUAGCUAUUGUCAUUCAUCUCCAUAAUUUGCUUCCUCAUCACAUGAUGACAUCACUGAGACGGUAAAACUAGGACUAUGAUGAAAUCUUCCAAUGAUGUUUGCCAUUAGCUAUUUGUUUAAUUAGUUGAAUAUAAUUCCAUCUAAUCAUCAUUUUCCGAGAAUUUCCUGAACUAUUGUAGACAUAAACUGGUUGCAAGGUAUAGAAUAGGAGCUCCAGCCCCAACAAACAAUCGAGCUGCUCAACCCGAAAGACCUACUGGUGCGGCUUUCAGUGGAAGAUCUCACAGACUAAGUGAUUAGUUAUGCUCCUCACCUGUUUCUAGAUGGUUGACGUAUUACCUCAACUUUGUCACAAGUUGUUUUAGAUGAUGCAGCUAACAAAGAGCGAAGUGCUCGAUUAUCAUAGAAGGGAUUUAAGUGACGGUUCUGAAUGCAAAAAUAUUUUGUUUUUCUUUUCUCUGAAAGCUUCACAUUUUUCUUAACUUGGAUUUUCAAGGAUUAUUUAAUUGUUGUAUAAUUGAAGGGAAAGGACAAGUAAAUGGUUGAUAGCAAUGAAAGUUCUUGUUCUCCAUCUUUAUUUGCUCUCAUUCUUUUUCAUAUCUUUCCGAGUAUUUCUCAAUUUCUUCCCACUCUGUUGCUCCAUAGCCGCAGAUGAUUAAAGUAAUGGACUUUUUUGUCUAGGAUGAAACGUUCGUUUUUUGUGAAUUAUCAAAGAAUUUUCCCCAAAAAAAAAAAAAAAAAAAAAAAAAAAAAAAAAAAAAAUGCAAAAGGAGAAUUUGAGACGGUUAAGACUUUAGAGAGGAGAUUUUUUCACUAAUCAUUAAAUAUUUCGAGGUUCAAAUUUUAUGCAAGUAUUAGGUAAGAUAAUAUGAUAUUAACAAAGAAUAGAAAUAAACUUUCAAAAAAAAAAAGAAAAAAAUAAGAAAACUUUUCUCCCUUCUAAUUGUGAGUUUUUGAUUCAAUGUUAGGCUAAACAACGACGGUGAUCUUUCUUUUUAUUCACUAAAUUUGUGAAAUCACAUUUAGUUGGCUCUAAUUGCAAUUUAAUUAGGACAAAUAACUGCAAAAAAAUAAAACUUUUUUGAGUUUUACUGAGCUUUCAAGUUCAUAAUACUAAUAUUUAUUUUUUAAUAUCUGAAGAAAUUUGGAUUACAUUAAAUAAAAGAAAUUAGAAAAAUAUAAUGAACUUUGUUGGAGGCAUCUAACUCGAAUGCCAUAACAUGUUAUUUAAAAUGUUAUCUUUUUACUUUGCAAUAUACUCAUUGAUAUGUAUCUAAGCAGUGAGAUUUUGCACAAUCAAGACAAAAAAAAAAAAUUACUUUCUUUAAAAAAAAAAAGAUAAAAAAUAUUACUCAAGAUAUAUUUCCUCAGACCAGGAGAGAAGAGGGUGUUAAAACGGUAUGGUAUACGUGGAGAGAGGGUAGAUAACCAUUAUUUGGUCAAAUACUACGAGGAAAAUGAGCGUGUACCGCGAAAUAGCGAAUUACUGAUAUCAGUAAAAAUGAAGCCUAAAAUAACGGAAACAUGAAUGGUAGAAAUUGAAUAGUGAAGGCCAAGCGACACGGACGGUCCAGAAAGCUUCAAUCAACCAGAUCUGAUCGUUCAUUUUUGAAAGCUCUCCGUCCGCAUUCAUCGCCCACUUUUAUAUUUAUAAUAUUUAAUUGCCUCUCUUUACCCAAACCCAGAAUCAAAGCAGCACAGACUAGCACUUUUCCUUCGUUAAGAAAACAAUCAAUCUCGACACGCAGAAAGAAGAGAAGAAGAGCUCAGAAGGAAGCAGCCAAAGAUUUAAGUUAGUAACCUAAAAGGAGGUCAAAAAUGUCGUGGCAAACUUACGUUGAUGAGCACCUGAUGUGCGAUAUUGAUGGCCAAGGCCAGCAUCUCACCGCCGCUGCAAUUAUUGGCCAUGAUGGUAGCGUCUGGGCUCAGAGCACCUCUUUCCCUCAGGUGAUUCUUCUUCUACAUUAUCUAACUGCUCUGAUCCAUCCAGCAUUGUCGUUAUAGUGUUGAUCUGAUUGUAAUGUAGCUGAAUCGAUGGUUCCGAUGACAAUGUGGCUCAGUUUUGGAUUCUAAUUCGGUUGAUUUCUCAUUGAUUGAUUGUAUUCGAAUCUGGACUCUGUAAGAAUGCGAUUCGAUAUGUGUGUGGCGUUUGAUCUGUUUUGUCAGAGGAAUCACUGCUUGCAUGUUGAUUAAUGGUUGGAGUAUAGCAUUGCGAUUUCUUUUCUUCAAAAUGAUUAAAAUUGUUACAAAACGUUUCAUAUUUGCUUUUAUUGGAUAGUUGCAUUGUUGGUCAGGCAAUUAGCAAUUAAGGUCUGCAUGUACAUUCAGACACUAUAUUAAUACUUAUUUGUUUGCAUUUGUUUCUUCUAAGUACCAAUUUUUUUCACCUAAUUAUCUGACUGUGAGGGACUUUUAAUCUGUGAUUCUUUGGGUAUUUUUUCACAAAUUGCAGUUCAAGCCCGAGGAGGUCACUGACAUCAUGAAGGAUUUUGAGGAGCCAGGCCACCUUGCCCCUACAGGCUUACACCUUGGGGGCACAAAGUACAUGGUUAUCCAGGGUGAGGCUGGAGCUGUUAUCCGUGGAAAGAAGGUGAUGACCAUUAUUAUAUCCAUAUAUAUGCUCAUUUUAGUUCAAAAUCUCCUCGGUUUAUAUUAAUGCAACAGAUUAUAUUGUAUUAUAUAUUGCAACGGGCAAAAAUCGGCCUUAAUACUUGAAUCUUUGAUUGUAUUUGAGUCAUUUAAUUGAUCAGAAGCUUGGCUUGGUUGGUUUUUGUUUCGGCAGGGAUCAGGAGGGAUCACCAUAAAGAAGACUGGCCAAGCUCUUGUUUUCGGUAUCUAUGAUGAACCUGUGACUCCAGGGCAGUGCAACAUGAUUGUGGAGAGGUUGGGAGAUUAUCUCAUCGAUCAGGGGCUGUAGGCCUAGCCUAGUCUAUCACAAUUGAUUAAAUUUCUUCUUAUGGGGUUACAAGUACUGUUUUUGUUUAUGUUUUUCCUUUUGUUUUUGAUCUCUGGUUCCACGUUUGCAUCUUCUUCUCUUGAAAGGCCUUGAAUUGGCAGUGAAGAUGUUGCAGACAAUAACCAUGCGAGAACUAAAUUUGUUGUUGGUGUUCGCUUGUUUUUGACUUGGAUUACCUUGAUAAAAUCUUGAUCUCAUGUGUAUUCUUUGGAUUUGAUCCACAAUUUUCUCCCAUGCAAAUUGCAAAUGUUACUUCUUUUUGAAUUAUUUGUUUCUCUAUUUGUUAAUUUACUGGCAAGAACAACUCCAUUCACUUUUGCAUAAUCUCAUACCUUCUAUCUUUGCUGGAACUUUAUUGGUAAGGAAUAAAUAGCAAGUGGUCAACUGUGCUUUCGAGUGGUUAAGACUUAAAGAUGUGGAAACUUGACAUACUACUUUACUACCACUUGCAAUUUCGGUAUAGAUUAUAAUAAACAGAACAUCAUCACCACUAACACAGAGUUAUUUUAUGCCACUAUUGUAGAAUCAUAUCUUCUCAUAUGGAUAUUUCUUAAAAAUUUCUGGCAUUCCUAAUUCACGAAAAGAAAACAAUAUUUAUUACCAUAAUUUCGCGUUUCAUAUAAACACAAUCGGAAAAGAAUAAUAAAGUUCCCUUUUUACCCUGCAACUUUUUAUAUCUGUAACUCAUGGUCUCAUUCAAUGUAACGAACUCCGUUUGAAGCAAGUGCCGUUUCUAAUGGACCCUAUAGUAACAGUAAAAACCACUUUAAAAAAAAAAAAAAAAAAAAGGGACAAAAAUCAAUUACUGAAUGUUUUUCUUUGUCCUUUCUUUUUAUUUUCUCUUUUAUUAAUUAGUGUGGGGAUGGGUUCAACAGAUUGCAGUUGUUUUCACCGUUCCAUUGCUCUCAGAAGAAAAAAGAAAAAGAAAUUUGAUAAUUCAUAGAUACGAAUUAUUUUUAAAAAGGAGCUUUUCAUACGCCAAACCUUCUUUAAUCAUCUGGUAAUGGGCCGAAUGAUCUUGUUUCCCUUUCGGUCUGGGGCCCAUAAGUUUCGGAAAGUUGUACCCCGAUAUUCAUUUCCCGUCAUAAGCUGUCAGCCUGUCACUAACAUCAUUUAUUAUUUUUUCUAAUAAAUAAUAUAUUAUAUUCCCAUACUAUACACAAUAUUAAAUAUAUUCUUGGGAGAUAAGUAAUAAUCUUUUUCUGGAUGAUUUAUAGUUAAGCUACCACCCAAAAAAUAAAAAAAUAAAAAAAAGAAAUAAGGAAAUCAUGCUAGUUGAAAUUAUUUUAUUUGUCCAAUGGCUGUACAGGAGGAAAUAUUCCUGGAAAUAUAUAUUCAUUUGUCUAAUUUUUUAAACAUUUGAAAAUUGAAUUGCUCUUCUCCAAAAAAAAAAAAAAUAUCAGUGCUAAAUAAAUUAUUGUUAUGUAAUUUCAUAAUUUGGAAGCUAAAAUAAUUUACUAAAACUUAAAAAUUAAAUUAUAGAGCAACCAUUUAUAUAUCUUGAUAAUGACAAUACUAAAAAAUAAUAAAUUUUUUAAUCCGGAUUAGAUUCUCUCAUUUGUAUUCAAAAAAUAACAAAAUUUUUUAUAUUUACAAAAAAUAUAUAUUUUUUAUUUUUUGGUGCGAAUAAUAGAUUUUCUUUGUUAUUUACUUUUUAUUUAAUGAAAUAAAGAAAAGGAAAAACCAUAUACUGUAUUAAUGUCUUAAAGUGUAUUUUAUUUUUUGUAAAUAAUAAUUAUGGAGACAAAAAUAAUAUUUGUCUUGUAAUUACAUAAAAAAAAUUAAAACGGUCAGUAAUAUUUAAUUAAAUUAUAAAAAUGUGCAGUAAAGUAGCCCAUCCCAUACAGUUAAUAAUUAGAAACGGUACAGAGGCUGUGGACCACGUCUCGUCGUUUUAACGCAAUAUCAGUGUCUGCUGGCUUCGCAGAUAAGAACAUACCCAUUAGAACCCUCUUUCUCUCAGAGCAGAGGAGCGCAUACUCACACCUACAGGCCACACAAACACUAAAAGCUUCAUAUAUUUUCCCUAGAAGAAGAAGAAAGAAAUAAGAAGGAGAAGAAGAUGUCGUGGCAAACAUACGUAGAUGAGCAUCUUAUGUGCGAAAUCGAAGGCAAUCAUCUUUCUGCUGCUGCCAUCAUCGGCCAAGACGGCAGCGUUUGGGCCCAGAGUUCUACUUUCCCUCAGGUAUUUCUAUGCUUAUACUCGGUUUUUUCCUUUCUCUUAAUUUCGUAAAACAAACCCAUAUAAUCUUUGGAUUGAUCGGAAUUGAUUAUUAGGUGGAUUCGGUGAUAGGGAUGCGAUCUGACUGGCUUUUUUUUUUUUCUUCAAUUUUUUGUUCUCAUACAUUAGUUUGGCUUCUGAUUUACGUUAUUCUAUAUGUUGAUUUAUUAGCUGAUUGGAUAUAUUCGAAACAAAGUUGAUCCUGCGUUGCUCAGCUGUUUCUCAAUUAAAUUUUGGGUCUUGCGUUUUUUAUUAUUUUUAUUUAAUAGCUCUUGCUGGGUUCAAAAUUGUUGCCUUUGAUCCGAUCUAGUUGAUGAUUUGGUGUUUAUUUUAUUUGUUUCUGGGGAUUAACCAUGUGGGGUAAUUAGGCAUUUAUACUGUCUCGCAUGGUUUGUUUUGUUAGCAUACUCUAGCUGAGUCGUUUGAUGUGAGUGUAUUUGAUCUUUGGGUUGGCUUUGAUUCCUGCUUAAUAUGGUUUUCUUCUUCUCUUUAUCUUCCAUAAAUUUAGCUGAGAAUCUCCUUUUGUUAAUUGAAAAAUGUUCUAAUUUUAUGCUCAUUUUCUUCCUCUGGAAUAGGGUGGAAAGGAAAUCCAUUUGCUGGUUUACUUCUCUUAUUGCAGAAAGGGAUUGCAUGAAAAACAAUAAAUUUUCAAUUUUUAUUUAUACGCUUCCUGUUUGUGGUAACUGUGAACAGAAUUUGGAAUCCUUUUUUUUAUUAUUUUGUUUCUGAAGCAUAUGUAUAUAUGGGGUAGCUGCAGAUGGGAUGUGCUAUGCAUAUAACUUUUAUUUUGAUAGAAUUAUACUCAUUUUUUUGAUUUUGAUUCUUGCUUUAGUUCAAGCCUGAAGAAAUCACUGCCAUUAUGAAUGACUUUAAUGAACCUGGAUCACUUGCUCCGACUGGGUUGUACCUUGGUGGCACAAAAUACAUGGUGAUCCAAGGGGAGCCAGGAGCUGUCAUUCGGGGGAAGAAGGUAAUCUACUUAUCAUGUUAAAUAUUUUAUUUAACUUCAUUCACUGUGCUUAAUUGUCUGAAUUUGCAUUCAAACACACUUAAAAUACCAUGCUUAAUGUAAGCAUACAAUUGGCUAAUGUAAUAAUACUGAACAUUUCAUAUUUGUAUGUUAAGAAUAAUAUGAAAUUUGAUCAUCCAAAUGCUGAGCCAUCUGAAUCAAAUGUCUUACUUGAACACUAGAAAACUCCAGAGGUUUCACAUUCACUGGGUCCAUUUUUGGCCAUAGUUGGCUCUACGUUGGCAGUGGAUAUUACUUGUGCCUGUAUCUUUGUGGAUAGAUUUUUAAACAAGAAAUCUCAUGCUUUUCGAUUUUGCAAUCUGCAGCUCGUGUUUAUAAUCCAUGCAUUUAUGAUAACAUUGUCAAGUUCUUUCCUCUUGAUGUCAUCUAAGUCUUUAUCACUUCAAUUUCAGGGACCUGGUGGUGUUACUGUUAAGAAGACCAAUCAAGCUUUAAUCAUUGGCAUCUAUGACGAGCCAAUGACUCCAGGGCAGUGCAACAUGAUUGUCGAAAGGCUUGGCGAUUAUCUCAUUGAUCAGGGCCUUUAAUCUCUCUGUAUUAUGCCCUGCUAUUUAUUACAAUUUUCUUGGCUUCUAUACAAGCUUGCAGUAGCCUACCUGCUGUAGGAAUGGCCGAAUGCAGUGAAAUAAUAUUAUGAUAUUAAAAGUCAAGUGGAACAUUGUGUGGAAAGAAAAGGUUUGGUGCUUGUUAAAGUGAAUGGAUAUGAUAGCUCUGUUAUUGUACUAGUUUGAUUAUGAUAUUCUGAUGGUUGUCGAGUGAGGUCUUUGUCUAAACUACAGUGGAUUUCAUUUAAUGAAUGUUGUUAUUUGAUUGGCAUAAAUUCUCUGCUUCUGCAGCUGUUCUUCCUUUCUAAACGAUGAGUGAAUCAUUUUGGCAGAAUUUUGCCUUGCUCAAUUGUCUUUUCCAAAAUCACCGUGCUGUUGGUUUGUUGAUAAUUGUAUCACAUUUAUCAUAUUUCAAAGCGAAUGAUUAAUAAAUGAUACCUCAUCGUCGACAUCAUCAUAGUCUCUGCACAAAGAAAUCCAAAAUAAAAAUAGUUAUGCCAGUGGGAGAGGGCCGUCAGCCAUGGGAGACUUAUCUUUAGCCGUUUUACAUAGUGAAGCAACAAAAUUGCGACUAAGCCAUUCCCAAUUGCCAAUUUCAAUUUCCAAGCCCUUUUCUAGCGAUAUUAUGGCCUAGCUAGGCAGAUACAAUGGCUAAACCUGGUGGUAAAAGUUGAUAUCUUAACAAACUGCACCUGCAAUUGCCGCAUGAUAAUAGAUAUAUUAUGAUUCUAGACCAUUAAAAUUGUUUUGAAGAUAAUUUUGACACAUUAUAGAAUUUAAACUCACAACUAAUAUCCUUUUUUUCAGUAGCAUCUAAGAAUGAAAGAACGAAAGAAUCAAUCUGGCACAAAGAAAAAGAAACAUCACCUUUUAUGCUAAAUUGACUAAUAAAACACAAAGUUACACGCACAUAAAAGGCUGAGAACUGAAUAAAUAUAUCUAAUCUCAUAAUACCCACUACAUAUCAUACAAAACUAAUAGCAGGCAGAUAUCAUACAAAACUAAUAGCAGUCAGAUAUCUUUAUGCCAGAUUGCCAAUCGUGCAUUUUUAUCCAUGCGAUCUACGGGAAACAAAAAUCCCGUACUGAUACGUCUUCCCCGCAUAAAGAAUAGCAUUGUUCUGUUUCACUUCAGCACACUUUACCAUGGUUCCACGAUCAGGCUUCCUUAAGCGUUGCCAAUGUUCAGAAGUGCAAGGAAUGUAAUAAGAAGGAAACUGGAAGCCCAAGCAAAAACUUCGUUCGGCGACGAGGAGGAAGACGUAGAAGCCAUUGCUGUCGUGUUAGUUGCGGCUGUUUUGUUGCUCCUGUGUGAUAAUAGCAAAACAUAUUUUAGCACGCUGAACAUUAGGAGUAGCUAGCAAAUUACAGUGCAGGCAGAUUAAACUUACCCAGUGGUCAUAUACAAGCAAUUAUCAUAGCCUGCACAACACAAGCAAAUACUAGUCAGUUUAUCUAGCAAGCGAGAUCCCUUUCAGAGAAAGAAUAUUGAAGACCGUCUGCUUUUUCUUAUCGAAUUAACCAAGUAAAAAUCAGAAUCAACUUCUCAAUCAGUAAAAUAAAAACCACCAAAAAAAAAAAAAAAAAAAAAGGCACAAUACUACACAUACUUGGAUCCUUGUCAACCUUAACUCCUGCCCCACCAAAACUGCAAGCAACAUCAGAAGCCCCAUUUUGCUGGUAGUAACUAUUGAAUGCAUAAGAUGCAUGCGAAAGCAGAGUAUCUGGCUCAAAACAAGGCUGGCUAGGCUGAAUGGCAGAACAGUCUACGUUCCCAGGGCCACAUGCCCAAUCUAGGGCACUUUGCAAGUCAAGUUGAGAAGCAUUACUCGAAGCAAUGCACCAUGUUGUUGAGUUUAAACUGGUAAGGUUGGUGUUUUUGGGUAUGUCAAUAACGCCUCGUCCCGUAAAAUCCAAAUUGUAGAUACUUGUCUGGUCUGGAUAAAAUAAACCCCAGUUCCUCUCAGAUUCCAAACCUGGUUUCCUGUUCUCAUUGAACAAUGAAAAGAUAUAAACAUCCAGCUCUUCUCCAGGCUUUGCAGGUGUACCCGCGUUGUUAAUGACAUGACGAAUCAAAUUGGUAUUAUAUGUCUGGGCAUUCUCAGGAGUAGCAGCUUUCUCCUUCGUUGACCCUUUGGACGGCCAGCCUGUCUCUGUGACCAUAACCUUAAUUGUUCUGAAAUUCAAGGCCAUCAGGGCAAAAUAAAGGGCAUCAAUCUGAGCAUCAAACAUGUUUGUGUAAAGUAGACCAGUGUUUGGGUCUAUUACUUCAGAAGAUGACUCAAAUACAGCAUAAUCCAAAGAUAUAUUGUUUGGAGAAUCUCUGUAAGCAUAGUAAGGAUAAAUAUCAAUCAUGAAAGGAGAUUGGUUUUCAGCAAGGAAUUCCAGCAUGGGCUUCAGAAAAUAUGCAUGACUGCUAUUGAAAGCCCCCGCAGAUGGUGGGAAUGAACGAGACAAAAUCCCAAGGGAAUGAGUGCUUGAAACUUUGAUCUUUUUAUGCAAACCAACCUUUCUUAGGGCUGUGAGGACAUUAUGCAUGGCUGGUACAACUUGGGCAGAGGCAUUAUUGGUGCUUUCUGUGACUUCAGCACCAACAGUAAUGUAUGUGAUCUUUGUGGCAGGGUAAUAUGGAAGAAUACUGUUCCUUAACCAUGAGUCAGCAUUGGAUUGAAACUGGGACAACGCUAGUAAGUCUGAAUUUGGAACUCCAACCAUAAGUUCAACUCCGGUGUUUGCAAAGGCCUUGAGGACCUGGAUAUUUGAAUCGUAAAUCCUCAAAUAUUUAAUAUUAUGCUGUCGAACAAGCUGUGCGACUUUAUCAGGAGUUGGGAGAUCAUCAGCAUUUCUUCCAUAGCAAACUCCUAUGGUGCUUCCUCUGCAAUAGACUGCAAAAGAAAACCAGCAUGAGCUCAGCACCACUAUUAAAUUUACAAGAAAAACUAUGAAGCACAAAAAAGAGUCUGGCUAAACUACGAGCAACAGCAGCAGGGGUCAGUUCUCACAAAAAGAACAUAGCUAUGUAAAUUAGUUAACCAGGCAUUCAAUAAAUUCAACUAACAGUUCUAACAAAUAAAGAAAAAAAAUUUGGAAUAAACAUUGCAAUUCGUUUUCACUAAUAAUUACAGCCAUUACAAUUUUACUGCAAGAACAAGGAUACUCCCAAACAAUGUGUUCUUAAUACAAGCCUUAAUAUGUUCACAUAAUCUUUACUGAGAUUGGUUUAUAUGAAAUCAAACUUUAGGAUGUGAAGAAGAAAGAGGGUGAGAAAAAGUUAGCUUCUUAUUUAUGGCUUUCAGCAAGCCUCAUCAUUCGGAAGGAAAUAUAUGUCCGCAAGAUCAUCACUAAAUCGUUCUUCUCAAACUCCAUACUGAAUCAAAACCAAGUUGAAGACUUCCUAACAAAAGAAGGAUGGAUUUCCUCUGCCAUAUGUAUAAGUUUUCAUUCAUAUAGAAAACAACUCCUAAUAAAGUAUGGAGCUAUCACAGUAAAAUCUAAACAAAGCUAAAUAUAAUUUCAUUAAUUUCUUGUGAUGUCAUAUUAACAUCACAGAAUGCCCAAAAUUAUAGUCUACAAGCAGAAAAAAUCAAUUGGAUAGUGUUAUAGCUUCAUAACCAUGGUCACUAAUCACAUCAUAUCCAACAUAGCAAUAAAUGAGAUUCAAAUACAGCUGAAUUCAAUCACUCAGUUUCAUAGUAAUCAUACAAGCCAAGAAUAAACAAAAAGACAACAUUAAAAGAAACAUCAUAAGGGGACGACAAAUAUAAAUACUGCAACCUCGCUGUCAUAAACUUAAAUAUUGUGAGCCUACCUAACAGAAAAUAUAGAAAAUAGAACCACUACUUUUGUUUAUUAUAAUUUUAAAGAAGAAAUGUAUAACAUUCUAUUCCAUUCUAGGGAGAAAAGAAAUGUUGACAUCCUUUCUGUAGAUUAGACAUAGAGCAAAGCAACUAUGAUAGGACAAGCCGUGAUUAUUUAUAACGACCAGACAAAUUCUUAAGUGGAAAAAAAAAGCAUGUUCUAUAGCUGUUAGUUCUAAGUUUCUCCUAGAAGUACCGCUAACAAUGGGCGCAGAACUAUAAGAAAAAUCAGAACAAGCUAGCAAAAGGGAAAAAGAAAACAAAGAGACUCAGGAAUGCAGAUUAUUUAGGCCAAAGAAAGCAGAUGAAGAUUUGUACAGGAAAUGCCAAAGUCCAAAUAUUAUCCAAACUUCAAACUUACAAACAAAAACAAGAAAAUCUCUACAAAGAUGCAAAAUCAAAACUAGAACAAAAAAAAAGAACACCACAACACAUACAGAAUGCAAAUGCAAGAAGAUCACAAAUAGAGCAAAGAUAAAAUGAAGAAAAUAAGACAUACCCAGAAGUGUGAGCAACAGAGACACAGCAAAGAUAGGCUUAAAUCCUCUCGCCAUUGCUCGGCAAACUAACUACAGUGCACAAAACUCUUUCCUUUCUACUUUACUCUUUUAUCUGCGAACGUUCUUGGUCUAGGAAUCUAGAGAGUAACGUCUCUAUUAUCUUUCUCCCAUUCCAAAAAGCUUAGCUUUCUCUCGUAGCUCGAGAGGGAGAGAGAGAGUGAUAGAGCUUAAACUUGGCUUGGCUUGGCUUUAGUGUACAGUCAGUCUAAUGGGUGGUAGUGUCAGAGAAGGAGAGAGGCAGUGAUCGGACCGGACUUCAGACAUAAUUUUAUAAAAUAUGGUUAACAGAAGUGCCUGGAUUCCGCUAAUUUGGCAUGUCUGUUCUAUUCCGCAAUCCGCACCCAUUAUUUAUACUAUACGCUAUUAUUAAACGGUCCACUUUUAUUUUUUAUUUUUAUGGACAUAAUUCAUUUUCUUUUGUUUUUUAAAUUAAUAAUUUGUUCCACUUUUGGUAUCUCCCCACUGUUCUUCUUCGUCUGCUUCAGCUUAUUUUUUAUUUUUCUUUUUCACACCUCUUAAAUAAAUAGUUGAAAGAUAUAUCUCCUAAUGCCCAAUAUCUAAAUAUUUAAUUGUAUAAUUUAUUUUAAAUAAAAAAUUUUGGUUUAAAUUUGUUCAAAAUACAAAAGUUUUGGUUUAUAAUUUAUUUUCAAAUUUCUUUAACUAUUUACUCUUUUUGUCUCUGAAAAAUAUUUUCUAAUUUUUUUAAUAUUUACAAUGCUGAAAACAAAAUAUUAAUAUUAAUUAAACAAUAAGAAAUAUAUUAUUUAGGACUCAUUUUUUUAAAAUAAUAUAGUAAUAAAGUAAUUUAAAAAUGUAAGAAUUUAAAAUCUUGCGUACACCUUAAAAAUAUAUGAUAUAUCAAAAAUAAUAAUUUGCAUUUCUUGUUUUAGAAUUUUUGAAGAUAAAUCUGGAACAUUCAUUAAGUCGAAUGAUAAAAAGAAAACAAUUAUUUGGGAAAAAUUUUUACAAAAGAGAAUAAGCAUGCAUGAUAGUAGGACACUCUUGCUAAAUAAUGAGAAUCCAAAAUGGAUUAUCUGCGAAUCCAACCAACAGAUAAGAUGAUGACAUGCAUUAUUCAUCAAAAUAAGCAAAUUUGUAUUUGAAUUUAAGCACGUGAGCUUCUUUUUACUUUUUCAGGAGUCAAGAUUGCAAUAAAUUGCAGAUGCACCCCUAUAACAAUCUGUACAUAUUUAAACGUAUUGGCUAGCCUUUUUUUUUUAAAGCCCAUUCGUUCAAAGUUCUGAACUUAAGGCCUUAGAAGCCCACUUAUAUAUGGAUUUUUUUUUCUUUUACAUAAAUAUAGAAGUCCUAUGAAAUUAAUCAAAUUUAUUUUCUUAAGGCUCCGUUUGUUAUUAUAAAAUAAUUUAUACAGAAAUAUUUUUUACAAAUUUUUGUUGUUUGAGGCACAUAAAAAAAUGAGUCAGCAGAAAAUAUUUUCUGAUCAAAGAAAAAUUAAGUUAUUUUUUAAGCGAAAUAAGUUUCCAUUUUUUAAAGAAUAAAAUAUUUUUUUUAACAUAUUGGCAAAUAUUAUAAAUCUAUAUUUUUUAAUUUAUUAAUCAUUAUAGUCACAAAUACCAAUCACUAUUUACCACCGACUAUCACCACUGGCGGUCGACGGCUACCACUACCGGCGACUUUCAUUUUUUUUUUUUUUGCAUUUUUCAUAUUUAAUUUUAAAUUAUAAAAUUUUUAUUAUUAUUAAUAUUUUUUAUAAUUUUAUGAGAUAAAAAUUUUAAUAUUUUUAAUUAAUUUUUAAUAUUAUAAUCGGAAAAUAAAUCAUUUGACAAGUUAAUUUUCUAUAAAAUUAUUUUCUGAAAAUAAGGGAGCCUAAAUUUUGAAUUCUUUUACAUACUAACUGCUUAAAUUUUGGAUUCUUUUACAUACUCUAACUCAAAACUUAAGGAACUUGUGCGUUGGAAAUAAACUUAUUAGUCUCAUUAUUAAAUUAACAACUUUGAGCUCAAUUCGAUAAAUUUAUUCAUCAAACUCCUCAGAAUUUUAAAUCUCGAACAGUUUGCGACGAACUUAACUCAUUUACAGCCAUAUCAUCUGGCAAUAGCCACUGGCUCAUUCUGGUUAGCAACAACAAUGCUUCCAGUAUCAUGUCUACAACGCCCUUAUUGUCCACUUCCAGAGCAUUUUCAAGCACCUUUUGGAAUAUUUUUGUUGUUGUCUACUGAUCAGUUUGGUGUGUUAUUGAAUAGAAUAGUCAGAUCUUAAUUUUCGGAAUAUUACUCUCUCAUUAGAAAUUAAAAGGAAAUAAAUAAAACUCUGGCUUACCAUUCAAACUCUGCCUUCCUAAGGCAAUAUAAUAAGAUCAUCUUACAGAAGAGGAUCAGAUUUCACAUAAAAUACCAAUACAAAUUUAUUACAGGAAAACCCAGAGGAAAUUACCCUAUAUCAGCGAUAUUUACAUAUCAUAAGACUAGAAAUCUCGAUGAUUAUGCUCCCAUUGAUCAUAAUAGCAAUUAGACGGUCUCGAUCUCCACUGGAUCCUCGAAAUUCGGAUCCUUAACAUCAACAGCUUCCUUCCCGACUCCGAUCUCGGCUUGGGAAUAACCAUCGCCGGCCCAAGUGAAUUUACCACCAUGACCUCCUUUCUUUGGCGAUCCGCUCAUACCCGUCGCCGACUUCCUGUCCUUCCUCCCAUCAGAUUUGGCAUUAUUGCAACCAGAUUUGGCAUUAUUGCAACUCUUGAAACUCUUUCCUCUGUCCUUCAUCUUCUCAGCACCACUCAGAUUCUCGACCGAUGAUUCCUCUAUUCGUCGUUGUUUGUGACUGGGGGUUUGUAUGUAGGCGCUUUGUUUGCAUUUUAUAGGUGGGGGUAGUACUACGGGCGUGGCGUUUUAUGAUUGGAAUGGAUAGAGAUCGGAUAAGACCGACUAUUAGUAAAUGCUAUUUUAAUUGAGAGUUAUUAUCGAGUGUCGAGCAUGCUAUGUUGCAUGAGUCGAAGGUAUUUUGAUUCUAUUGCAUGACACCGUACACGUGGCUCCCUGGCUCAGAUCUCGUUGUUUACUGCCCAUCAUUUGCGUCCAGCUUGUUCGGAUCAAAUCUUACAACCGGUAAACGCAGGCGCAGCUGUUUGUUUUGCAGAAAAUAUUUUGGCUUUUAGUUGAAUGGGCUUUAAUGGGCUUUUGGAUUUCACCGUGCCCUGCACCCCAAGCCCACUGAAACAGUAGCGACUAUCGAGCGAGUUUUUAGACCAUUGCCUAUGUGAUCAAACAGGUUCAAUGAAAUUUCGCCAUCCCCGUGCCGUGCACCCCAAGACCAAAAAGUCAGAAACUGUAGCUAGCGAGUUUUCCACUGUUGCAUGCUCGUGGUCAAACAGGUUCAGAGAAAUUUCGCCUUGCUUUCUUUUAUUUUUUUCCAUUUUUUAAGGCUUGCAUAUUAAAUUAGUCCUUAAAUUUUUCUAAUUGGUCCAACAAAUUUUCAAAUUAAUUUUAAAUUUUUCAUGGGCUAAUUUAGUUUAAAUUUAUACUAACACUAUAAUAAUAUGUAGAAUUAUAAAAAUUUAAUAUUUUAAAAUAUCAAAAGAAAUAAAAUAAUUAAAUUAAAAAUAAAAUUUUUUAAGAGAAUAUUAAAAAACACAUGUAUAAAUAUGGGCCUGGCAUAUUAUUUAUUAAAAUUAUGAUAAUUUUUUUAAAAAAAAGAAAGAAAAAAAAAGAAAGGAAAAUAAAUCAAAAUUUUUAUUUUCAAAUUAAAGGAAAAAUAGAAAAAAUUACUCCCUCCAUCCCUAAAUACUUGUUACAUUUAUAGUUCUAAAGAGUAAUAAAUUUCUUUUCCAUGUUUACUCUUUCAAUAUGAUAAGUAAUUAUUGCUUUAAUUUUUAAAAAUUUAUUGUUUGAAUAUAUUGAGAUAAGGAUAAUACAAUCAAAUAAAGGAUAAUUUAAUGAUUUUUUUAAAAAAAUCUGAAAUUUUAUAUGUGACGAGUAUUUAGAAUGAAAAUGGUAUAAUAAUGAACUAAAGGAGUAAAAGUAGUUUUAAUCUUCUCUUGUAUCCAAACACAGUGGAAAAAUAUAUAUUUUUAAAAUUUUUCCUUUUUUUCCUCUUUAUUUUAUUUUUGCCGAAUUUUCUCGCCGACCAAAAUAUAUCGUGACUGACAGUUGAAAAUUAAGCUGAUUUAUAUGGUAACAGAAAUGGACAGGGGAAAAAAUGCAGAUUUAUCUUCGAAAAUAAGACGUUUUCAGGCUCGCCAAGCUGUAAUAAGUGGAUGUGUCAACUUUGCAUUGGAUAACCAUAUAAAAAGAAAAAGAAAAACACAGAGAAAAACUCUUAACUUGCUAAAGCCCUAAAAAUUACGAAGCGGGACGGGAGCAUCCAAGAACUGAAACCGUGGCCAAGGCUGAGGCGAGUAAGGGUUUCUAAGGGGACAAUUAAAUAUAAAUCAAAUAGGCAUGAUAGGGUCCUCCUUAACACUUCUGCUCGCGCCGGUCUCUCCUCCCUUUCACUCCUUUAAUCGACUCUCUCAUUUCCAUUCCUCUUCUCUCUCUGCCUCUGGUAAGCUUACCUUCUACCACAUCAGUAUCUCUUUGAGUUUGCGUGCUCUGUUUUCGAUUUCUUUUGCUGGUUUAGCAUCAGAUUUUGUGUUAAACGGAGUUCAAUAUAGAAUGAGAUUUAUUUUAUUUUAUUUUUAUGCUGUGAUUUUGCUGUGAAACUAGACAGAAUUGUUAAGAGUCACAUCUAGAAGACUUGCUUUUGCUACAAAGACACAGGCAAUAUCGACCAUGACGAAUGUAAGUCUGUUUAACCAUUUUAUUUAGAAGCUUCUGGUAAGUAAAUGCUUGUGUAGAUUGAGUUUCCUUUUUAAGGGCUAAUUGUUGAAUAUUCUUGGUGAAGAAGACCGAGGAGAAUGUAGGCAAUUUGAAGAAACAACUAGCGAAACUGUUUGAAGUAUCUCUAAGAGAGACAGUGCCUACUGAGCCAGAUAUCGAGCCUUUAGUUGCGGCCUGCACUGCAAAAUUUGGCGACUACCAAUGGUAAUACUAAUGCGCUACCUGAAAUUACUUUACUGCAAAAUUUGGCGACUACCAAUGAUAAUACUAAUGCGCUACCUGAAAUUACUUUAAGCUACGUUAGUAUAUAAGCUACGUUUCAAGUGGUAAUAUUUCAAUUCUGGAUUCGUGUGUGCUUCUAAUUUGUGCUGAAUUUAUGCAUAUUUUAUCUGGUGCAGUAAUAAUGCCAUGAGUCUCUGGGCUAAAAUAAAAGGGAAGAAUACUGAAUUUAAGGGGCCCCCAGCUGUUGGACAGGUAUGAAUAAUUUUCAUGUUAGCAACUUAGAAUUCAAUUGUUCAUGCAUGAAUUAGCUUCCUACUCUUUUUCUAAGCUCCCGUUUUCCCACUCUUUUUUUAUUCUUCUUUCUAUCUCCUGCUGUUGGUAUUGGGUAAUUGGAUUGAAGCAUUUGUUUGAUCUUUAAUGUUUCUUAUGGCAGGCUAUAAUGAAAAAUCUUCCUUUGUCUGAAAUGAUAGAAAAUUGCUCUGUGGCAGGACCUGGUUUUGUGAAUGUUGUUUUGUCAAAGACUUGGUUGGCUGAGGUAUUUACCUAUUCACCGUUUCCAAUUAAUCUUAUGAAUUUGUUGUAUGAUUAUUAUAUGUGUCUUUAAAAUCUUUUUGCACGCACUUUUCUUUUGCCUUCUCAUGAUUCUAGUAUUUUUCUCAGUUGCUUUUUAUUUGAAGUGGGAAACUAGUCCAAUUUGACUUCCAGUGGUUAAUGUAAGGUUACUCAUGUUAGAUUGUUUUGGCUGCAGAAAAUCCAGAAGAUGCUUAUUGAUGGUAUUGACACUUGGGCACCUAAGCUUGCAGUUAAAAGGGCUGUGGUUGACUUUUCCUCCCCCAAUAUCGCAAAAGAAAUGCAUGUUGGCCAUUUAAGGUCUACUAUUAUUGGUGACACGCUAGCCCGCAUGCUUGAAUACUCUAAGGUUGAUGUUCUUCGGCGAAAUCAUGUUGGCGAUUGGGGAACUCAAGUGAGUGUGAUUUUUGAAAACUUCUAUAUAGUCUCUUGCUCUUUCAUAGACUUUUGAUAUGCUUGACAUAUUUCUUCCAUUAUGAAGUGUUGCAUCUCUUCAAAUAAUCUUUUAUAUAUCUUAUGACAUUUUCCCCUUUCUCAUUAGCAACCUGUUGCUUAAAGAUUUACAUUUGCUUGCAGUUUGGUAUGUUGAUUGAAUUCCUCUUUGAGAAGUUUCCAAACUUUGAAGAUGUUAAUGAAAGCGCUAUUGGGGAUCUACAGGUGACUGAAAAACAUUUAAUUAUUUAAAUUGUGAAAUAACCUUUAGAGUAAAUAAGCUAAAAUCAUGUAGUGCUAUGCAUUAAAAUUUGGACCAAGAACAUGAAGAUCUCGGAGAUCAAUUGCUGUUUGGGUUUUAUGUUUUUGAGCACUUACAUCAUGCCCAUGGACAGAAUCUGUUCUUUGCUUGUGUAUGGAACUGAUCAUAAUAAUUUGUAAUAGUAAGCAAAUUAUUCUUAUUAAGAAAUGCUCAAUACUGUUUCUUUUCUUCUCCCUUACCCAUUAUGCAUAGAGCGUACAGCCGUGGCAAUUCAUAUUGCAUGUUAUCUAAGCUAUAUGACAGUUUCUAUGAGAACUCAGAUAGUAUUAGGCUAUAUGUACGGCUAUACUGCUUUUUUUUUUUUUUUUUUUUUGGUUGGAAAUAAGGAUUAGAUGCUUCCUUGGGCAAUAGAUGAUGUGGCUUUUAGAAAGCGGGAAACAUGAUAUAUCUGAUUCUAACUUGAGUUAUGCAUUCUAUAGGCAUUCUACAAGGCAUCAAAACAGAGGUUUGAUGCUGAUUCCGAAUUUAAGGAAAGGGCACAAAGAGCAGUGGUCCGCCUCCAGGUAUAUCUUUUACUUUUUAACUUGAAGGACUCAUUGGGUUGAUAUAUAAUUUAUUGUUGGACCUAUAAACUGUUUAUAGAAGGGAAUUGAAUGUGAAUUUUUUUUUCUUUUUUUUUUUUUUUUUUUUUGGUAUGCAGGGUGGAGAUCCCAAGUACCGCCAAGCAUGGAUGCAAAUAUGUGACAUCAGUAGGAAGGAGUUUGAUAAGGUCUACCAACGCCUUGGAGUUCAGCUUGAAGAAAAGGUAGAUAUCUUAAUUUUCUAUAUGAUGAUUUUUUGAGUGCCAACAUUAAUGGUGUUUUAGGAAGCUGCUAGUGAAAUUCUGUAAACAAGAUAUUUACUUCUUGGGCUCAUUGGCGAAUUAGUAAUUUGCUGAUCCUCUUGCUAAAAAUCAAGGAAUUGGGAGAUUUCAUAUGAAGGUUUCAUGAAAAGGUUAAAUGGGGUGCUUUAUCUUAUGAAAUCCAUCUAAGCUACACCAAAUUCGUAAUGUGUUUUAAUGGUAAUUGCUUAUCAAAAGAUAAAAGAGCACAUUCACACGAAUGUCUAUUCCCAUGUCUUGUUCACAGGGAGAAAGCUUUUAUAAUCCACACAUUCCUGGGAUUAUAGAGGCAUUAAGCAAUCGAGGAUUAGUUGAAGAAAGUGAAGGUGCUCGUGUGAUCUUUAUUGAAGGAUUUAAUAUUCCUCUUAUUGUUGUGAAGAGUGAUGGUGGUUAUAACUAUGCUUCAACUGAUCUAACUGCCCUUUGGUGAGUUUAUAUUUCUUCUCAGAAUAAAAUCUGGAAUUCUCUUUAGAUGUCUUGAUCCUAUUAUUCUAUUUUUUUGUGCAUCUAUUUAGUCCCUGGUUUGGAUUCCUGUACCUUGCGAUUUGUGUAAUCGUUUGAAACGAUUUGGAAGUUUAUGUUAUCUAGAUGAUCACAUUAAUUAUUGGUUUUUCCCCUAAAUCAUAUAUAAGCUAGCUAAAAGGUAAAAUUAAUACGAGUGAACUUCAUUUUUUUUUUACCUUCCCUUGGUCAAUUUCUUAUGUUGAUGGGAACUGAGCAUUUUUUUUUUUACCUUAUUUGUAGCAUUGGUUGUACAUUGGAAAUGCAAAAAUAUCUUUUGAGACCGCUGAACAUGUUUCUUUUUUAUAAGGUUUUUAACAUCUGCAGAGUUCAUGUCAUGGUGGAUUGCUAAGGAUGAAAAGUGGUGGCAUUGGAAUUGAAAUUGUUGGAUGUUGAUUUCCAUGUGUAGGUAUCGCCUUAAUGAAGAAAAAGCUGAGUGGAUUAUAUAUGUUACGGAUGUUGGCCAGCAGCAACACUUUGAUAUGGUAUUCAAAGUAAGUCUCUGUUGCCAUAUCUUGUAUUCUCUUUUUUGGCUAUUAAAGUACGCUUUUGCACUUGAUAAUUCCUUGUAUUGCACUUUUACUGCCAUUUUGAUGUAAAAAUGACGAACUUGUUAUUUGUUUACAUGUAUUCCAUGGUUUAAAUUCAGAGUCAACUUAUAAUUAUGUGCCCUUCUUAUUCAGGCUGCCAAACGUGCGGGUUGGCUUCCAACUGAUGAUAGCACGUUUCCUAAAGCUAGCCAUGUCGGAUUUGGCCUUGUUCUUGGAGAUGAUGGCAAGCGAUUUAGAACUCGGGCCACUGAAGUGGUUAGGUUAGUUGAUUUACUAGAUGAAGCUAAGACUCGGAGCAAAGCAGCACUUGUUGAGCGCGGUAAAAAUAGCUGGACUGAUCUUUGAUUUUUGUUAAUUGUUAGUUAUGUGCCUUGAAUUUCUGUAUCGUCCUUAUCUUUGUGUUAGAUUUUCACCACAAAGACUUUGCAUUUCUAAGGUAAAUAAUACCCUACUUCUUUGACAGGUAAGGCUGAUGAGUGGACUGAAGAGGAGCUUGAGCGGACUGCUGAGGCCAUUGGUUAUGGUGCUGUUAAGUAAGCUAUCUAUACUAAUUUGAACUUUUCCUUUUGGCUCUAUAAGUUGCUGUAUUCUCAAUUUUAAUCCAUUGAUUUGUAGUAUCUUUUGUUCUGGGCUUGGGUUGGUGCUAAACAUUAGCUUGAGGUGGCCAAGGGAGUUGAGAAAUUACUGAUUCUAGGAUUGGAGUUACAGAAAGGGUUCAUAUUUGUGGGUUGAAGUUUGUUGAGAAAUAAUGAAGUUUUCUGGAAAAACGGUGUAGUUUGAAUUAAGUUGUAGGAACUUUUUGGUGGGGAAAAUUUUCGUUUUAAUGGUUUUUUUUUGGCAUGACGUGCAUCAUUUGGUGCAAUGUAGAAGCUUUGGGUUGCAGCAACAAAGUUGCAGGUUUGAGAUGUUGAAGCUACCAUCUCAUGCAAAAAAUUGUCAAGAGUAAGACUUUCAAGUUCUUCCCAGAUCUGAUCUCCCUAGUGAGAGUUGCAAGACCAUAACUUGGCAAUAACCUCUUCUAAGUGGUGGUUUCAAUGGCUAAAGGUGUUGACAUAUUACUGGCUGGAUGCUGAGGGAUAUGCUGAGACUCGAAGUCUCUUCCUUGCCAUAUGUAGAUAUAGAAAUUCAUAACUUGAAUUAUUUAAAAAAAAAAAAAAAACUUUAAACUCUCAACCAAAAUACCCUUAAAUUGCUGUAAGAACUGACAGGUUUUCCAUAAUCCAUAAAGGUGCUUAAAUUAUUUCUGACAUGACUUUAAAGUUUGCUUCCUUUGUGUAUGCCUACUUAUCAAAUCAUUCACGAGUUAUGCAAGAAAACCUAAAUUUGGUAAAUAUUAGAAUAAGGUGAUGGAGGGAUAUGCUUCCUCAUGUCUGCAUUAUCUGUUCCCAACAUUGUUUAUAGAUAUAAACAUGUUCAUUCGUUUAACUAUGAAUUCUACUUUUGAUAUACAUACAUUGUUAAUCUUUUUUUGGUCAGGUAUGCUGACUUAAAGAAUAACAGAUUGACCAAUUAUACAUUCAACUACGAUCAGAUGCUCAGUGAUAAGGUAAAUAUCUGAUUUGUUGCUUGGUGGAGCACAGAUUUCAGAAAGCCAAACUUGUUCAUGAACAAUUUUUAGAUACUGGGGUUAUGUGAUGUUUUUACUUGGCUAACUAUCGACUACUUGUAUUAUGGUUCUCUUAUCUGUAGUUUUCUCUCUUUUAUUGCUGUUGCUGAUGAAUACUGCUGUUCUGCCCCAGUACUACUAUGGUUUUUUAACCUUCUAGAACUUCUGAACAGGGAAAUACUGCUGUUUACUUGUUAUAUGCUCAUGCUCGGAUCUGUUCAAUCAUUAGGAAAUCUGGUAAAGACAUAGAGGAGUUGAAGAAGGUAAGUUCUCUUCCUUCCUGGUUCAUUGAAAACUUUUACAGUUUACAAUGGCCAUGCUGCUUGCUAGUUUUUGUUUAUGCUUGUAAUGUGCUCUCAAUCAUAUGUUUUAUCUUUUAAUCUAAUUUUAACCAAAAUUUCAUUUAAAACAUCUAACACUUUACUACAAGUUUCGAAUGCAUUUUCAGUGGACAUUUGUUUUAAUAUGAAUGUUGUAGUACUCAAAUCAUCUUGCCCCAGCUUUUUAUUGCUUGUGGAUUUGGAGAACAAGAAUUUGCCCCAAGUAACUUCUCAAGUAGAGAAGGUUGAUGUUGUUUUUUAUUUUGCUUGUGUCUAUUUUUUUGUGAUGCAGACAGGGAAAUUGAUCCUGAGUCAUCCUGAUGAGCGUGCUCUGGGGCUUCAUUUAUUACAAUUUGCUGAAGUAAGACGUGUUUUAAAUAAUCACUCUUUUUUUUGUCUCUUGCUUCUUGUCCUUAGCUUGCUUUCAUUCUAAAAUUUUAUCUUGUAAGUUGAAAUGGAUGUUUUUGUCUGCACAUUUCAGACUGUAGAGGAGGCCUGCACCAAUCUCCUGCCAAACGUGUUGUGUGAAUAUCUCUACAAUUUAUCUGAAUAUUUCACCAAAUUUUAUUCCAAUUGCCAGGUAUAUUCCAACUAUGCUAAAAUAUCACACUAAUAAUUGAACAUUGACCGGCUUAGGCUUGCUGACUAGGUGCCAAAACAGCUGGGGAGCUAUUGGUUACCUUCCAUUACUUCUCUCUGAGUUGUAAUUUUAUAAAGGAUUUAAUUGAAGUCAUGUUCAAAGUUCAAACUUGAGAUGUAACUAAAUGAUAUUUGGAAAAUUGGGCAGGUCGUUGGGUCAGCCGAGGAAACAAGUCGACUCUUGCUAUGCGAAGCAACGGCUGUGGUCAUGAGGAAAUGCUUUUUCCUUCUUGGAAUUGUACCUGUUUACAAGAUAUGAUACCACAAAUUCAAGAUGUAGAAUUUUGUACCUAUAUUUUCUCAGGCGGUAUAAAAAUUUUGUAUACGGAUCAUAUUGUAUGGUGAUUUUGUUGGAUUUCUCGUGCAACUGAAAAAUAGUUAGGCUUCAAUUGUAUGAUUUCCUGAUUGUAUUUCGCUGUGCAUGCAUCCCAUUUUGAACAUUUAAGGCUUCAAUCAUUGUUGUAUCCAGCCACGUGUGUGUGGUUUGUUGAAGUAAAUAUUUUUGUAAUUUUUUUUAAAAGGAAAAUCCUUUUUUUAAAACAAGGAAAACCUUCUCCAGGCAACGUUUCUGUUCUUUCUUUAUUGUUUUUCUUAACAAAACAUUACUAUUUGUUAAUUUUUAUGUCUUUUUUUUAAAGAUUUUUUAUACGCUUAAUAAUUUAUUUUCGUAUUUGAAUCCGCCUUUGAUAUUUGUUCAUUCACUUUUUUUUUUUUUUUUUUUUGUUAUUUUAUGUAUAAUUUUUAUAACGGAAAGUAGUGUUGUUACACUACUUAACGUUUUCCUGUUUUGAAAGAAAAAAAAAAACAAAAAAGUUGCGGAUUAGUGGCGGAGCUCUUAAGGGACCAAACGUGUGAACAUGGCCCCAUGUCUAAUGAGCUUCGUUAUAAUCUAAAAAUGGUUCCUUAAAAUUGAUUUUAUCCAUGAUUUUUCUUUCCAAAAUUGUCAUAUAUAAUUGCAUUCGUUAGACAUUUGCUGCCAUUACUUCAUCAAGACCAUGAAUACGAAAUGAUUUUUCAAUUUUUUUUUAUAUAUACAUGAAAUAUUAAAUAAAUAAUUUACUUAAAAAUUAGUAGAAAUUUAUCACCAUUUAAUUUUAAAGUAUAUAUGAUUUUUUGUUAAUUAAAUUCAUUGUUUUCUUUGUCAAUUUAAAAUUUAAUUAACAGAAUAAUAUUCUCAGAUGUUUAUUAUUUUUCUUGGAUGAUAUAUUUCUUACAUAUAUAUAUGUAUAUGUAAUAUUUUGAGCAUUGGAAAGGGAAUUAAGUAUAUAUGCACUUAUCUUAGGUUAUACUUAGAUUUACAUAUUUAAUAUAACCACAUAUUCUAACGUGAAAAUUUAAAAAAAAAAAAAAAAAAAGAUGAAAAAAAGAAAGUUAACUCCUUUUCAUUUCCGGUUUGUGGUUAUUCUCCAUUGGUGCUUAUUCAGGAAUCAGAACUUAUAUAUGACCUUGCAGACUAAUGUCUGUACUCUUUGAUAUCUUAGUCGAAUCCUAUUUAAAAGUGCAAGAAACGAGAAUAAGUUUCUUCUAUUGGUAAUUAAUCUUCUCUUAGGAUUAGAAUAUUAUGGAUGGAUAAUAAAGGUUCAUACGAAAAAUUACCUUCGUGCUUUAUACAAUAUUAAUUAUAUGCAUUAUAUUUGUGCUAUCAGCAUAAUUUUGAUCAACUGAAACAAUUUAAUUUUGAUAAAAAUGACGGGAUGAGCAAAAAGGAAGUCUCAAACUAAGGUUGAGAUAUGGUAUAUAGAUCUUUUUCUCCAUUUCAUCAAAUCUUCAAACUACAAAAAAAUUUAAAAAAAAAAUGCUAAUUAAAGAUUGUGCAUUUUGCAUAAUAAUAGAUGUUCUUGAUUUCACUACCUUCUUAAACCCAACCCCCUUGCAAAAAUAUGCAAUGCAAGUUCUGCAUCAUAAAAAGAUGCAUCAAAUUGCACAUGAACAUGGAUUUAAAAUCCCUAAUUAACAAUUACCCACUAAAGAAUUAGCUCUCUUGCUUAAAAAGGAUAAAAAAGAUCCUCUUGAACCUGAAAUCUUUUUUGAUAUGGUAGCUUUAGGACUAUAAGACUUGUGUCCAUCCAAAACCGCAGCAUAGCUUUUGCUCGACUUCAUUCUUGAUCUAGAUGGAGUGCUUUUCACUUUCUUUGCCAGAUCUUCCAAGUCCUUUACACUUGCUAAAGAUGUGUAAGAUUGAGACUUCCCUUGAUAAAACUUUGAAAGACCUCUCCUGCAAUUGCGCAUAUAUAUGUAUAUAUGAUUAUCUUAGAGGCUUUUCAAUAAAAUUAUUUUCAAUAAAAUCUUUUUAAUAAAAUUAUUUUUUUAUAUUUAAAUCCCUUGCUUUUUAUGCUAUAAGAAAGAUAUAGUAUUAAUCAUUGAGUUUUAUAACAAAAUUUCAUGAGGAAGAAAUUUAUUUUCAUUAACUAUAUGUAUAUAUGUACUUACUUGAUAGGAAGUUGGGUCAUGAGCUCUGAUAAGUCAUAUAGAGGCCUAUUUGUAUAUGUUGAUGAAGUUGAUGAUGAUGAUGAUAACGGUGAUUGUGAAGAAGAUGCAUCUUCGAAUAAAUCUGUUGAAGAGGAAGAUAUAACUGAGUUCGAUGAAGCUUCCAUGGAGGAUUCAGCUGAUGUUGAGUCAUAAGCAUUAUCAUCACCAUGACAAUCCAUGGCCAUCACGCAGCUUUGAUCUUGCUCUUCUAAUUGACUAGGGUUUACUUUUUCAAAAUUAAGAUCCCAAAAUUUUCUUUCUUCAGCCAUUAGUUUCUAUAUAAUAUAGUCUCCAACGAAAGGCAAGAGAAGGAAGAAAGUAAAGAAGAGAGAUCUUGCAGCAGAAAGGGUUUAUAUUAUACAAAAAGAAAAGGGUAGUAUUGGAGGGUUCUGAGCACCUUUCUUGAAUUCAUGCAGAUUGCUGUGUUUUAUUUUUCAUUAUAUAAUAAGAUUUGUUUGUCUUGUGAUGUUUUUUUUUUUUCUCUUUUUUUAUGAUUAUCGUCAAAUCUAUUAAUGGUGUAAAUUUAUUAGCUUUCCCAUGGUACAAGGAAGUGGAUAAGGUCUAAAUUUGAACACAUCCAAAGAUGACUCACCACCCCUUUUUCGUAAAGGGAGAAUAUAAAACUUAGGCCAUCGUCUGUGGCUACUUUGCCUCUUAAAGCAGUGACAGAUUAAGGUUUCUAGGCAUUCAAAUAGUAAAAGUUGCCAAUAAAGAAAUUCUACAUUUCACUAUAAGUUUGGAGAACAACCUUUGGUGGGUGGAUAUAUGGCUAAUCUUCCACUAAUCCUUGUUUGCCAAAACUUACUUAUCUCUAAGAAAAUGCUUGUUUGUCUCUGAAUUAUUAGAGAUAAGCUAAACAAAACAUACGGAUAACGUAACUUUAUUUCAUUAAAUGAGUAUACGGUUAAUAUAAUAAACUGAAUUUACCAAAAAAUUUAUCGCAAGCCAGGCAUGAGCUGGACGAAGAGGUCGACUGGGAAACCUGUCAUCAUAGUUUAACACUUUUUUAUUGCCACCACAUGUUACUCCUUGUAGGCCCCAACCUUCCGUUUCAUUCACUUUUAUAUAUGGAUAAGAUUUGCCACUACCUAAUGCACCACUCAUUUCAAUUCAUUAGGAGGUCUAUUGGCUACGGUGGAUGUGCCUACCAUAUAGCAGCUAGGUGUUUCUGUAGAUAAUUAUUUCUUUCAGUUAUAUUUGAAUUAUUUAAUUCUUAUCUGGUGGCCAGUGUUAGAACUGUGGCACCACAUGAUAAUUUGAGCUAACAUGUCAUGGGUUUGUCUUCCCACAAGCAAUGUAGUAAUCCAGUGCAGUGAUGUUCAGAAUUGAUUGCAUUAGUUUAAAUAUCUAAUAUACAUGCAAAUUUAGCUUAACCUUAGGAGACAGGAAUAUUGCGUGACAGCACCAUGUAAUAUUCAAAACGAUCAGAACUUGUUACCAAAAUGAUCUAAUGACCGGUGAAAAUUUUGGGAUGCAUGAAAUCACUACUCUAAUUAAAUUAAUGGCGGUAUUAGAAGUAAAAUUUAAAAAAAAAAAUCAAAAUUACACUUAAUUGUAUAAUAAAUUAUAAAUGAUGUAAUUAUUUAUAAAAUUAUAGAAUUUAUAGGUACAAACUCCUUCAUUAAAAUAGCUUGAUAAAAAUAAUUCAACUUAAUUGGUUAAGCUUACCAAAUGAACCUAACUUUUCUCAAGCACAAACUUGAACAAAUCACAAGUGACUUGACUCGUAUUUUCAGUCCAAGUCUUUUUUUUUAAUUAGAUCGAUAAUUUUUUUCUCAAGUGAGAAAAAUAAAUUAAUAAAUUUAUCUUAAUAUGUUUUAUUUGAUAUUUAACUAUACAUAGUAGUUAAUUUUAUAAAUUUUACAAAUAGCACAAUAUUUAUAAAUUCCUUAAAUAUUUGUAAAUUAUAUUUUUUAUUUAUAUAAAAUAGUUUUAAAUAUUUGUAUGUGCAAUUUCUUGGAAAUAGUGUUGCACGUUGAACCCAAAAUUAAUAGUGACUAAAUAUUUUGUUUGAAAUAAAAUUGUGGAUCUUGUUAACUGAUGCAACGUACAAAUAAACCCUUUUAUCAUAAUUUAAGUGUCUAAAAGCUUUUUAGUGAUUUAUUUUUAAAUUAGGAGUGGGAUUAAUUUGUUCAAUCUAGCGACCAAAUCGAUGAAAAUGGUUUUUCUAUUGAAAUAAUGGUAUGUUUAAACAUGUAUGGAGAAGAAAAAAAAAGAAUAAUUUUAAAAUUUUCUAUUUUAAUUGAUUUGAUCCGUAAAUAACUCUAUGAACCCGAUAAGUCUCGUACAUAAGAUAGAAAUUUGAUUAUGAGAUAGUGGAAAUUAGACUUUCAUCAGUCAAAGUCUUAGCAAGGUAGAGCAUUUAUUUAUUGCCAUUUUGACCAACUUGCUAUUUAUAAUCUACCUGGAAAUGGGAAAAUAAUUAAAUGAAGAAAAUAUCUUUAAAAGUUUAAUGUCAAGAGAAUAAAAGAUAAAUAUUAAAUAAAAAAAUAAGCAUAUCCUAAUUUUAAAUAAUUAGAAAUAUUUGAACUCAUUUGGAAAUUCAAAUAUUAAAAACAGUUCAAUUAGGAAUCUUAAUAUUAAAAAAGACAAAUAUUUUUGAAAAAACGAAAAGAAAUAUAUAAUGUGCAUGGGCCUUGUUUUUGUGGAGCUGUUGGGUCCAAAGCCCAAAUCUUUGUCCAUCCAUCAUCACACAGAAUGUGUUCACCCAUCAGAAUGUUGGGCAUUGGAAACUAUAUUAGUAGGCCCCGAUUGUAAAUGGCAGUAGGAGAAAAAUGUCUUCUAUUGAUUUUUUUGUGUAACUUGCAACAUACGAAUGUCAGCUGCAUCACGUGAAUCUCGAGUUUGUCUCCCUCCUAUCCCGAGUAUAACUCCAUUUAUAAGCCUUAAAAAACAAGAUGCAAUAACAAUAUAUAUAUAUAUAUAUAUAUAUAUUAAUCUAUCCGUGUGCGGAUUCUAUUAUUAGAAUUAACUAAUGUGGCUUGAGAUUUAAUCACAGUUAAAAUUCUUUGUUCCUUUCUACAUAUAUGUUUAGUUAAGACUGAACCUAAAAAUUCUUUUAACAUACCCUGCAUAAAUUGCCAACUGAGUCAUAACCGGUAGAUAACAAUAUCUAUAUUUUAUUUAACAAAAAUAAAAAUAUUAUAUCUUAAUGUUAGGAUUUAAAUUUUAAGGUACACAUAUACUAUUUUUAUUCUAUGCUGCAUAAUGCUAAACACAAAAAUUAAAUUUUAUAUAUAUAUAUAUAUAUAUAUAUAUAUAUAGCCGCCUAAAUUCUUUGUACACAUAUUUUUGACCUUUCUUAAACAAUGAAUCCAAUUCACUGAGAUUCAGAUCCUCCAUUAAAGUCAAAGAAUCUCUCUCUUUUUUUAAUUCUUGGUAUUUAUUUUAAGAGCGUGGAUAUAGGCUUGAAUCGAGCCACGUUUCAUUAAUUUUUAUAUUAAAUUGGCAGGCCAAGCAUGAAAGCACAUGAUUCAUGAGGAACGGUACAUGGAGGUGGCAAUAGUUGCAAAUAGAGAUCAACAUAGAUCGGAGUUCAAGUUGGGACUUGAAUAUUCGAUUUUUUUUUUAUAUAGGAAGAAAAAACUACUAGGUGUGUUAGUUACUGCCUGGUCGGCUCAAAUCACCAGUCAGGUAUUGACGUCCUGAUUUUAAACACUCUAUAAGGCGCGCCAACUCUUGAGCAGUGGUGGGAAACUCUGCCCCCUUCUGUAAGAUCAUGGUGUUGCGGUCCUCAAUCCAUGAUAGCAAGAACUCGAGCAAGUGGCAAAAUGCCAUAUCAAGCGCUAUGAUGCUAUUGAAACCUUUGCCUUCCUUCAUUGGUUUACGCACGGGAUACUGACACUGAGAGACGAAAGCUAGGGGAGUGAAUAAGAUUAGAUACCCUAAUAGUCCUAGCCGUAAACAAUGAAUACCGGCGCUGUGCACAUCGAACCAUGCAAUGUUGUAGCUAACGCGUUAAAUAUUCCACCUGGGGUAGUCUAAAAAAGCAAAGUAAAUAUUUAAAUAUUAUACAUAACGGAAUAUGCUCAUGAAGGAUCAAAUCUAAUCAAGCAUGCGGAUGAAGGCUUUUACCACUAGGUCACCACCUCUGAGUGAUUGGAAUUUGAUUCAUGAAGAAAAGUUAAUACCCAUUGGAUAUCCACCUUGUAAUUAAUCAAAUCUUGUACUCUCUCAGUCACAUUUGUUUGCAUGAUUUGACAAAAUACGCAUAUUAAAAUUUUAGUCAACAAAAAUUAUUUUACCUUUUCUAUCCUUAACUCAUUAAGAUAUUAAUAAAAUUUUUUCAUUUAACGAAGGAUCAUAAAGAUUAUUAUGAGAAAAAUAAUUAAUUACAUGUACAAAUUUACAUACUUUGCAAAUAUUUUGGAACAUUUAAAAAAGGAAUAAGAAGCAAAUAAAAUGGUCGGAGUCAAUGUAUAUUUUUAAUGGAUUUUUCUUUUAAAAUAAUCUGGUCAGAUUCAAAUAGCAUAGUUAUCCAUAUUCAACCCAUCAAACCACGUAUAUCCGACAGAUUAGAUAAAUAGAUUUGUUGGAGUUUAUUAUAGAUACUGGCCUCCAGAAAAGCUUUCUUUUGUUCACUUGUUAUUUAUAAUCAAAGACACAAACUUCGACCUUUACAUGAAACUUGAUAUCUUAUUUUCUGUGAUUGCAUGAGUGCAUGUGUGCUUGUCGACUAAAAGGUGAUUGCAUUUUCAGUUAUAGUGUAUUGGAUAUUGCUAUGAAAUUUAAACUCUAGGUGCAUGUUUGAAAGGGUUGAUCUAUAUAUUUAAAUCCCCCUCUGGGUCAUCGUGAGCUUAUCUGUUUAAUUGGGUUGUUUUCUAUAUAUUUGAUGAUGCAAGUUUGUGUCGGGUGGGUUGCUGCUAUGUCGUAAACUUAAUAGCUAUAUCAAGUAGCUCGCUUUUAGACUCUAUAGAUGAGAUUGUCCCAUAUAAUGCUUUUCACAUCUUUUUCAUUUGAGCCAAACUUUUUUUUUUUUUUCUCUACAGAAGGGACACAAAGCUCAAAACAGAUUACACACAGAGGCUAGGAUAUAUAAAUAAAUAAUGACAAACUUUGAUGCCAGCGUAGAUCCCAACAAUCUUAAGGUUUGUAAUUAAUCCUUUAAUCACUUAACGCCGGAAAAUAGACUUCUAACUUUUUGUAAGCUAUCAUUAAGACAGGGAAAGUCCAGUGCAAUGGUAGCGCGUUGGCUACUUGGAAAUGGAAACCUCUUUUGCUGGAGUAGUAUGCUUACAAUAGAAGAUUACUAUUCUCAUAUUUUUUCCGGUAUUUCCCAAUUCCAUUUUCGUUAAAACAAUGAUUUUCAUAUGCUAUAAUUGCUUUAAUUCUGCUCAAUCAUUUUUCUUAUUUGACAAUUGUUUUUCCUUGAACUUAUGUAGCGAUACCACUCGUCAAGGAUUCUUACUCUUGUGUAUCAACUAUGUGCAUUUGUUACACUUGCAAUACUUGCAAAUCACGAGGCAAAACUCAAUACAAGAAAAAGGAACCUACUUGGAUAUAGUUUACUUUUCAUAGGCUCUCUUCUUAUUUUAGUUGUGAGUAUCAUAUUUUUAUUUUCUAUGUUCCAAACAACUCGUUGACAGAUUUUGGUUAAUUCAUAUGCAUACUAGCUACUAAUUCAUUUAUUAUGAUUCUAUAGGUGGAUUUAGCUACAUCAGGAAGAGGGGGACUUGAAACUUUCAUUGGGAUUUGUGUCGUUAAUGCUGCAUUUGGAGUUGCAGAUGCUCAUGUGCAGGGUGGAAUGGUUGGAGACCUAUCCUUCAUGAAACCUGAAUUUCUACAGGUUAUAUAUUUCUCUUUCCAUGGUAACAUUUUCCAUGGUUUUCUAUUUCCUACGAGUAUUUUGAUGAGUCUUAAUUUUACUUCUUUUUUAGUCUUACCUUGCUGGUAUGGCAGCAUCAGGGAUCAUAACUUCUGGUUUGAGGUUAAUUAUAAAAGCAGCAUUUCAGGAUUCCAAGAAUGGUCUUCGCAAAGGAGCUAGUAUGUUCACCACCUUUUAUCUUGCUUCCUACAAACAAGGAAUUCUCCAUUUCUUAUGCUCAACUUUUUCCUUUUGGCUAAUCCAUCCGCCUUCAGCAACAAACUUAUCUCUAUCAUAUAAUAUUUAACAAAGAAGUUCACACUUGGUCUUUCUGCAAUUUGGUUAUCAAGACUAAACGUCCCAAUUUGUCUAUCGCAGUUCUAUUUUUUGCUCUCUCUGCAUUUUUCGAACUUCUCUGUGUUUUCCUCUAUGCCUAUGCCUUUCCAAGAUUACCCACUGUGAAACACUACCGCUCGAAGGCAGCCUCAGAAGGUUCAAAAACUGUUACAGCUGAUCUUGCGGCUGCUGGCAACAGAACAUUCCAACAAGAAGAAGUAUGUCUAUUUUCCCUAGAGAUAUUUAGUUAACAUAGUAUUUAUGCUAAUUCAUUACGCAAUUUAACAAUGAAAUUUUCGACAGGCUGAGGAAAAGCCAGAAAGAUUUGAGAGGCGAAGCAACAAAGAGUUAUUAUCACAGAACAUUGAUUACGCAAUUGAUCUGUUUCUGACAUAUGUAAUCACAAUGUCUAUUAUGCCUGGAUUUUUAUCUGAAAAUACCGGAUCACAUAAUUUGGGCGAUUGGUGAGCCUUGGUUUAGAAUAUCCAUGUGAUUAAUUUACUCUUUUAAAGGCUUUGUAAAUUCUGAAAUUGUUGAUAUUUCAGGUAUGCCCUGGUUCUGAUAGCAAUGUACAAUUUGUGGAAUCUUAUUGGUCGAAACAUUAUACUCGUGAAAUCGUUGAAGCUGGAAUCACGAAAAGGUCUCAUGAUAAUCAUUAUCUCUCGUUUCUUACUCGUUCCAGCAUUCUAUUUCACUGCCAAGUAUGCAGACGAAGGCUUGAUGAUAAUGCUGACAAGCGUCUUAGGAUUAACAACCGGUUAUUUCACUGUCUGUGUCCUUACUUCUGCACCAAAAGGUUACAAGGUUUGUAGGUUUCUAGCAAGUUUUAUUUUAGUUUUUAUUUAUUGUAUUGUAUUGAGUAGCAUUUGUGUUGCCACAGGGACCGGAGCAAAACGCCUUGGGGAAUUUGCUUACUUUGUUCCUUCUGUGUGGUAUAUCUGUAGGAUCUGCACUUGACUUAUUGUGGCUGAUAGGCAAAGGAUGGUGAGCUCAUACUUUUGCUGAAUUUAAGUGGAGACCUUUAAGAAAUUCAAAAGAUUUCAGUUUAUAUUUUUCCAAUGGCAAUUAUAAAGAAUAACUCGACCUUUUUCAUCUUCUAUUUGUAAAGUUCAGAAAUGUUACCUCCAAUUUCUGAGAGUAAUCUGACGCUGAGCUGAUUAAUUACUUAUCUUUGUUAUGUCAUGCACGUCAAAUCUCUUAAUUACUUGAUUUAAAUAAGUACUUUUCAGAAUAUCUACAAAGAGACAAUGUCCCUAUUGAAUUAAUGGUCUAUAAAAUAACUGAAGUAUCCAACUGCCUGUUGGUAUAUAAUAAGUAAAUCUGCAAUACAUACAAAUUUGAUGUUUGCAACUAAUUUUAGAUCGAGGCCAACAAAAUAUUCAUGAGGACUUAGGUAGUUGACGUAAACGUCGUAAAGACUCAACUUCAUCUAAAUUUAAAGCUAUAAAUUGAAGCAAGAAGCGUAGAACUUACACAAGAACCAAAGCCAAAUAAGUGGUUAUGGCAGCUCUAAACAAGUCCCUGAUUUCUCCUUCUCCUGUUGAUUGCAGUUUCAAUGCAGGGCCAGCAGGUUUAUUUCCAUUUAAAUUAAUUCAGCAAAAGUAUGAGCUCACCUUCCUUUGCCUAUUAGCCACAACCAGUCAAACACAGCUCUAUAAAUAUACUGCGAAACAAAGCAAGCGAAAAAUGGAAUUGUGUUCUUUGUAGAGGACUCCUCGUUUGAUUUUAUGCUGUUUGUUAUGAAACUUAUCAGUUCGUUCUAACUUCCUUUCUCUAUCUUUUAACACAGUCCAGUCAAUGCAUUGUAUUGGUUUCUUGGAAACGGAACCCUCUUUUCAUGUAGUAAUAUGCUCACAAAGUAGAUUAUUAUUGCCAUCUUUUGCCGGUGCUUCCCAUAUCCAUUUAUGAGAAAUACCGGGAAAAGAUGACAAUAGUAAUCUACCAUUGUCAACAUGAUGCAUUAAGAGGAGAGAGUUCCAUUUCCUAGGAGCCAACAUACUGCAGUGUCAGGAAAUAUUCACUGUUUUAAAGGUAGAAAAAGAAGUUAGAACUUGUAAGUUUCUUAACAAACAGCAUGUCUGAAAUCAAAGAAAACAGUUUCAUUUUUUUUGCUUGCUUUGUUUAUUUUGGGCGGUAUAUUUACUGGAGCUAGUUUGGUUGAAGCAAAGGAAGGUGAGCUCAUGCUUUUUUACUCACAAGUGAUGACAGAUUUCUUUGAAGGAAAUUUGUUUAUUCUGAUUUGCAUAAUGGUAAUAGUUUCCAUUAUGGUUUUGUCAGAAAAUAUAUAUAAGAGAAGGCAGCCGGUGCACGAAACUCCGGUGUGAAGAAGAGUAAUAGUUUGUCUGAAAAUAGUUGGGCUAUAAUUUCCACGUCCGUGACUAGUUGCAUAUUUUGCUGAGUUCCAUAUUUACUUCUAUUAAUAAAUUGGGUGGAAAUUAAUGCAUUAGACAAACAUGUUGUUCUCAACUUACAAGGAAGAAUAGAAAUCUUUCAUAAACCAAAAGAAAAUGAAAUACCAUUCAAAAAACAAAAGAAAAAGAAAUAUAACUUUUCAUCAAGAUUGUGCCCAAAUGAUCAGGGAGGUGAAACUGGAAAACUGCCAAAGACUUUUUGAUUGGGCCCAAAUGAUGGGGCUCAUCCGUUGGGCUUGGGCAUAGCCGUGUGUGCAGUAUUUAUCACUCUGUCGUUCUAAUAAACGACUAUUCCGAGAAAAUUUUAAGCUCAGCUUAAAAAAAAAGGCUUAUCAUUUAUGAAACGGACCGGUCGUUUUCCAGCCAUUCGUCGUGUGGCUAUACCACGGCAGGUCAGCCAAAAUACGAGCGUUUAACUUUGGUUAAUAAUGCACAUGUAAUUUCGUGUAAAUCCAAAAUUUGCCCAAUCGCCAGAGCCCGUGGGCCCAACAAUGAAUGAAAUGCCUAUUUUUUCUCGCAUUUUAAUCCUUAAUUAACAUUCUGUAUUUCAACCACUAAUUCUUAAAAUUUUACAAUUUGAUUUCAAAAACAGAAUUAAAUUAUUAUUCCUCCUAAAUAUGUUCAUUGAACUUGAAUGAAUCAACAAGCAUGGAACAAUAUACAAUAGCAAAGCUCAUGUAAGCUGUCUCAAAAUUAUAUAUUAUCUUUGGAUAUGGUAAACUAUUUGUUUGAAUAGUACAAAGCAAUUUCUGCACUGAUCGAUCAUGAUUAAUAGCCGAGACCUGAUGUGAAACAUAUUUAUAUUCUCAAUAUAGCAUUAGAAGACAAGCUAACUUGGCUUAACAUGACGAUUACAGGAUAUCUUGGCCAAACAUAUUGCAAGAAGACGGAACUAUCUAGGGUAGUUCACAGGAGGUUCCAAGCUGCCUACCAGAAUUGCAAGAUCAAUGUCUUUGUCUUCAAACUUUUUGAUGAAAGGAUGACUCUGAAAACAUUAAAAAAAAAAAAAGAGUUAAAAAUCAUUAUCUAGCUUUUCCCUUGGGUGAAAAACCAGGAAAAAAAAAUCCAAAAUAGACAAAUCGGACACUAGGUCACUAACCAAGAGAUCCAAAGAUGAUGCCCUGUCUCGAGGAUUCUUCUGUAUGCUGCAGUUACCAUAGAAAACAUAAUCAUGCACGUUACUAGUUAAAGCACUAAGAAAUUUGAAAAAUAGAGAACAUGAUAAAUGGGAAAAUUAUUCUAAGACGUUUGAACCAGGAAACUUAUUCGACCACUUAAUAUCCCCUGGUAAGUCCUAAGCUGGCUAGCAGUUGUGUGGAAAGAUGAAAAAGGUAUGCUUGUUUCAGUCAGUUUCUUGCUCAUCUGCUCUUUUGGCUGAGGCAUCGGUACUGAGGAGGUAGCAUGUUUGGUGUCACGUUGAGGUUUUAAAAUGUCAGAAUUUAAUCAGACUCUCUUAUGCUGGUUCAAACCUUCAUGAAAAGUCUGUUCCCUAGGGACAUUGCUGCUAUCAAGUGAAGCAAUUAUCUCAAAUUCCAGGGAAAUUCAAGUUGUUGCAGUUAGAAAGGACACAGAAGGAUGGCAGAGAGAGUAGCAAAAAAAUGCAAGAACAGGUUUAUGCACCCCCUCCCUCCCCUCUGUUAAUGGAAAAAACUAGUGCCUAAGAACUUCAUAAAUGACAAAUGGAAACAGGAUUAGAAAGCUACAUAUGUGCUGAAGCAACAUAACAAAAUUUGAAAUAAAUUUGUGCAAGUUAUUACCAGGAUGAUACAAAUGAACAGAACUCAGGGGAGAACUGAUCUGGAGGAGCAGAUGGUGGGGGGCUCUCCACAAUGGCUUCUAAAAGCUCAUAAAAACUUGGCCAGCUUUGCUGAUCUUCAGAUUUCAUAUAUGGAAAACGCCCUAUAGCACACUCAAGUACUACCAGGCCUAAACUCCAAAUAUCACUGCUAUAAUCGUAGGUGCUCCCACUAAUUCGCUCUGGCUAAAGAGGGGGAGAAAAAGAUCAUUACAACUGAAUUAUGAUUGAUAUAGAAACAGGUAACAACUACAUAAUUUUUUCCUUUUUUUUUUUUUUGGUGAGGGGUAUCAUAAUUAAUGAACUGGUCAAGUUAAUAGUUUUCGCUAUCUUGUGCUAGCACAGAAAUAAAACCAAGACAUACCGACAUGUAAUUGUAAGUUCCAACAAAUGUGUCCCUUUGGCCCAUAGAACUAGCUAGCAUUGCACUCACUCCAAAAUCAGUGAUCUUCACUUCUCCCUUCUGGUUUACCAAUAGAUUAGAUGGCUUAAUGUCCCUAUGUAUGACAUGCCGUUCGUGGUGCAGGUAAACAAGACCCUGUAAAACCUGUAAUAGAUGCAUAAUUAUCAGGAGAAAAGGAAGAAGAGAUCAACCAACUAUAAUGAUUCUUUUUUUCUUCUUUUUUUUUUUUUUGGCUUUCUAGAUUUCCAAGAAAGAAGCUUAUAAACCUGCUUACACACGACAGCUAGAUAAGGCUCAAGAAUGGUUUUAACUUGUCUAAUCACAUCCGCUAGAGAUCCACGGUCCAUAUAUUCCAACACAAGAGAAAUAGCUCCAUUGUGAUAGAAUGAGUGGUAGCAAACAACAACAUGAGAACACUGCGAGGCUUGGUUUAUUUUCAGCUCCUGAACAAUUUGUUUGCGUAUAUCUUCUUGUAUGUUCAUCUGGAUGACCUGUAAUGCACCAUUCAAUGAACUUCAAGGUUAUAAACAAAUAUGAUUCAUCAGUAUGAUCCGGAAUCAGAAAUGCCCUAAUCAUCCAAGAAAUCUCCAUUAUCUAAAGUUGAUGGAGUAAUAUUAUAAAUAUUCAAGGCAAGAUGUCAAAUUUUCAAGUGGAAAAUGAAGCGCAUUCACUCCCUCCAUUUAUGUGCUUCUUAUGGUUCAAAAGGACGUCAACAAAAUAAAUAGUCAGACCAUUAACAGCCUUACCGAUAUUUCCAUGUGAAGCAAACAAAACAAGAAUGUAAACAAUUGAAGUCAAUAUAUUUGUAUGAUAAUAGGUUUCUAGAAUAUCAAUUUGUGAGUCCAAAGAUUAAAAAGGCAAUAUAAAAAGCUUUUUAUAUUAGUGAAACAACCUUCAAUGCAAAAAAUGUGCCAAUCCAUUUAUGACGAACGAGUUGCACUACACCUCCACUCCCCUUUCCAAUGACUUUGAUUGUCUCAAGGUCUUCCAAUGAGAACUCAAAAUCAAGUUCUUUGUUUUCUGAAGGCUGUCCAAAUGGUAAGAAUGAAAUUAAUAAAAUAUUAACUUCUGCACUGUUCUGUAUAUAAUUCGAAAGAAAAGCAAGAUCUAAUCAUUAUAAGAAACCAUGGAAAACAGAAUGAAAGAGAGAGCUAGUAAUUUUUCUCAUUUGAAAGGAAGAAAAACUAAUGGAAUCUAACAGUUAUUAGUCGUAUCAGAUAAUAACAAUUCAAUCAACUGAAAACUAACUCGAAGUGGAUAUGAGAUCUUUUUUAUUAAAAAAAAUAAAAUAAAAUAAAUGCUACACACAGUUGAUUACAAAAUUACAGCACACUUACACGAGAUUCCUUCUCUUCAGAGAUAAGCCGGAGUCCUUUCUGAUUCAAAAGUAAAUCUCCAUCAUGAAAUGUACCGCUAGCAGUCCUGAAAUUUAACGGUAUACACAAAUUACUCAAGAAUAAAAACGCACAUCAGAUUAAUAUUAAAAAGCAAUCAACUGAAGCUUCACUUCUUUUUUUUUUUUUUUUCAAUCUUUCUUCUAAUUUUCAACACUUUGUAGCAUAAUCGACAAAAUACUGAGAUAAAAAAGAAACUGGAAGAGAAAUUAAGAGAGUGAAGCAAUGAUAAGAUAGACUUAUAGAUGACAAAGAAAAUUGAUCUAUCGAAUCGAAGUUUGCCAUAUAAAUACAUAUGAAGAAAUGGAAAGAGAGAACUUACAAGAAAGAGGUGAUGGGGGUUUCUUGAGCUGGAACAGAGAGCUUGAGUUGUUGCAAUGGCUUCUUGCUCUUCAUUUUUCAAUUUCAAAUUUCUGCUAAACUGAACUAUUUUGUUACGAAUUUUAGGGUUUUAAACUUCUUUUUUUUUUUUUUUUUUUAAAUAGUUAAAGAGAAAGCAUGAGAGAGGGAGGGCGAGAGGGGGUGUUUCGUUGCUUAUUGAGAAUGAGUCGAUUUUGACUCGUUGAUAAAGUGUACAUGAAUUCAAACAAGAAUACCGCGCAUUAUUAAAGUGGGAGAGUUAAUAUUUAGUCCCUAUAUUAUUUCCAAAAUAUAAUUUCAUCCUUAUAUUCUUAAGAAUUUACCAUUUAAUCCCUAUGCUUUAAAUCUAGUAAACACGUUAAUGUAGUCAGUGGUUACACGAGUCAUUUAGAUUCUUUAAUUUAUUUUAAUUCGAUUGUUAGUAAAGCGGACUCUAACUUCUCACGAAUGCUUAUGGAAUGAAGCAAGUAUAAUAUUUUUUUUUUCCUUACAUUUUUCUUUAUUUUUGUGAUUACUUUUUGAGAGAAUAGAUAUCAUUUUCAUAAGAUUUUUACAUUUUAAUUAAUAUUUAUUAUUAUUUGUAUUUUAAAUCACACUAAUUUUUCGCCAUCGACUUAGCUUGAUGCAAGCAAAUAUAAUCAUUAAAAUACUUAUAACAGUAAUAACUACGGUGAUUUAUAAGUGCUAGAACUUGAAACAAUAUUUAAGAGUAAUUGAAGAUAGUUGUUAAGUUUUUUUUUUUAAUAUAUUUUUAUUUAUGACUUUCAUAAUAAGUCAUUGCUAUGGAUAUUACUCUUAAAAUCUAGAUGCAUUUUAAAUUCAAAUGAUCGUUUUUUUUUUUUUGUAUUUAUUGGGAUUUAAUUACUAAAUUAUAUUGAGAAUGAUUUAUUGAAAGGUUUGUGUUGGAUUCUAAUUUAUAACUAUAUAAAGUUUUGGAUUCUUUGAUGCAUUUUUCUUAGAUUUCAAUUUUGAAUUUUGAAGAAGCAAAAAUAUUGCACUUUAAUUUUUUUACAUAAAUAUAACUUGAAAAAUAUGAGUAACAAUUUAAGAUCCUCCAAAAUAUUUCUUACCAAUUUAUACGUGCUACGUAACGUAUUCUAGUUAAGUGUAAUUAGGUAUUAUCCAAUUGAUAAAAAGGAAAGGGAAUUGACAUAAUUUUUAAAUAUACGUAUAACAUUAACAUAAUUUUUAAAUAUAUGUAUAACAUUAAAAUGAAGGGAAAAAAAAGUUAAAUAAGAUAAUUUUAUCUACUUAAAUGCACAAGUUUCUAUCCUAAAAAAAUACGUUGAAUCAAAAUAGACUUGAAAUUAAUUUUUUUUUUUUUAAAUUUGUUAUUUUUUAUGCAAAAUAUAUUAUUCAAAAUAUUUAUUUAUGAAAGAGAAUUCAUUUAAAUUGGGUUAAACUAUAUUUUUCACCCUUACACUUUCGAGUUGUUUCAUUUUUAUUUUAAAAUGACUUUUACUUUUUGUCACCCUAGAUUGCACUUUUUGUUUUUAUUUCACUCUAAUUUCAAAAUUGGACUGAAUUGAAUAAUUAAAAACAUUAACGGUAGGAAAACGUUUUAAGAGGACUAAAAGGAGGCUAUGCAGGAAUAUUUGACAUUCUCCCCUCUUUGUAAUCGUCCACACGUGUAAAUUCCCGAGGAAAAAAAAAUUCCAUAGAGUAAAAUGUAUUUUACUAUUUCCAUUCUUUAAAAAAAAUAAAAAUAAAAAAAAUCGAACGCGUAAGGAAACGUUUCGAAACGUUGCCAAUCCAAAUCACAUGGCCAUAGCUUCUUCUUCCCCCGACUUUAGCUUCGCAGAGACGAAAGCUUCCUUCCUUUUUGAAACGCAAAAACCAAAAACAAACAGUAAAAAAUAACCCCAAAUGCAAAAUAAUGGGCAACAAGAUCGCGCGCACAACGCAAGUCUCUGCCACGGAGUACUAUCUCCACGAUUUACCUUCUUCUUACAAUUUGGUGCUCAAGGAGGUGCUUGGUCGCGGCCGCUUCUUCAAGUCAAUUCUCUGUAAGCACGAUGAGGGUUUAGUCCUCGUUAAAGUCUAUUUCAAGCGAGGCGAUCCUAUCAAUCUGAGAGAGUAUGAGCGCCGUCUCGAGCAAAUCAAGGACACCUUCCUUGCCCUUGACCACCCUCAUGUCUGGCCUUUCCAGGUACAGCUUGAAUUUUCCUUUUUCUUCCCUGCAUUUUGUUUUGGCGUCUAGCUAAUAAUAUUUGAAGUUUUAGAUAACUGUAGUUUGGUUAGAAUUGAGAAUAUUUGAAUAAAAUUUUACUCAAUUGAAAAUUACUUAGCUAUAUAGUCGUGUAGACAUUUGAAGACAACGGAAGUGCGAGUUCGAGGUGAAUGUUUUGUUAUAGAGAAAAAUGACUGGUAACACCAGUGUGUUAGUCUGCGAAAUUUUGAUAUUAGCCUCAGUUAGCUGAGUUAUAUGGUUGUUCGGAGGCUAAGGUGUUAAGAAUUUUCUUAAUAUUUUUCGCUUACGUUACCUUUACCUUUUUAGGAAAUGAAAUUGAUCAUUAUUGCAUGAGCUUCUAAUAAUGUAAUGUUCUCUUCCAGUUUUGGCAAGAAACAGAUAAAGCGGCUUAUCUUUUGAGGCAAUAUUUCUUCAAUAAUCUUCAUGAUCGCUUGGGCACUCGGCCUUUCCUCAGUUUAGUGGAGAAGAAGUGGUUGGCUUUUCAGGUCUCUGUUUGUAUAUCUCUUAGCUAUCUGUCUAUUUGAUAAAUAACUUCUCACGGGAGAAAGAAAUUCAUGUUCACAUACCAUUUACUGGUGGUUUGCAGUUACUUCUUGCUGUGAAACAGUGUCAUGAGAAGGGUAUUUGUCAUGGUGAGUGCAGUAUGCUCAGAGAUUGUUGCUUUUGCAGUGAUAAUAUUUUGUUUUAUCCAUGUCCAUUUGCAUUGCAAUAGGUGAUAUUAAGUGUGAGAAUGUUCUGGUCACUUCCUGGAAUUGGCUCUAUCUUGCUGAUUUUGCUUCAUUUAAACCGACUUACAUUCCCUAUGAUGACCCAUCGGAUUUCUCAUUCUUCUUUGACACGGGAGGAAGAAGGCUCUGCUAUCUUGCGCCUGAGGUUGGUCCUUAACUGUUUCAUAAUCCUCUUUCUUCCUCUUCCCCUUCCCCUUCCCCUUCCCUCUUUUCUUCUAAAUGUAAGUCUAUAUUUAUCAGUAGUUUCUUAUAUGUCAAUUACAUUGUUUCCUUACAAUAGGCCAACUGAUCCUUGAUUAAGAAUUGUAAUGAGCCACCAGCUGAAUGACUGGCAUAUAUUUUGACUAGAAUUAAAGUUGCUGGUUUGCAGAUAUAAGUUAUGCUUGUGAGGGACACAUGCUAUGACCAAGGCUUUAAAUGUCAUGAACUGCAUUUGAAAACUAUUUGCUGUUAUACCUCUUUCCUUCCCCUUUUCCUUUAUAUUUUACAGUUUCUAUAUUCCUACAAGAUCAUGUGUCUAUAGUGUAUUAUAGUUACAUAUCCUUAUAUUUUCAGAGAUUCUAUGAGCAUGGAGGUGAGAUGCAGGUUGCUCAAGAUGCACCAUUAAGGCCCUCCAUGGAUAUCUUUGCUGUUGGGUGAGCAUUUGCAGUUACAAGCAUUUUUAUUAAAUUAGGGCAUCAAAUAAAUGGUGAUUGUAUCAGUUUUUUUCCCUUUUAGAAAUGACCUCUUUUCUUAAUUUCUUCAGUAAAUAAUUGGUGAGGUAAAGCAUGUUAAAAUUAGCAGGUCCUGCGUUUUAUCGUUUAUUCUUGAACAACUCAAAAUAAAAAUUUUGUUUUGUGAAGGUGCUGGUUAUUAAAGUUUUUUCAUGUGCUAGAGACUUGGGUUGUAAUCCUACCUGCUCCAAGAAAUAAGGAGUAUUAGGAUCUUGUGAGGUUGGAUUACGAUUGUCCUUUUACCUGAUAUUAUUGACCGUAGAUUUUUCCUUUUGUCAUGGUGGUUGUGGGGAGGGAAUGGUUCUGAAGAAGGCGUUGCAUUGCAUGAGGCUUUCCACAUUGUGGGCUCUAGGAAGGGUCAGAUGUAUGUAACGUUCCCCUUCUGCUAAUGAGUUUGUUUCUGUGGUUUGAACCUGUUAGUUCAGAUGCAUGAAAUCUUUCCAUGGGUGGGGUUUAGUGUUCUUUUCAAAUUUUAAAGCGAGAGAAUUCAAAUGCCAUUUCUUGUAGGAGUUUUGCCAUAAAUACAUCUAAUAUCAGUUCAACCAAUCUCUUAGGUCAUGCACUGGCUUUCUGUAUUUUGUUUUCUGUUUCAUGAUGUGAUAAUUGGUUUAUGGUGUUGUUGCAUGUAUAUAAUAGGUGUGUGAUUGCGGAGCUUUUCCUCGAGGGUCAGCAACUGUUUGAACUCUCCCAGCUUCUUGCUUAUCGUAGAGGACAGUAUGAUCCUAGCCAACAUCUUGAGAAGGUUCUGCCUCCCUCCUCCUCUCUGUACAUCUGUUCUAAUAUGCCAACCAAAGGGACAAAAAAGGAAAAAUAUUGUACUUAAUCUCAACUUGAAGUAUUGACUUUCUUCUGGUUUUGUACUUAUUCGAAAUAUAUUUGUAUGUUUCCUAUUAGCUUUAAAAUUUAAGUUUUCACUUUCACUUGUGUUGUUCUGCCUUUAUGAGACUUCUUAUAGCGUGAGCAAGAAUUAAUAAAUCAGUGCUCAGGUUACUUUGUUUUUUCCUCUUAAAUUUUGUAUUGGUUCUUACUUGUGCUUGACAAGUUUUUUAUUAAUUCAUCUGCUUUGUGAAUACAGAUUCCAGAUACUGGAAUCCGAAAGAUGAUUCUUCAUAUGAUCCAGUUGGAACCAGAGGCACGACUUUCUGCGGAAAGCUACCUGCAAAGUUAUGCAGCUGUUGUGUUUCCAACCUACUUCUCACCGUUUCUGCAUAAUUUCUACUGCUGCUGGAAUCCUCUUCAUUCUGAUAUGAGGGUAAGAUAUUUUAUAAUACAUGAAGUAAAAUUGGUUGUACCUAUUGCUAUUAACAUGAGCCUGGCUGCUGUUUUAUUUAGGUUGCGAUGUGCCAGAGUGUUUUCCAUGAAAUACUUAAGCAAAUGAUGGGCGACCGGACAAGUGAAGAGACUGGAGCUGGGAAUAGUACAUCUGAAAAUGGCGUUAGUGGUUACCCGUCAUUAGAGACAGUUGAAAUACAAAACUUGGACUUGGCAAGGGACUCAAGAAAGAGAGAAAUGACCGAUAAAGGUAUAGUUCGUGAUCAAUACAAGCUUCUUGGUGAUAUUAGUACCCUUCUUGGGGAUGUAAAACAAAGCAAUGACUAUUCUAGUGUCAAGUUGAUGCCUGAAAGUGCACCCAGUUCUGCAUUUUCCCAGGACAUUAAGCAAUGCAGCAUACAAUCACCUGGCGAGCUUCUUCAGGCUAUCUCCAAUGCAUUUAGGAAAAAUGAUCAUCCCUUUUUGAAAAAGAUCACAAUGGAUGAUUUGAGUUCGUUGAUGUCUGAGUAUGACAGUCAAUCUGAUACCUUUGGCAUGCCUUUUUUACCUUUACCAGAAGAUAGUAUGAAGUGUGAAGGUAUGGUUCUGAUUGCCUCUCUCCUUUGUUCCUGCAUACGCAAUGUCAAGUUGCCUCAUUUGAGGAGGGGGGCCAUACUUCUACUGAAGUCUUCUUCAUUAUAUAUUGAUGAUGAAGAUCGCUUGCAGCGUGUACUGCCUUAUGUUAUUGCUAUGCUCUCGGAUCCAGCAGCAAUAGUGCGUUGUGCUGCCCUAGAGACUCUGUGUGACAUUCUGCCUUUAGUUCGAGAUUUUCCACCUAGUGAUGCAAAGAUAUUCCCCGAAUAUAUUCUUCCGAUGCUUUCCAUGCUUCCUGAUGAUCCAGAGGAAAGUGUGAGAAUAUGUUAUGCUAGCAAUAUAGCUAAGCUGGCUCUAACUGCUUACGGUUUCUUGAUUCACUCUAUAAGCCUGAGCGAGGCUGGUGUCCUUGAUGAAAUGACUUCAGCACGCAAGUCAUUAGCAUCAUCCAUUGAGACAUCCAGACAUCAGCAGAGGGUGAAUAAUAAUUCACAGCUAGCACAGCUGAGGAAAUCCAUUGCUGAGGUUGUUCAAGAACUUGUGAUGGGCCCAAAACAAACUCCAAAUAUCAGGAGAGCGCUCCUUCAGGACAUUGGCAAUCUAUGCUGCUUCUUUGGUCAGAGACAGAGUAAUGACUUUCUGUUACCAAUCCUUCCUGCGUUUCUCAACGAUCGAGAUGAGCAACUAAGGGCAUUAUUCUAUGGGAAGAUUGUAUAUGUCUGCUUCUUUGUGGGCCAAAGAAGUGUAGAGGAGUAUCUUCUACCUUACAUCGAGCAAGCUUUAAGUGAUCAAACUGAGGCUGUCAUUGUUAAUGCAUUGGACUGUUUGGCAAUCCUAUGUAAACAUGGCUUCUUGCGGAAGCGAAUAUUGCUUGAAAUGAUAGAACACGCCUUUCCUUUGUUAUGUUAUCCAAGUCAGUGGGUUAGAAGAUCAGCUGUCACUUUCAUUGCAGCCAGCAGUGAGAGCUUAGGUGCUGUGGAUUCCUAUGUUUUCCUUGCACCAGUUAUACGCCCUUUCCUUAGAAGACAACCUGCUUCCCUAGCUUCUGAGAAGUCUCUACUUUUAUGUUUGAAGCCUCCUGUCUCCAGGCAGGUAUUUUACCAAGUUUUAGAAAAUGCUAGAAGUUCAGAUAUGUUGGAGAGACAGAGAAAAAUAUGGUACAAUUCGUCAACACAGUCCAAACAAUGGGAAAGUGCUGAUGUGCUCAGAAGAGAGGAUGGGGAAGUAAAUUCUGUGAAGAGUUGGUCUGACAAGAAAUCAAGUCCUGAUAUUCAGAAACACGAUAUUAAUGCAUUGGAGCAGCAAGAGGAUGGUGAGGCAAAGCUGAGAGCUAUUGGCUUGAUAAGCAAUGUUUCUAGUGUGGUUGACAUUCGUGAUCCCCUAAGCUCAGAAAAGUUGCAAUUCUCAGGCUACAUGUCUCCACAGGUUGGUGGCGUGAAUAGCUUCAUACAUGAUAAGUCCUCAGAGGGCAUACCUUUGUACUCUUUUAGCAUGGACAGGCGAGCAGUGAAAAUUCCUCCUGCAGCUUCUGAUUCUUCAUUGCGUAUGAACUCUCUUGGAAUUGGUUCAUCUUACAUGCCUUGGAUGGAUCCAGUAAACAAAUCAUUUAGCUUGGCUAGUUCUGUUCCUGCACCUAAGCUGGUUUCUGGCUCUUUCAGCAUCAGCAAUGGAUCUAAACAGUUCUACAGAGUGGUACAUGAACCAGAAAGCAGGGAAAGUGAUCAGACAUCAUAUGUUAAUAGUAAAUUUCAAGAGAUGGGAUUAUCUGGUGCAACGAAGGGAGGAUCUUUUACAGUGGAAGAUGCUUCUGCUCCAACUGAUUUAACAGGAUUGCCGUCCUUUGCUCGGACUGCAUCAGUUCCAGACUCAGGUUGGAGACCUCGUGGAGUGUUGGUAGCACACUUGCAGGAGCAUCGCUCAGCUGUCAAUGAUAUUGCAAUUUCAAAUGAUCAUAGCCUGUUUGUAAGUGCAUCUGAUGAUUCAACUGUCAAGGUGUGGGAUUCAAGAAAGUUGGAGAAGGACAUCUCCUUCAGAUCAAGGCUCACUUAUCAUUUGGAAGGAAGUCGAGCACUUUGCACUGUAAUGCUCCGCAACUCUCCUCAAGUUGUUGUUGGAGCGUGCGAUGGCGUGAUGCAUCUAUUUUCUGUUGAUCACAUAUCUAGGGGCCUUGGCAAUGUUGUUGAGAAGUAUUCAGGUAUUGCUGAUAUAAAAAAGAAGGAUAUCAAGGAAGGUGCAAUACUUAGCCUUUUGAACUACACUGCAGAUAAUAGUGCUAGUCAGAUUGUCAUGUAUAGUACUCAAAAUUGUGGAAUCCAUCUCUGGGAUAUUAGAGCAAAUGCAAAUGCGUGGACAUUAAAAGCUGUUCCUGAGGAAGGUUAUGUUUCUUCUCUGGUAACAAGCCCCUGUGGGAAUUGGUUUGUCUCAGGAUCUUCGAGGGGUGUGCUCACACUUUGGGAUCUAAGGUUCCUCAUACCUGUGAACUCAUGGCAAUAUUCUCUUGUAUGCCCCAUAGAAAAGAUGUGCCUCUUUGUUCCUCCUCCAAAUGUCACAUUGUCUAGUACUGCACGACCCCUAAUAUAUGUUGCUGCUGGUUGCAGUGAAGUUUCUCUAUGGAAUGCCGAGAAUGGGAGCUGUCACCAGGUACAUGGCAAUUGUUUUUAUUUUUUUAAUACACAACCUCUGGGGUGUUGCAUGGGUGAUAACUUGACAAGACGUGUUCACACACUUUGUGAACAUUGAAAAAGUGCAGACAAAAAUCAAAAUAUUUGUAAAUUUACUUGUUGGGUUUUGAUGGAGGAAAAAGGUGGUCUUGAUGAUUAAUUUUUGUAAAGGCUGAAAAUGGUUACUUUAGUUUAUUUUAUUUUGUUAAGGAAGUAGUUGUUGUGGUCUCAUACUGCUAAGUCUUAAGUUCUUUGUUGUUUCUGCAGCUAAUCUGAUUAGUUGACAAGCUUAUCCCUAUAUGUCCAACACCCCAUCUUUCCCUAGAUCUGAUCCUAACCAUCAGAGUUUUUCAACAAACUAGCCUGAAGUGACUAGUAUUGAAAAGGAAAUUUGGCUAAGGUUAUGUGAUGAGCACAUGGAGAGUCCUCUUGUAACUUUAUGGAAUUUUUGUCUUAUUUAUUUAUUUAUUUAUUUUUCAGGUAUUGAGGCUGGCAAAUUAUGACAAUGAUAUUGAAAUAUCUGACAUGCCAUGGGCCUUGGCCAGACCAACCGGUAAGGCAAACCUUAAACCAGAUAUGAGGCGGAAUGUCAAUCCGAAGUAUAAAGUUGAUGAGCUGAAUAAUCCUCCUCCCCGUCUUCCUGGUAUCCAUUCAAUGCUUCCUUUACCUGGGGGUGAUUUGUUGACUGGUGGUACCGACUUGAAGAUACGUCGGUGGGACCAUUUCAGGUUAUUGCUUGAAUUUUCCUUGUUCUCCACCUAAUCUUCAUCUUAUGGCAGUGAACUGAUGCUGCUUCUUUAUGACUGUAGCCCUGAAAGAAGUUACUGUAUUUGUGGGCCAAAUUUGAACGGAGUUGGAAAUGAUGAUUUAUUUGAAAUAAAAUCAAGUUUUGGAGUUCAAGUUGUACAGGUAUGUUGAAGUUUUCUAGAUUCUUUUCCAGUACAGAUUCUUUGAACUUUAAGCUUCAAUUCUUUGAUAAAUUUCCAUUUAUUUUCUUUUCUUCAUGCAAAUAGGAUUUUAUUGUGGAGGUAUUUUCUAAAAUAAUAGGACUAGUAGUCUGUAAUUCAUUAUUGCAAAAGAUCAUCUGAAACUUGGUAUUCUCAGGUCAAAUUGUUACUGAAACAAUACAAUAAUCUGAAUAUUAAAUUGUGCUUGUGAGUAAUUGGAAAAAAAGAAACAUGGAAAGUUUGCUUUUAUUUUUGUCCUCCUUAAUAAACAGGUGGCCAUUGUUCGUCUUUUCUAUGUAUUCUUAUCUUAUCCAAUUGCAUCAAUGGUUAGCUUAUUUUCAGUUGCAACCAACAUGAAUGCUGUUCAUCGUUGCAUCUUUUGAAUGAAAAUUUAUGGUAUCGUAUAGUUCAUGUUACUUAUAUUAUCGGUCAAUUCCUAUCACUCUUGUCUUUACGUAUAUCCUUUGUUAAUUUCACAGCAUUUUAAGUCACUUAAAAGUGUUGGCUGCUUACAGUUGAUGUUAUAAUAGGUGGCUGAAUACCUCUUUUUAAUUUAUUUCCUAAGCAUUUUAGGUUUGUAAUGCCAAAAUUAUGUUUCUUCCCAACAGGAGACAAAACGGCGAAAUCUAACACCCAAGUUGACUGCAAAGGCUGUUCUUGCAGCUGCUGCUACUGAUUCUGCUGGCUGCCACCGAGAUUCCAUCCUCUCUUUGGCUUCUGUCAAGUUGAACCAGAGACUUUUGAUUUCAAGCAGUAGAGAUGGGGCUAUCAAGGUUUGGAAGUAAUUUAACCUAAGCAUUAAAGUGCUCUAUUGUACAUAUGAUAUUGAUUUUGUAUAUAGCAUAUUAAGACUAGGAAGUUAAUUUUCCUUUGGUUUUAUUCUCAACCACUUGCCUAUACCAUAUAACUAGCAACCCUCCAAGAAAGGAAAAGAAAGCCCUUUUAGGAUUUGUACAGUGAUCAGUUAUACACUUCAUAAUUUAUUUACUGAAGGAAAAUAGCUGUGGUAUCUAAGUGUUCAUAAAAUUAUCUUCGCAGUCAUUUUGUACUCUUGCUUAUACAUGUAACCUUCAGAGUAUGCUGCCUCAUUUUCUGUUCACCUGGACCUUAUUAUCUCAUUUUCUAUUGGCUACUGGAACCAUCUAAUUGUCUAGAUAACAGUUAUGGAGGUUGUAGGGUACGGAAGGUGUGAUUACAUUUGACAAUUGAUUGGAUAUUAUCCUUAAAUCCCAUGCUAUGGUGGUAUUCUUUGAUAGUAAGAUGAUAAUGAGAAAAAAAAAAAAGGAGCACAAAACCCUAAAUAUUACUCCCUCCGUCCCAUUUUAUUUGCAUGGUUUGACAAAACACACAUAUUAAGAAUUUAGUCAAUAAAAGUUAUUUUGUCUUUUUUUACCCUUAACUCAUUAAGAUAUUAAUAAAAGUUUUUCAUUUAAUGAAGGAUCAUAAAAGUUAUCAUGGGAAAAAUAAUUAUUCACAUGUAUAAAUUUCGAAACCUUGCAAACAUUUUGGGACAUCCGAAAAAGGAAUAACAAGCAAACAAAAUGAGACGGAGGGAGUAUUUUAUUUUUGUUGUUAUUAUUAUCAUUAAGGUAUGUUUUGGCUCUUAUGUGAAAAAAUAGAUUGAAAGACCAGCUACAUAUUAGAUGGCUCAAUGCAUCCUGGUGAAUACCAUCUGAAAUUUGGUUCUCUUUUCAUAUAAACUAUGCUUAUAUUAGAUGACUGUUGGAAUGUAGGCUGUGUGAGUACUAUCUGAAAUUUGGUUCCGUUUUCAUAUAAACCAUGCCUAUUGUAUGUCUAGGAACUCAGUCUCUAUCUUGCUAUUUUUUGGGUUUUACAUUUCACUGCAUCUUAUUUCAUUGUGCUAAUGACCCAAAAAAAAAAAUCCGAGCAACAAAAGUCAACAACUAACAUUAGUCCUAAACUCAAGCAUUAUCAAAAAAGUGCAAUUGUACCGAAACCUUCAGCUAAGAUUCGUUGCCAUUGUACCCAUUUGAUCUAAAGUACACCAUCACUUUUUUGCAAUUAAGUAGAAUUGACAAAGAGUCGUGUCAGAAUUGAUUUUGGAGACGAGUGAUUGUAAAACAUUAUAGUUAUAAUAUAUUGUAUUUCAUUUCAAUUAUGAUCAAAUGGGUAGACUUGCUAUGAAUAUUUAAAGGUCAGGGUAAAAUGGUGUAUUCUGGAAGGUUUGAAUUUUUGACCAUUAAGCCUAUUUAAUUUGGUGUUAUGUCUUGUGAUUUUAUGAAUUGGCGUUGACACUGAAUGUUGCUUUGUCACUGCAUAUUGAGUUUUAAGAGUUUUUCAUAUUUUAGGAAAGUGCCAUUUAGUGAGAGUAUUAUCAUUUCUAUUCUUUUAAUCCUGAAAAUUUCAUGUCAUAUUCCUGUUUUGCUUUGGGUUUCUUAUUUGUGGUGUUUUGUAAUCUAUGCCAAUCCAAACUUCUUGUUUCUAGUGAAUUUUUGGUGUGCUCUGCGGCAAAUUGUUAUUAUGAGGGUAAUUACCUAAUGACCUUAAUGUUUCCUCGUUUUUUUUUUUGGCUUUCUCCUGUCCUUUGCAACUAUUUCCACCAGAAAAUGCCUAUAAAACAAGCGUAGCAAUAUGAGAACAUUUAGUAAUCAAUGCAUACAUCAAAUGCAACAUAAAGUUGCACCAACUUGGAAUGGUAGGAUGGUUGAGUAACAAGGAACUGACCAUGGAUAAGUGGACAGAGCUGCAAGAGAAAGAGGUGGUCAGAUAGAAUAUGUUUCUAGGUAAUAAUAGACUAAAUAAUUUGCUUAAAGUUUAGCCAAGAUAGAUUCUAAUGAUGGAAUUGGCUAGACUUUAGUUGGGUCACAAGGCCUUGUUUAGGUCUUUAGCGUUGGUAUUGUUUUUUUUUUAUGUUCUGCAAUACUGAGAUAAAGAUAUCUUGAGUUUUAUAGUUGACAAGGAUUUUGGUGAUGGAAUCCAAUCCAUACAAUGCUUGCUCAAACCUUUUAUUUGAGUUAAUUGCUGAUGGAGUAUUUUAUUUUUGUUGUUAUUAUUAUCAUUAAGGUAUGUUUUGGCUCUUAUGUGAAAAAAUAGAUUGAAAGACCAGCUACAUAUUAGAUGGCUCAAUGCAUCCUGGUGAAUACCAUCUGAAAUUUGGUUCUCUUUUCAUAUAAACUAUGCUUAUAUUAGAUGACUGUUGGAAUGUAGGCUGUGUGAGUACUAUCUGAAAUUUGGUUCCGUUUUCAUAUAAACCAUGCCUAUUGUAUGUCUAGGAACUCAGUCUCUAUCUUGCUAUUUUUUGGGUUUUACAUUUCACUGCAUCUUAUUUCAUUGUGCUAAUGACCCAAAAAAAAAAAUCCGAGCAACAAAAGUCAACAACUAACAUUAGUCCUAAACUCAAGCAUUAUCAAAAAAGUGCAAUUGUACCGAAACCUUCAGCUAAGAUUCGUUGCCAUUGUACCCAUUUGAUCUAAAGUACACCAUCACUUUUUUGCAAUUAAGUAGAAUUGACAAAGAGUCGUGUCAGAAUUGAUUUUGGAGACGAGUGAUUGUAAAACAUUAUAGUUAUAAUAUAUUGUAUUUCAUUUCAAUUAUGAUCAAAUGGGUAGACUUGCUAUGAAUAUUUAAAGGUCAGGGUAAAAUGGUGUAUUCUGGAAGGUUUGAAUUUUUGACCAUUAAGCCUAUUUAAUUUGGUGUUAUGUCUUGUGAUUUUAUGAAUUGGCGUUGACACUGAAUGUUGCUUUGUCACUGCAUAUUGAGUUUUAAGAGUUUUUCAUAUUUUAGGAAAGUGCCAUUUAGUGAGAGUAUUAUCAUUUCUAUUCUUUUAAUCCUGAAAAUUUCAUGUCAUAUUCCUGUUUUGCUUUGGGUUUCUUAUUUGUGGUGUUUUGUAAUCUAUGCCAAUCCAAACUUCUUGUUUCUAGUGAAUUUUUGGUGUGCUCUGCGGCAAAUUGUUAUUAUGAGGGUAAUUACCUAAUGACCUUAAUGUUUCCUCGUUUUUUUUUUUGGCUUUCUCCUGUCCUUUGCAACUAUUUCCACCAGAAAAUGCCUAUAAAACAAGCGUAGCAAUAUGAGAACAUUUAGUAAUCAAUGCAUACAUCAAAUGCAACAUAAAGUUGCACCAACUUGGAAUGGUAGGAUGGUUGAGUAACAAGGAACUGACCAUGGAUAAGUGGACAGAGCUGCAAGAGAAAGAGGUGGUCAGAUAGAAUAUGUUUCUAGGUAAUAAUAGACUAAAUAAUUUGCUUAAAGUUUAGCCAAGAUAGAUUCUAAUGAUGGAAUUGGCUAGACUUUAGUUGGGUCACAAGGCCUUGUUUAGGUCUUUAGCGUUGGUAUUGUUUUUUUUUUAUGUUCUGCAAUACUGAGAUAAAGAUAUCUUGAGUUUUAUAGUUGACAAGGAUUUUGGUGAUGGAAUCCAAUCCAUACAAUGCUUGCUCAAACCUUUUAUUUGAGUUAAUUGCUGAUGAUAAUUGCAAAUCAGAAGAGAAAUUUGGCAAGAUAGCUUUUUAACUGGAAUUUCAAAAACAUCCACAAUAGUCUUUAUUAGUUCAUAUUCUUUGUUUGUGUAUUGUACAUAUUCAUGUUAGUUCACCGCUGAGGACUAGCGACACUUGUCUGACAGCUCUGGAGACUCUCCAAACUUCAUGUUGUACACUUUGCCAUGACUCUGCAGUCUUAAGCCUCUUUGCUUUUUCAAUGGCAUCAUCAAUACCUGGGAAGGAGUUUGAUCCGUAGACAUUAUGCUUUGCAGGUGCAUAUAUCUGCAGGAUAUAGAAAUAUUAGCUUGAUCCUUCUUGGAUAGUUGGAGCUGUGCUUUCUCUUUUGCAUAUAUGCUUUGAUGUUUUCACAAUGGGCUUUGUCACAAAACUCGUCUUUUUGUGUAUGCUAGAUUUCAAAAAGAAAUUGGUGAACAUGGAAAACAACUUAAAUUAGGGAUUCAGGAAUCAUUUAAGGAAGCACGUACCAAAUGCUUAUACCAUGGCCUACCGGAGAGUCCAUCUUGGUCUGUAAAUGCUCUUUCUGCCAUCAUCAGCCUGUCAUUGAUCUCUCUUACUUUUAGGUGGUCUUUCUUCAAUAUUGAUGUCCAGCCUCUGCUUUCUUCUAUUGCCUGGAAAGUAAUACUUCUGUUUUAGAAACAUUCUUUAUGCCUGUCUUGAGAUACAGAUGCUUUGAUUAUACCUUUCUCUUCUUAUGUAUCUUGGUGGCUGCUUUGGUUAGCUCGUCAAUGGACUUGAACAAUGGAUCAAGGCUUAUGCCCUUGUUUGAGAUCACAUCUUCCAACUCCUUUGCGCUUCUCUGUCACAUAUUAAUUUGAUUUCUUGGAUUAACUUUUGUCACUGAACUCUCAGUCGGAAAUUGUAUACAAUGUUUGUUUACCAUUUCAACUUAAAGAUACCUGGAGCUCAUAUGCAUAGGAUAGAUAAUUAAAAGGUAAAAACUCCUCAUCUGCUAACCAAAGAGCAACCAAACCCCAAACGCUAGCCACUGUGUUUUCAAGGGCAGACUUAAGAGCAAAGAAAAAAUUGGCAAAAUAAAAGAAAAGAAAAAUAUAUGUAUUUUCAGGCAUAGUUCAAUUGACAUUUUAGACUCUUUAUGAUUCAUAACUUGGUGCAAAUACCUUAUAUAGCAAUAACUACCUGUGUGUUGGUUCCUUUUAUGUUCUGAAUGGUUUUUGAUAUGAAUUUCUUACAAGUUGAAUUGCUUCAAAAUUAAUAUUUGUGUAUAAUUGCACAUUCUAUAAUCAAUAUGCUAUAAAUAAAGAAUAUUGUGGAUUGUUUUUGGCUGGAGUAAGAUUUCAUAUUUUUAGAUCCUUAUAGAUAGAAGUUUGAUGUCAAACCUGCAACAUGUCUUUGAAACAUUGGAUCACCAAACUUCUUCAUCCAGAUGAAGUCAUCAUACAUUGAAUGGUAUACUGGGUAACCUGUGGGUGAUUGUUAGCAUCAGAAAGUCAUCAUAUAUGCAUUAGUAUAUGCGUGUGAUCUGAAGUAAAAGAUUGUACUGAGGGGGGUCAGAGGAUGUAAUAUUUUUGUUACCUUCUCCAUAAGACACAUCAGCUGAUGCAACACCAAUAUGUUGCACAAAGGCUGCAUAAUCUGAUCCUGCACGGCCUAAUCUCCCAAUCUUCAUAUACAAAGUACAAAUUAGUGGGUGUUAAAUAGUUUCAAGUUACAUAAUAAGCUGAAAACAUUCACAUGAUAAGAGUCAUCUUCCAGCUGUAAGUUAUGCUCUGUGCAGUAUGAUUGCAGGUAAUAAAAUGUAGUUCGUCUUGCUUGAAAGGUUCAUUAGGAUCACAUUAUGAAGUGGUAGAAUGAGAUUAGGUAAUGUUUACCUCAGGAGAGCUGCUGGAAACAAUCCAUGAUUCGUAGAUGGUCUGUGAUGUGUUUUCUGGGUCUUUAACCUUCACAAAUAAGUACUGAAUGUGAAUCUGAUUGUGAUGAGUGAGAGGGAUGACUUGGUAAUAUUGUACUCCAGAGAAUCAUGCUCAUACAGAUAUCUUGUUUUAUUAUUAUUAUUAUUAUUAUUAUUAUUAUUAUUAUUGUUUUCAGUAUAUCAAAAAGUUUUUAAGGGGAAGGGGGUGCUCUGGUUUGAACUUCUGACUUCCUAUGGUACAAAGCUGACACUUGAUCAUUGGCUUACCAGCAUAAUGGCUUUUGGUAUCAUUUUUGAAAUUGCUUUAUAUAACAGGAAAACAGAUAGAAGAAAUAUUUUCCUUUCGUGGCUUAAAUAUCAUUACUUUAUUGCUUAUGCUUUCUGGUGAUGCUACUUAGUUCUAGUUAUUUGGAUACCUGCUGAGUAGCCUGUAUGAGCAGUUCAUCAAGUUGAGGAGUUGCAGAGGCAUAAAAUCCUGCUCCAUGUACUGCAGAGUCAACAUUUAAGUACGCUACAGACCCUGAAGCUAGCAUUUCUCUGUUAUCUUCAACCCACUCAGUUGAUCCUAUCUGGAAAUAACACUUGGUUUAUGUCACACAUACACACGCAGUUGCAUUCAUACUCAAGUGCAAACACACAAACACAGGGAGAGAGAGAGACCAGGCCAUAUUCCUCAGCAUCCCAGUUGCACAAGACAAUUGUUCUUCGUGGUUUCCAUCCUCUUUUCUGUAGCUUUGCCAAUCUCUGAGCGACCUACAAUGCAUAUCAAAGUUUUGUCAAGGGCUUAUAGUUCUUAUGCUAUUAUUUACUCCUAUGCUAUUAUUUUCUUUGAUUGAGAAGAUAGUUAAUAAGGCAGCAUGUAUUGGAGCCACAAAUACCUCUAGCAUUGCUGCUGUGCCACUGUUGGGAUCAACUGCUCCAAAUGUCCAUGCAUCCCGAUGAUUACCCAGAAGGACAAAUCUAGAAGUAAUUGUAGCAGGGUGAUUAAAUCAUUAGAAGGGGCAUAUAUGUUUUGCUAAUUGCUUGAUCUCUUCUUUUAUUUUAUUUUGCUUUGGUGAUUACUAAAGUACUAUAAAGGUGCUUAAAUAUACAAAUUUAGCAGACAGAUUACAUGUUCUAGCUGUUUAAAUGUUUCUCACCGAUCAGGUUCUUCUGCUCCUUCAAUCACACCAAUAACAUUUUGAAUUGUUGCUACCGUCUGCUUUCCCUGAAAUCUUGUCGAUAGGUGGAGUCAUAUAGAAGUUCUUUUUGAUAGGUAGGCCUUUUUUAAUUUGUUUGUCUGUGUGUGCGUGUGUUUUCAAGUGUUUCAAUUGUAUGAUGCAUGAGAUAUAUUCUAUACUGAAACUAGGUUGUUGAAUACUUACAGUAUAACUGAGGUUUAAAACCCCUGGCCCUGGUCCAACCCUGUAAACUGGACCAUCUUCGCUUCCUUGCCAGUCCUCAUUUGCUAUUUGUCCACUGAUUGAUCUCAUAAUUGUUUCACCAUCAGUUGCUGAUAUUGGCAAUGAAGGUAUCAAUGGAACAUAUCCUCCCUUUUCUACUUCAUUAUCUGAUAACCUCUCGCAACCCUGGAUACUUGCCCAUCCAGGCGUGGUAGGAUCACCAGCACCAUCAUAAACAGAUCCUACCUGAACUCCACUUGGUGGCAUCCACUUCGCGUAUGGAAACCAUCCUUCUCCACUGUCUCCACCGCCAUAGUCUUUCCUGUCUGUAUAGAUGACUGCCCCUAUAGCACCGGCCUCAAAUGCAUUAUGCACAAUAUCUCCUCUAUAAAUUUUUCCAUACCUUGCUAAUACAAUAGUGCCGGAGACAUUCAACCCCAUUUCUUUCAGUGUUGUAUAAUCUUCUACUCGUCCAUAGUUCACAUAGGUCGCAGGUCCACUUACCGUACCUGACUUUGCAUAUGCAUGAAAAGUUGGUAGAACUUCAUCUGCUACAUCUGCAUAUGGAUCUCCAUCAUAUAUCUCUUGAUGGGGAUCGAAAAUGAUCGGCUUUUCUGUAGGUAGGGUUGUUAGAGCUAAAGAACGCGAAACAGGAUAAGUUAGGGACACAUCAUAGGAGGCGAUGUGUGAUUCUAUAUUGUAGGAAUUGAGUGUAGAUAGAACAUAGGCUGCAUCCUCUGCGUUGGCUGGUGUGCCGGCAACAUGUGGCCGACGGGUGAGCAUGUAGAGAUUAUGCGAUAUUGAGGCAUUGUCAGAUAGGGAUUCAGAUAUGUAGAGGGAGUGAUAGUAGGAUUUUGGACAAGUGAAGAGCAAGGAGAAAGAUGUUGCAAUGGCAAGGAAGACAGCGGUGACUGUUUUGAACAUGACGCUUAGUUGUUUUUGGUAACUUAGAGAACAGAGGUUAUACUUACUGCUGAUUGUUGUUGAAAAGGCUAUUGCAGAGGUAUCUUUUAGAUUUUAGCAAGAGAAAGCUGAGUCAAUGUCUUACUGGAGAUUGCAGAGAAAACGAGGAAAGUUAUUUGUCCUAUUAUUCGUGUAAAAAUUGUUUCUGGAGUUGAUAAUGAUUUUAAUAAACAAACUUUAUAUUCUGCUUUCAAAGAAAAAUACGAGUACGACACCAUUUGCUAUUUUGUUAGAUAGUGGCCAUAUACGAUAUCCUGUCAUUUCUUUUUUCUUGCUUUUUGAUUGAUUUGAGACAGGGACCAUUUCCUACCUUUUAUUCAUUAUCCAAGUGGAGGACUGGAUAGUGAUGAACUGGACGUCCCUUUUUCAGAAAUGGAAGGCACGUCAACAUGGUUGGGAUUCCGUCGUCUAUCUAAUGUGACUUGCAUAAAAAUGUAAGGUUUGUGGAUUUUAUCUUCUCUCUGAGUCUCCUAUGCGUCUUAUUUCUGCCUAUUACAGAUCCUUUUUCUUUUUUAAUCUCCGAUUUUGGUUAAUCUUUCUUCCUUCCCCUCUAACAUUGGGUUAGCCCAACGGUUAAGAGAAAGUAGAUGUCAUUGACAUCUUAUCAUCUGAUUGACAAGUCUUUCAAUUCAAGAGCUUGUUUACUGUAAAUUUUACAUAAAAAGACAAGAUACCCUCUCAUCAAUCAGCAUAGGGGUGAUAAGGAGCUCGUUAAAGAGCAAAAUACCGAUUGUUAUGCAAUCAAUUUCAACAGCUUUUUGAUGGAAGUAGAUUACUCAAGUUCUUAGGUUUGAUGCUCCUCUUCCUGCUUAUCCAUCAUGUAGAUAGAGCUUCAAUAUUAUUGUAUGCAGGAUUUGGAGAUCCAAAUUGUCAAUUUUAUAUCUUUUAUUUCUUCUUGGCCUUCGUUAGAUUAUGUAUCACAUAUUAUUACUAAAGUCUAUUAAAACUCAUAAUCAAUCAUUUGAUAGCAUCUUUUCCUGUGAAUUGCAUUUGGUAGUUGCCAAAUAUAUUGUCUAGAAACUAUAGAUAAUUUUUUUUUCUCUCCAAACUUAUGUAGUUUACAAAUUAGCGUUACCUUUGAAUUGUAAUAAUGAUAUUUCUUUAUUUGAUUGGUAAGUAUAUAUCUUUUUGUUUAAUAAGGGUCAAAUGCAUAUGAACUAUUAUAGUUUUUCAUUGUUUGUAAAUUUUAUAUUUAUUAAAUACUUUAACUUAUAAAAUAAUUAAUGAUUUUGAAGAAACAUCAGUUGAGGAUGAAUGUAAAAUUUUCUUGGACCGUACUGGUCUCCGGGAGCAUGUGUAAUCGAGGAUGGUGUUUGGACAGAUGAAGUCACGGGACCAGAUUUGAUUUCAAUUAUUAAUCGUCUUUUUGACAAAAUCUACAUUUUAAUAUCUUCCUAGAUUUAAAUUUAAUGUUCAUUUCUAAAUUGAUUUUACGUUAUUAUCAAUUGAGAACAACUGUCUCAGUUCCAAAGGCCGAUGGAGGGGGCGGAUGGGUGGCCGUGGCCCCCAUCCCAUAACAUAUAAAGUUUUUUAAGAUUGACCUUUUAGAAAGUAAAAAUUUUCAAUUUUACCUCUUGUGUAUAUAUCUUUUUAACUAGCCAAAUCGAUAAUUAAAAAAUGAUUAAAAUAUUAACUUAAUUUUAUUAGCUAAGAUUUGUAGGUAUAAUGUAAUUAUUCGGCAUACCUUAAGCUAUGGGCUAAACAGUCUUCUGAGCCAGCCCAUAUAUUCUUCUUCUUCUUCUUCUUCUGUUCUUUUUAUUAUUUUGUUAUUUGAACUGAGCCUAUCCAUUUCGUCUUAUAAUGAUCUCUCCACCAAACGAAUGGGACCGGUACUGCUACAGUGACACUACUCAAGAAAAAAGCAGAAGAAGAAAAUGCUACUUUUCUCACAGCCAAAAGGUAAAUAUAAAUAAGGGAAAGAUCCAAAACCCAAACACAAAUAAAUUCUCUUUCUCACAUCGCCAAAAUUCUCUACAACAGCUACCUAAAUUCAGUCUCAUCAAACAUUUGUUUCCUUUAUCCAUCUCUACCAAGUGGAGCCUACCAAUUUCUUUUACAUUAACAGUUAAUCACUCUGUGACUUGCCACAAUGCCCUGAAAUAAUGAAGCCAUGUUGAGGACUGUUGAACUUAAAUUUUACUCAGAUAAAGAUAUACGUACCUCAAACUUAAACUUAUUCGUAAUUUAUAAUGAAAAGAAUUAUACUUUUAUAGACUCAAACUCGAACUAGGCUUAUUUAAAUUUAUAAUUAAACUUGAGCGGAUUAUCUAGAUUUAUAAAAAUUUCUUGAAAAAACAAGAACUGGGUUUUCAAAUUUUCAGUUUUGAUUAUCUAAUUUGCAAGCAGAGACUUGCUAAUUAUUAGGCUAAUAAUUCUAUGAUAAUUAUUCUAGAACGAUGAUUUAUUGUUAGGUAAUGGAAACAUAUAAAAAAAUAAUAAUUAAAAAGAAAAGAAAAGAAGAAAAACAACUAUCACUCAUCACCUAUUAAAGAAAGAAAGAAAGAAUAUAUUCACCUUCACACACUAACACAAAGAGACACAUUCACGGGCACUAGAAAUCAACAAGAACAAAAAGCGAAAAAGAAAUUUUUUUUUUGAAGAAACAACGUUUUCUAUAACCAGAAAAGCGCAAUCAGUCUUUGUGGCUUAGAUUGUUUCUCUCACUUAACAUGGAUGUCAGUGGAAGAAGCACCCGUGAACUCCCUUUCUCUCAAACCUCACGUCACUUUUCACCUAAACCCAAGUACUAACUACUAUCAAACCUUAUAUAAACUCUCCCUUCAGUCUUCGCUUUCAUUUCUCAAUUCUCAUUCCAUAUACGUUUACAAAAAAAUAAAGGGAGAGAGAAAGAAAAUGUCAAAUUCUAAACACAUUCCCCGCUUUUUCUUUCUUCUUCUUCUUCUUAUUCUGCUUUUGAACUCAGGGCAGACGGUAGGCCAUACGAAAGGAAUUAGGCCAAAAAAGUCUGCAACUAAUAUACCAACUGUAAAUCAAACUAGAGUACAAUUCUCAGAGCAGCAAUUCAUGAAGUGGGUCAAUUUUGUUGGUAAACUAAAGCAUUCACUUUUUAAAACUGCAAAGAAUAAGCUUUUCCCUUCUUAUACUCUGACUGUAGACAAGAAUCCAGCAGCUGGUGAUUUUACUUCUAUCCAGGACGCCAUUGAUUCUCUUCCUUUCAUUAAUCUUGUUAGAGUUGUCAUCAAAGUCCAUGCAGGAGUUUACAAGUGAGUUCUUUUCUUUUAUUUUCUUUUUCUUUUUUUAUGUUUUUAUCACAACUUGUUAUUGAGAACAUGUGCAAUGUGAUAUAUGUUUUUCUUGAAUUAUUAUUUUAGUAAUUUAAAUUAUUGUCUUAUGUUUUUUGGUGGUCUUGGUUUUGGCUCUGCCUCUGCCAAACAAAUUGGUCUGAUUAUGCAGAAUCAUGGAUUCUAGAGUCGUUUUUGUCUAUAUUCACUUUCAUGUUAUUUCCUGUUGUUAAUUCAAUUUGAGAAAUGGAGGAAAGUGAUUCCACCUUUUGUUUUAUAUUGUGUCGUUUUCCUUUUCUUUUUCCUCAUCUAAUUUGAUGUUAUUUAGAGUUUGAACAUGACUUCACAAUUCUAUAUUCGAUUCCAAUAUCAUCAAGUCAAAAUUGCUGACCUUUUUUCUACCAAAAAUUCUCAAUUGAUCUCUUUGAAUUUUUUUUUUUUUAUUUAUGAUCGGAAUAAUAUUAUAAUUUAUAUGCUAAAUUAGUGAAACUCGUGUCUUUUUUUUCACAUUUUUCUUAACUAAGAAACUUGUUUAUUGGCAGAGAGAAAGUGAAUAUACCUCCAUUAAAAUCCUUCAUAACCAUAGAAGGAGCAGGAGCAGAUAAAACCAUAGUUGAAUGGGGAGACACAGCUCAAACACCUGGAGCUAAAGGCCAACCUAUGGGAACUUACAGUUCUGCAACAUUUGCCGUAAAUUCACCUUAUUUUAUUGCCAAGAAUAUUACAUUCAAGAACACAACCCCAGUGCCUCCACCAGGAGCUAUAGGAAAACAAGCAGUGGCAUUCAGAAUAUCAGCAGAUACUGCAGCUUUUUUGGGGUGUAGAUUUUUGGGAGCUCAGGACACACUCUAUGAUCAUUUGGGAAGACAUUAUUACAAGGAUUGUUACAUUGAAGGCUCUGUUGAUUUCAUUUUUGGGAAUGGCUUGUCCUUAUUCGAGGUAAGUUCAGUUAAUUAUUUGAUAUUCCAUUUAUAAUUAAACAGUAGUUAAGAAUGGUGGUGGGGUUCCAGGGAUGUCACGUGCAUGCAAUAGCACAAUAUACAGGAGCUCUAACAGCGCAAGGGAGAAGCAGUCUGCUGGAAGACACAGGGUUUUCGUUUGUGAACUGUAAAGUCACGGGUUCAGGAGCUCUGUACCUCGGAAGGGCAUGGGGUCCUUUUUCUAGGGUGGUCUUUGCCUAUACUUAUAUGGACAACAUUAUCAUCCCUAAAGGCUGGUAUAAUUGGGGCGAUCCUACUCGUGAAAUGUAAGUUCAAUAGUUAAAUUGUAAAAAAAAAAAAAAAAAAAAAAAAAAAUUAGCAAAUUGUAUGUUUUUUUUGUUUUUUUUUGUUCAAAAGAAAUUUCGUUUCUUUGAAAAAUAACUCUCAAUCAAAACAGCCGUCACGGGGCAUUAUUGCUUUCAGUGGACGUUUUUUUUUAAAACAACUGCUAGCUAGGCUUUAGUGGGCGUUUGGACGGCGCCAUAACAUACACUCGAUAGGUUUUAGGUGAGAUCAGCUUUUUGGAACGCACGGUUUGUCCUCUUUGUAACCGAAUGACCAAAAUACCCACAGAGAUUCCUCGCGUCGUCCACAUGCUAAUCCAUGGGCAGAAUCGUCAAACGGUGAAAAAGGGGUGGUUACAAUUUGGAAGCGAGACGCAGACCAUGUAUAUAUAUCGUCUGUCUUCUUCCUUGUUUAAUCUUUACUACUGCAAAAUCUACGUGUAAUGCCCCUAAAAAGACUGCACAGAAAACCCAGUCCCCCUACCCUAGCCAUAUACAUUACUGCAUCUAUUUGCGUUAGCUUUUAAUUUAGUUUAUGGCAUCUAAUUACCUAACCCUAAAGUUUCCUUUCCCUUCUCUAUUGGCAUUUUCAGGUUGUUUUAACUUAUUUGGAAUUGGCAGGACGGUGUUCUAUGGGCAAUACAAGUGCACAGGGCCAGGAGCUAGAUUUGCAGGGAGAGUGUCAUGGUCAAGAGAACUUACUGAUGAGGAAGCUAAGCCUUUUAUUUCUCUUAGCUACAUUGAUGGAUCUGAAUGGAUCAAAAUAUAAACUCCUAGUCCUAAAUGUCCUUGUCAUGUUAAUUACAUCUCAUCUCAUCUGUAAAAAAGUAAAACUAAAAACCAUCUUAGUGUGAGAAUUUUGGCCUAUAAUUUUUAUACUUUUUUUUUUUUUUUUAUUUGAUUUGAUAAAUUGAGUUUGACAAUGGGCCUAUGAUUCACUUAGUGACUUAGGCUUGGGCCUUUGUACUAAUUAGUUAGGGUUUUUUUUUUUAAUAAAAAUAAAAAAAUUAAAAAUAAGGGCUACUAGUACUAGAUGUUUGGAAAUAAAAUUUGAUCUGCAAAUUAUUGCUGUUUAAAGCUGGAUUCAUUCAGUUGAGCUUAUUCUAUUAUUUAGCUGAUAAAUUUAAUUUUUUCAAGAUUGGAAUUUAUUUUAUUUGUUCAUUUAAUUAAUCAUCAUCCAACUAAAUGGUAGAACGAUGUUUUAAUUCAUUAGGGAAAUAUAUUUAAUACUUAAACCAAAACACUUUUGGAAUUGAUUUAAUAUAUAGGAGGGUACGUUAACCCAAUUCCUAAUUAAGGUCUGCAUAAAAUUUUUAUAGUUUGUUUUUUAAUUUGUAUUUACAAUGCGACUCCAGUCACCGUUUCCAACCCUCUAUUAGAUUUGCAUAAACAGUGAUACAGUUACUGGUGAAGUUACAAAAGCUUGAUAAACAUGUCUAUCUAGUCUUGAAGGGUGGCGAGGUUAAAAAAGGCACCUCUCUUGUUCUUUAGCUGCACAUAAGUUCCUCUCUCUACCAUUUUCCCAUCUGCAACAAAGGCAAUGGAAUCAAGCUUCUUGAUCGUAUUAAGCCGGUGAGCCACCACAAUGGUACUUCUUGCCACCAUUAUUCGAUCCAAUGCUUCUUGCACAACUUGUUCAGAUUGCACAUCAAGUGCACUUGUUGCCUCAUCUAGUAAUAAUAUUGUUGGGUUCCUAAUUAUAGCUCUUGCAAUUGCUAUUCUUUGCUUUUGCCCUCCUGAAAGUUGCACUCCUCUUUCCCCACAUUCUGUCUCGUAUCCAUCUUUUAGCGACCUGCACAAUACGAAUGGAAAAAUCAGAAAGGUGGGUUUCUCUCUAUUUCAUUAGCCUGUUCUUGAAAAUGCAAGCUUUUGAUAUGGAAGAACAUAAACAAAAAGUUAGAAAUAGAUAAGUUACCAUAUGUCUAUAUACUUACGAGAUGAAUUCAUGGGCAUUGGCGGCUCUGGCAGCCUCCACCACCUCAUUCUCGGAAGCAUCGAGCUUUCCAAAGACAAUGUUGUCGCGGAUGCUGCCUGAAUAAAGCACAGGCUCCUGGCUGACAAGCGCGGUCUGCUUCCUAUACCAUUGAACAUCUAGUUGUCUUAUGUCUACACCAUCAACUUUAAGUGAACCACUUUCAACAUCAUAAAAUCUUUGAAUCAAUCCUAUUACUGUUGAUUUUCCGCACCCACUUUUCCCUACUAGUCCAAUGCUUGUUCCAGGCUUCACUUCCAAGCAAAAUUCGCGUAAUAUUAAUGUCUCUGGUCUACUUGGAUAUGCGAAAUCAAUUUUCUUCAUUUCUAUCCAUCCAGUUAAUUUUUCUAGCUUGGUUCCACUGCUAGCACUGUCCCCUCCCUGACAAAGAAAUUGCAAACUAAUUUAAUCAAACAGUUUCCAAAAGAUAAAUUAUAUAUCAAAACUUAAAAACUGUAACUUACAUUAUUGGAAGAGCCUGGAAUUAGAGAUUGUCUGUCAAGAAUCUGGAACACAGAUGCGAUUGCAGUGGAACCUUUUGCUAAAUCAGAAGUCAUGCUUCCUGCCUCAGCUAUAACCUUUCCAGUGCUUACAAGAAUAAAGAAUGUUUUGAACACAUCACCAGCUGAUAUCUCUCCUUUUUCUACUAAAGUCCCUCCAAACCAAAAAUCUAAAGCCCAUGACAUGAAAGUUAGGCAUUGCGCAGAGCCCAUUCCGAUUCCUGCUAGCCAUGAUUUUUUCCUUGCCUCUUUUCUUGGUUCCUCUUGUGCCUUAUCAAAUAAUUGAAGUACUUUUUGUACACUUCCAAAUGAAGUAACAAUUCUAUGGUUAUAUACUGCUUCUGCGGCAACUUGAGUAGAAUGAUUUUGUGCUUUGACAAAAUUUGUUGUCAUGCUAGAAAGCAAAACUUUUCUGGUGUAGAAACAUAGAAUUGUAAGCGGUUGAACUGAGAUCAUAACAAGUGCAAGCUUCCAAGCCACAACUAGUCCCAUGAUCAUUGCUAUGGUAACUGCAGAGGUUGUUUGAACUAAUAAAGAAACUCUAUCUGCGACAAGGGAUUUUACCAUGGUGGCUUCAUUACUCAAUCUUGAACAUAAAGCUCCACUAGAGUUUUGUUCUUCAUCGAACCAAGCCGCCUCAAAAGUCAAUAUCUUUUCUAGCAUUCUCAAUCGGAUUCUCUUCGUUAGCCUCUCACCCAUAUAACCAAAAUUGUAGUGCUGCACAAGAUUCAAGGUUAUAGAAAUCAAGGAAAGUGAGCAGAAUAUUAAGGAGUAUGUGCGCAUUCGAGCAUGGACUUGUUCAUGGCUUGGUGCAAAGAAAGCUGAUAUCAUGCCACCAAUGGUUAAGGCAUAUACAGGUUGCACUGCACCAAAGAUUAUAGCUGAAAGACUUCCUAUUAGGCCUUGCUUCCAUUCAGGAGAGUUCAAAGACAAAAGGCGAGAGAAGGAAGGUGGGGGGUGAGAUACAGGCUUUUUUGGGCUGUCAAUGAUAGGUAGUGGUGAUGCAAAGAUAGCUGGACUUGAUUUUCCUGUGCUUAUCCGGCCACCGCUGCUUCUUGCAACUGAAGACAAAUGUAGUUGAUCAGGGUUUUGUUCAUGGUCAUCACAACUGAACUGCCCUUGUAGCUUUGCUAGGUUAGCAUAGUGUCCAUUUUUUCUCUGGAUCAGAUCAUUAUGUGAACCUAAUUCAAUGAUGCAUCCAUUGUUAACCACUGCAAUGAGGUCUGCAUUUCUUAUUGUAGCUAGCUUGUGUGCAACCACCUGAAGAUGCAUAAUUCAAUAGCUAGCUUAGUUAGACAAUAUUGAAUGAGAUAAAUUUGACUAGCAAUUCUAAUAAGAUCUAACAUAAUUUGAUGCAAAAAUCUAUUACCGUUUGAGCUGCUUUUGAGAAAUAUUUCACGGGUUCUAGUUAUAGGAAGUUUCAUGACAGCUAAACAAUACUCUCACUGCCUAUUUCAAUAGAAUAUAAAAUGAUUCUCCUCCCAUAAAAGUAGUUUCAAUCUUAAUCUCAAAUAUUAGUAGGAUUAGUGAGUAAAUUACCAGUGUAGUUCUUCCCAUGGAGGCUUGAUCAAGAGCAUUUUGGACUAGUUUUUCUGACUCAGAGUCAAGAGCACUUGUUGCUUCGUCGAGUAAGAGAAUAACAGGGUUCUUAACGAUGGCUCUAGCAAUGGCAAUACGCUGCUUCUGCCCGCCAGAUAAAAGUGCUCCUCUUUCUCCAACCUUUUCAAAUUAACCUAGGCAUGUCAGAUUUAAUCUAUGCUGAAAACGUCUAUAUAUAUAAACAAAAAAGAUGUGAAAUUUAUUUACCUUUGUCUCAUAACCUUCUGGAAGCUGUCUUAUAAAGUUAUGAGCAUUUGCAGCCAUAGCUGCGGCUGUGACUUCAUCCAUUGUAGCAUCAAGCUUUCCAAACAUGAUAUUCUCUUUAAUUGAUGUCCCAAAUAAAGCAUGUUCUUGGCUAACAAGACCCAUUUUUCCUCUUAUCCAUUUCAAAUUUAAUGUUCUUAUAUCAACACCAUCAAUCUUGACAAAUCCACCAUUAGCAUCAUAAAAUCGCUGUACUAAAGCAAUGGCAGUGGACUUUCCACUUCCACUUGCACCAACAAGGGCAACAGUUUUUCCUGCUUCAAUUUUAAGGCUAAAGUCUUUAAGGACAGUGGAAUCUGGUCGAGAUGGGUAUGUGAAUUUGACAUGUUCGAACUCUAUUUCACCUUGCAUUUUGUCUAAUACAAUUCCUUUUGUAUCUUCACUAUCAAUUUCUGGAACUCUGUCAAUCCUGUCAAAUAUUCGGGUGGCGGCAACAGAUGCUUCUGUGAAGUACUUCAAAUCAGGAAGUGCAAUUCCAAGGGAUCUGCAUUGCAUAUUUACUGCCUUAAUUUUGACUAACAAACACUCUUAAAAGGAAAAAAGUUAGCUCCUGAAAGUAAAAAAAAUAGAAGCUUUACUUGUUAAUUUGAUAAAUUUGUUUGUUCUUUUUAUGCUUACAAGGAAACAAGAAAUUAACCAAAAGGAAUCUAAAUGUUCUUUUUAGUAGUGCUCUAAAAUUAUCUUUACUAGUAAUGUUCUCCUUUUGACUGCCCUAAAAAGGUUGGUGCCUCUUGAUUAUAAUUUAGGCUAACCAGUAGUAUUUUUAAUAGUAUAUACUUAAGUGGAGGGAGAAAAAAAACACUUUGAAUCUAGAAAUAGUUAUAAUUAAAGAAUAAAAGCACAAACAUGUUCAUCAACAAAUAUGCUCAUGAAAUAUUAAGCUAUGUUCUUCUUUACUAAUUAAAAGGGAAAGUGUUAAAUCUUUGCAUGCUUUCAUAUUAUAUGCAAGAUCAUGCAACAAAUGCAACUUUAAUCCACUUUACAGAUAAAUGAAUAUAUAUUUUCUAGAAAUUAAUAAUGCCUUUUUUUGAAAAAAAAAAUAUUACAUAUAUAGAAAUUCUAACUUUCAAUGGAAUCAUUACAAAUUCUCAUGAUGAAAUAAAGGUACUUUCAAAAAGGAAACCCACAUUUUGAAUGAGGGAUAAUUAAUAAUUAGUACAAGGAGUUUAUCGACUAUAAUAGAGUUCCAUAUAUAUAUAUAUUAAUUAUAAUCAGCAAGAACAAAACCUAGAAUUACACAAAAAAGCAUAGUAUAACCAUGAAUUAAAAAGAAAUUAACUUUAAGGUGCUGUUCUUUCCUUUUUCAUAAUAUAUAUAACCAUGAAUUAAUUAGUAAAAGAAAAUUUGAGAAGGAUAUACAAUGAACAUUCAUUUAAUUAACACUUAUCUUAUCAUUAAUAAAUUUAGCUGCUUUUUAGCUAGUAAAUAAGAUUAAGCAAAUAGAGAUAAAUAUGUUUGAAAGAAAUAUAAGUAUGUAAAUUAGGAAAAAGAAUAUAAAAGUUGAAAGCUACAUACAGUCCUCCUAAUAUGAAGGAAAUGCCAGCAGCAUAUAUCCUCCCUCCACUUUCUCCUUUGUACAUAACCAAAUGACUUCCAUACCAAGCAAUAAAUGCCCAUAUGGCAAAGGAUAGUCCAGUGCUUCCUACUGCGAGACCUUUCGCUAUGCCUUGUUUGAUUCCUAGCUUUGAUGUCAUGUCCAAUAUUGCUGAAUAUCUAUCAACAAUCCUUUUCUCAGCAGUGAAUGCAUAAACUGUCUUAAUAGAGCUCAAGGCCUGCUCAACAAUGGCGUUUGCUUUACCAUACUCUUUAUGAGCCUUUUUGGACAAGUAGAGAAGGUAUUUCCCAUAAAUCAUUCCAGGUAUUAUUAACAAAAGCAAAGUUGGAAAAGCUACUAGAGACAGCCUCCAUGAAAAAUAGGUAGAAAAUGCAAGUCCUGAUAUGAAAACUGUUGCGUGCAUCAAAAAUAUGGGCACCUGAAAAUAAUUUUAAAGCAAGUGAAAAUUGAUAAAUUAUAUAUAUAAAUUAAAUUUCUAAAGGAAACUACAUGCUUUUAAGUGAUUAAUUAGAUCAAUAAAUUACAUAAUAAUAAAUAAAAAUGUUGUACCUUUUCACUAAGUACUUCUUGUAUAAGAGAAGUAUCUUUUGAAAUGCUAUUUAUGAUCUCUGAAGUAGUUGCUUCCUGUGAAUCAAAGAACCCAACUUCUUGUCUGAGAACAGCUUCCAAAUACUUGUAUCGGAUCUUCAAAACCUGUCGCUCACUGGUUUUGCUCCAACAGUAACCUUCUGUAACCAUCAAAUUUAUAUUAUAUACUUGAUUAGAUUCAAACUGAAAUAGAACAAUUAGGGUAUUCUAGCUAGGGUUCCAUAAAAUAAUGGCUCUCUAUUGAAGAUUUCAAUAUUGUGUCUCCUCAAUUGUAUACUAGCUAAUACCACCUUUAGCUCUGUGGAUGCUUUUUGGAAUUGCAACCCAUUAUUGUCAUCUCAUCUUCACACACACCUCUAGCUAGCACCUUUCGUCCUAAGAAAGCAAUAUAUAUAUAUAGAAAAAAUAGAACUUUUGAAAUUACCCAUAAAUGCCAUCGCCAUGACUGCUAAUCCCAAGUACACAAAAUAUAAGCUGCACUGUUAACAACACCAAAAAGGAAAUGUAAGUGUAUCAAUUAGUCUUAAAGCAAGAAAAUGAAAGAGAGAAAGAAAGUUGACUACCUUUUCAACUUCAGACAUGAAAUUGGCUUGAUUUUGUUGGGUCGUUUUAUUAUUACCAUAGCCUAAGCUGUUCAUUAUGCGGCUGGCAAAGACUAAAAGACAGUUAGUUGACAUGCCAUCUCCAAUAGCUCCAAUAGUACCCAUAAUCAUAAGCAACAUAUCAACCCAAUCUGCAUAUCUAAAGAUUAUGGCUAUGGACUUGCUCUCUUCCCUUCUGAUAUUCUUCUCAUUUUUCUUUGGAGAAGCCAUUCUUCUGAUUUGUUUCCAAUUUCUCAAAAGAUGACUGCUUUUUUCAGUAUCUGCUAGCUAUAGCACAUUAGAAAAAGAGAAAAGGCCAAAGAGGUAUUUGUGGCUGACUCAAAGAAAAUGAUUGCAUAUCUUCUUCUAUAUAUACAGGGAGAAUGCGAGCAGUGAUUUUCCAUCAACCAACCCGUGUUUGUUUUAUGAUUAUAUUAAUCAUAGUAUAAUUGCUUGGGGUGGUUAAAUAUAUUAUAUUAUAAUUAAUGUUAUAGUGGUGGAUACUUUCCAUAAGAUCAAAGCAUGAUUAAACCUAACAAAGGUCGAGUAUUUUCAAGAAAGAUGACUAAUUGGCCAUUUUAAUUUGUUUUUACUCCUUGCUUUUUCUUUCAUUUUUGUAGUUUAGUUAUAUAUAUUGUGAUGUGAGAUUGCUUUCAAAAAGAAAAUGUCCCGUCUUGUUGGCUUUUUAAGUUCACUAGUAAAUUAGCAGUCAAGGCAAAACGCUUAAGUGGUAAUCCAGGUUUCAUUUGGCUUUUGCAAUUCUUGCAAAUGCAUAUAUUAGAAAAAUUACAAAGACUAAUAAAUUAUAAGAAAUUCUCAUGGUUUUUGCACAAGUAAUGUAAGAUAAACAAAAAAAAAAAAAAUGAAUUAGCCCUAUUUUUUUAAAGAAAAAUGUCUUUAACAAGCUUAAUUAAUUAAUUAAUUAAGAAUUAAUCUGUAAAAAUUGAUGCAAAGAAAUAAGAAAAGUAAAGGAAAAAGGAGAGGAAAAGAGAGAUUAUUCAGUUGGUUAAACAUAUUACUAUAUUUUAAUCAAAAUGGGUCAGCUAAGUUUGCAUUCUGUCAUCCCACUACCCACAUACAUAUAUGUAUGUCUGUAGCUGUAUUCGUUGGACUUUGAAAUCCUUUGUGCAUCUCUCCAAAUGGGAAUCGAAAUUUUAUAUUAUUUAAUUAUAAUUUAAACCUCUUUUCUUACUUGCCGUUCCUUUUUCUCCUCUUCUUCUUCUUCUUCUUCUUCUUCUUCUUCUUCUUCUUCUUCUUCUUCUUCUUUUCAACUAGUAUCCAAAGAAGAGCUGUAAUAGAGAUCCUCUCUAAACCCUCCCACUGAAAGUAUGAUUAGACAAAUUAAGCUAAAUCGAAAUGAUGACUGAUUAAAGCGAUCUUCCCCAAAAUUCAUUUUCCUUUUUAAAAAUAUUGUUCAAUAACUAUAUAUAAUAAAUUAAUUUCAUUAGAUAAGAUAUAUAAUAUAAUCUCUAACAGAUUGUAUAAAAUAUACGUAAGAGAUUACAUGAAAUAUGUAAUCUCUAGUAGGACCAACAUCUACAUAUUCUAUAAUUAUACACAAAUUGAUGGAAUAAAAUCUAAUAAUCCCCAAUAACCAUAUAUUACAAAAUCCAAUAAUGUAUUUUUUUAUUUAUUUAAAUUUCCAUUACUAGGCAGGAUCCAUUAUGUAUAAAUCAUGUGCAAUGUCUGUUUAUUUUCUUAUUAGAAAAUGUUAUCUUCAUAUAUAAUGGCAUUCGAUUCUUUGCACAUAGAAUAAAGUACCUUUUACCAAAGUUAUUUCUUCAUAAAUUAUUUUAAUUUAUCAAUAUAUUACAGGAUCUUUAUCAAUCAUCAUCACCCUGAAAGGAAAAAAGAUCAAUUCUUCUUGAUGUAUAUAAUAGGUAGGGUACUUUCUUUUAUCAAAAAAAAAAAAAAAAAAGAUAUAUCAUACUAUACAUGAGAAGUAUAUUAGAAAUAUUAUGUAUAAUAUAUAUUCUAUUCGUUGUGAUGGAUUUGAUAUAUUUUCAUUAAUUUAUUUCUUAAUUUGAUGCCUAAUUGCAUAUAAGAAAAGGCUGUUCCUUUUAACUACUACGUUCUGUACCAAAUCCGUUUUUUAAAAAAUAAAAGCUUUGUUUAGCUCAUUUUUUUAUUUAUUUUUUGAAAUAGAACAUAUAGUUAUAACGUUAUAUACCAUUUGAAUUCCACAGUUGUAUAGAUUAAUUUGCAAAUGUCUAUAAAAAACAAUAAUUUCAACCUUUUUUUUUUCUCUUUUGAGUGUGGAUAAUUUGUUUCAUUUUUUUUUUUUAAUUAUUGGCAAAAGAGAAUUUGUCCUUGAUAAAUUAUUAUAUUUGAGUGCCACGUACCUCGGUCUGGACAUGUGAAAAAAAUAUUCUUUAAUUAUCAAUUAUUGUACAUUUCUGGGAUAAUAAAUGAAUAGAAAUUGCUAUCAACUAUCAGUUGGUCCAGUGGAAUGAGGUGUUGGAUCCUUUAAACAACGUUCAGGAUUCGAACCUUAACGUUGUAAAUGUAAAAAAUUGGAUUGGGAGACAUAAUGAGUCUCUGCAGAAUCCAAGUCUAAAUUAAUCUGCUAUGCCAGAAACUAAAUAGUUUAACAAAAUAAAAAAUAAAAAAUGUUAAAAAUUACAUAAACGUGAAUAUAUAUAAGCCGGCUUUUCCGCCAAAAUUUUAGGUAAUUUAAUAAGAAUUGGAUCGUUGUCCAAAUAAUCCCAUCAUUCUCCGUCCAACAUUAGGCUACAAAUCUCAAAGACAGUGCUAAUACCAAAUUAGUGGACUUAAUAAACAAUUAUAGUUGCUGUGAGACAAUGUGUUUUUCGUUAAAUAAAUCGCAUGAAAGCACUACUUUCUUUCACUCUUUAGAGUGUGAACCAAUUUUUUUACCUUCUUUUAAUUUUUUAAUCUUUUAGGUCAUAAUCAAGCCCUACGAAAAUAAUAAUUAAUCUUGGUUUUGUAGUAUUUUUCAUUUAAUAAGCAUGUGAAUCACGUUUUAUAUAUAUAUAUAUGGUAAUGGUAUUACUUUGCCUCAUCUAUUAAUUAAUAUUAUUAUAAUAGAACUGGGGAGGAAGUGUGGCUGCCGGAGAGGAAAUCUGAAGUCUUUGAGCAUUGAAACUUCGUAGAAAACAAUUGCAAUGUGACCUUUUAAGUGCUAACCAUUCCGACAUAGUGCAUAAUAAGAUAAUUAAGCACACGUUGCUUUUGGUCUGUGGUUGGAACUAGGUUUGUUAGUUUAAUGUUCACUAAAUAAGAUUGCAAAAAUUUUUUUUUUCUUUUAAUCACGUGUUGAUAUUCCUUUCAAAAAGAAAAAGAAACCUAUUGAGGGAAAUGAUUUUUUCUUAUUUGGAAAGGGUGAAAAAAUAUCAAAGAGGAAAAUAUGCAAAAUGAUAAUUUUCCUCAUAAAAUUAAAUUCUCUCCAAAUUGAAGAAAAACAUGAUGAUUGAAUUAAGAAAAUUAUAUUAUUUAAUUUGAAUUAGUACUCUCCCCUCCAAAUGAAAACUUAAGUAAAGGAACAUAUUUAGUAAAGUUUUCCCUUUUGUAAUUCUAAAAAUUAAAUAAAAAAAUAUUAUCAAUAAUCAGGCAUGUAGAUAUUUGGGGGAGGGGCUUGUUCUUUCUCUCCUGAUAGUCCCUCCUUUUCUCUUUUUUUUUAUCCUUUUUUAUAUAUUUUUUUAUAAUAAUUUAAUUUUAUGUCUGGUCUUUUAAGAGAAUGAGUCUCUUAGCAUUAGUUCGAAGAGAUCGAUAAAAUCCUAAUAUAUUUUCUUAAAAAAGACAAAAAAAAAAAAUAACUAAAAUUUUGAAAUGAUCAAUGAACAUUAAAUAAAAAUAUAAAAAAGGUGUAUAUGCAAGAUAUCAUGUAAGCUAGAAAUAUAAGUCAUUAACUAGAAGUAUGGAAUAUUCUAAUUUCAUAUUGGCAUAUGCAUACUGGCACAACAAAAGCAGUCUGUGAUUGAUUUAUUAAAUUUAACCAUGAAAUUAGGCUUUACGUGGGUCUUCUUCUUUAAUCCCAAGCCACUAGCUUUAAUUAUCAAAACUAUCAUCUUACAUCAUCAACAUAAAGAGUGAAAAAUAUACACAAAGCUAUGGCUGGUGGGAUUGACUUAACCUAUUUGUUUUUUUUUUAUUUUAUCAAAAUUUUUUUAGGAUGAUCUAUCCAUAGUUCUAGCCAUUUCAUUAGCGUACAAAAAUGUGACAAACAAACAGAAACAUGAAAAUGACAAAAAGCAAGGACCAAGAGAGACUCGCUAAAAACGAGAUUUAAAAAGUGAGCUUUCUAUCGCCAUCAAGCAAAAUAUAAACUAAAUGUCACUUACCUUUAAUUGCAUGAAAGUGGUUGUCACAAAGACACAAGCGAUAUAAAGAAGGUAUUUUUGAAGAUUUAUUAAACAAAAGUUAAAGCAAAACAAUAAUAAUGACUCACAAACCACUGCCAUUGCUGAUGCAGAUCAGAAGACAAUCAGAAGACAAGAGGUGUUUCAGGGGUCCAUGGCUUCACCAUUCCAUAUUUUCUUUUCUAAAUAUGGUCAUGCAAAAGGAUUCCUAUUACAUCAAACAGUCCUUCCUUCCCCAUAAAACCUUUAACAUGUAUACAGAAUGAGAAAAAAAAAAAAUAUAUAUAUAUAUAUAUAUAUAUAUAAGUUCGAAAAAAACUAGUAUUAGUGACUUCUUGACAACAACAGCUUACAUAUAAGUUACAACUGAAAGUGACUUGUUAACCGCUGGUUUCGAAGGGGAUAAAAUCAUACCUCUUGAUGAGUAUCCCUAUAAUGAGAAAAUGAAGAAACCAAUCUUUUUCCAGCAAGGCAUCUUUCGAAUUUCCAUAGUGUGAUUGUGCUUCUACGUUGAAUUUAUAGAUAAAGUCACUCAUCCCAUUUGGCAAUGUUCUUCCUGGUUAGCAUCCCUAUACUGUGGACCAGAAGAGGGUGACCUUUGUCCAGUAAGAAAUGCGAAAACCUGCUUCAAAUUUCCCCUAGAUGGUCGAGCACUUACUGCAAAUUUGCAUAUAAAAACAAGUCGCCUUCGCAUCUCCCACUUAGUAAUACAGGUAUUGUGAAAGGAUUCGCCAUCGUCAAAGGUUCCUAUUGAGAAAUCAGAAAGUUCGAAAAUGCUUGAGAAACUGAAAGCAACCUUCUAAAUUCUUCUGAUAUGAUUGAAGGAGCACACGAAACUGACAGGUGACAGCAAAUCAAAUGAAAUUGACAAUGGUAUCCCAAUUAUAUGUCGGUAUCAUAGAAAAUCCAUUGGCCUGCAAAACUUUGCUAAGAUGAACAAUUCAUCAAGAAGGAAAGUACAGGCCCAAAUAAUACAUGCUGGGAAAGGCAGUAGGAAAUGUUGCACCAACACCGAAUCAGACAACAAAAGAAAGGGUUAAAGAUGAACUUUUCCUCCAUUUCUCAGGCAUCAGAAAUUAUUUUAUCUUUGUGGAAUAUGCAUGCAUCUUACCCGCGUCACUGAAUAAUGAUGUCAAAAUUGCCAGACAAACACAUAUGCUGAUAUCUUCCCCUGCAAACAGUAUAUAAUAAAUACAUCAGCAGUACUCGAACCAUGCGCAGGCGUCAGAUGGAAAUAAAAUUUCUAUUCAAUUCUUCCAGCAAUUCUAGAAAGCACUGGUAUAUUAAUAUACUGAUUCAAUAGUUAAUUAGCUCUACAAGCGCCAAAAACAAUAAACCAACCCAAGAUGUGACAAUCAGAAACUAGAAAGUGAUAAUUACAAAAUGCAAAAAGACAAAUUUGGAAUGCUGCAACUUAAAAAUCAAUAAUUUCAUAUCUCUCCACAUUGAAGCCUAUCAAGCAGUGCGAUUCCAGUAGGCAAGACAGCAUUUACAGAUACUUACCAUUGCAGCAACAAACUAGAAGUUUAUUCCCCUUGCUAAGAUUCACUUUUGCAAAGUUCACUGCUGCAGGAAGAUUGCUUAAUAUGGAAAAUCGAUCAAGUUUUGAGCUCUGCACAACCAAAAAAAAAAAAAAAAUUCAGAAAAAAAGGAAAAUAAAAAGUGUUGCAUUGAUGAAAUAAUUAAAUUGCCAUCUCUUUCCUUUCAUACGCACCACCAUAGGAAGAUGCAAAUAUGCUUCACUAUCUUGUAGACAGACUGAGCAAGAAUUUUGAUCACAGUUCAAGAUACAAUCAACAUCAGACACAUGUGCAGCUGCAAGAAAAGAGGGAAGAGAGAUAGGAAGGAUAUAAUUGAAAGUAGGCGAACAGAAAAUUAAUGAGAAACAUAAGGGUUACUGCCUGUGUACAGAUGGAAAAGAGAAAUAAAGAAGAAAAGGGAACACCACAUAAGGCCUUCUUGAAGAACAUAAGACCCAAAAUUAGUGGAACAUUUAGAAUUUCAACCAAAUGUGUUACCAGAUGCUAAAUUGUUAAACCCCAGGUGAAUAAUAUUAAGAAAUUCCAUCUUAUUAUUCCCUGAAAGAAAUAACUAACACAAAGGAACUUGAAAUUUAAAAAAGAUAGAGAAAAGAAAGACUGAUAAAGAUAAGCCUUAAAGAUUUUCUUCACGUGAAACACAGGGGAAAGCAUACAUAACAAACUUAUUGAACAAAUUGCAAAAUUUUAUGUUUUAAUUUUCUGGACAUCAGAAUAAAAGAUUUUGUACUUCAUAGUGUAUUCCUAUGAUAAUAAACUCAACUCAUAAAUUAGCUUACCGAGUUGAGUUGUACCCACUGCAAGAUUAGUAGAGCCUAGCCAAAACACUGCCUGAUCUUCAUCACACGACUCCAGAGUGCCAUUGUGGUUAUAAAGAUUCAAAUAUAAUGAAUGUUCUAUUUCAGAAAGAUCAGAAGUGCUGUCUGACACCCUAGAAGGCUUCACAGUCACCUGAGGAGCAGUCUGUCCCCUUUGAGCACGAUACACUCUGUCCUUCUCAACAAUAUCAGCUACCUUUUGGUUACACAGAUCAGGACCUGAACUUAUUAUAUCAUAUGCAUGAUGCCAGAAAAGACUAGGGGACAGACACCUUGCCCAACUUUCUUCAUCAUCUCCAGCUCCUGCUAUAUAAUUCCAGCUAAACUCAGAUGUAGUCCUAUGCUGAUAAAUGCUGCUUGAGGAAGACGCUGAAACAAGUAUAAUAGGCGUGAAAUCCCAGGAAUCAUGAUCCGGUACUUCAUUCAACCAGAUUACAGUCUUUUGCGAUAUCCAUAAAGGUCGAAGAGGCUUUUUCAAGCAUGAUGCGAUUAAAGCAAUAUCAGCUCCACUAUCUUCCAUCUGUUUUGUCCACUCUUCUAUACGGUCCUCAAUAGCUGCUUUCUCUGUUUCAGAAACCCAAAGGGGAAGAUGCAAAGAACAGUCCCAAUUCUGCGAAGCCAGUCUUUUAUUUUCAGCAUCAUCAGAGGUAUCCAUCUCCUAUCAGAAUGCGAGACGACAAAUGCUGAGAUGAGAAUGUUUAUAAGUGUUUUGGCCAAAGGUACAGACUUUGAAAAAAGAGCGGACAUUUCAUAAAACAUCACCAGUAAAUGCCUAAUAAUUAAAUGUCAUUAAACAGACUCAGUUCAUUACAGAGGAAAUUGACAUAAUAGAAUCCCAUAGAUAUUGAUGCACGGAAGGACUCAAAACAGUUAUUUCAGCAUCCACUCCAUCAGAAGCAAAAAGAGACUUACCUCUUCCAUCAUCGUCCCAUUAUCACGCAUUUUAUUAAUAUGGUUAAGAAUGGAGCGAUUCAAAACACAAGUCCAAAUGGGGAUUGUUUUUGACAUGCUAUCCGGAAAUCUCUUUCCUUUUCUAGUCGAAUCAACAAUAAUACACCCUCCUUUCUGUCCUACCAUUGAACCAGAAAAAAAAAAAAAAAAAAAACUUGAAACACCGAUUGAAAUUCGUAUCGAAAUGGAAGCAAAAAGGAAAAUAUUCACCUGCAAGCUGGGCGACAUGGAGGUUGAGGCGAGAGGUGUUAAACGACCAAUUAUUUGUGUGGCCAUCUGUGGAUUUGAAGUAGCAAGUACCAUAGAAUUUGGGAGAGUACCAGAGACCACAGCGGAGGUUGGCGAGAAGAGGGAGCUCCGGCCAUAGCUGAGCAAUUUCUCCUACAAAAAUUGAGUCCUCGUAUAUAGAUCUCAAAGCAUUGUAGAGAGUGUUGUCUCGCCGUUUUAUUGUUCUAACUGCUCUGUAUAUACUUAUCUUACCUUCGCCGUCCAUGGAACUUGACAAGGUUUGAUCGGCAACAAUUGUGUAUUCUAGGGUUUAGCUAGACAGAGAUUGAUAAUGAGCUGUUCAACGGCCUGUCGUUUUAGAAAACUGAAUCUGAGAUUCUUUGUUUGUAACUUUGUGAACUGCCAAUUCUCAAAACAAUUGGUUUUUACUCCACGUGAUAGAUACACGUCCAGUCGUUCCACGGUCUCGAAAUGAUUAAUGAAUGAAAAUGAGUAAUCGUUCAUCUAAUCGGUCAGUACAGUAGUAGAACUAGAAAGUCACAUGCUGCAACCACUCGCAUGUCCUUUAAAAACAGGAGUCAACGUGAUGUCGUUUGACGAGCACAAAUAAAUUAUAAAAAAACGGCUAGUAAUUAACCAUUUUGAGAAUUAUUUUCGUUGGUUUUGGGCCCAUCCUCGGUAAUUAAACGAAAUAUGGGCCGUUUAAAAGUGUCAGCCUGCGUGCUGUAAAGCCCAUUAAGACAAGACAGAAAUGUUCCCUGCCCGAAGAAACUACAAACUUAAAAUUAGUAAAUUACAUUAUCAUUAUCAAUCGGAUUAGGCAACUAAAUUACUUACGAGUCAAUUGGUUGUAACUGGAUUCAAAUUCGGACAAGGACUUUUAGAUAGGCAGUUGUUUGUUUCUUUUUUCCAGAGAUUCUGGAAAACCUCGUGUUAAGCUAUUGUUUACAUUCAUAUAACAUGCAUAUUUUUAGAUUUUAAGUCCACUAAAUGGAAUAUAGUUCGUGAGCAUGAAAAACUACUAUCAUCACUAUAGCAUGAAUAUAGUCCAGUGGUAUUAUUCCCCUGCCACUUUCAUAUUAUUAAAACAGCUAGAAACGAUUUAGUAAUUUAGCGGAAGGAAAUGACAGAACAUCCCCCUUAGUUCAGAAAUGACAAGUAGAUAUAAAAUGGACCCAUUUCAUAUUUGAUUGAAUGGCUUGUUAUUCGUCUUUCUUGAGUUUUCUACUUGUAUUUUCCUGAAUUCCUCCUGAUAAUUCCUGUGGAAACCGAUGAUGCUGGAUUGAUAGCCUUUCGAAUCUUUAAGAUGUUCCAAGCAGUGUUAGCACAAUGCCCUGCAGUUGCAAGCACCUCCUUUGUAGCUUCUCCUGCACCUUCACCAUACCUGCUUGCUUGUACAAUGAGCAACUUAUUGUUUGUUUGAACAAAGUAAAUGAGGAAAAGGGAUAAAGAAACUGAAAUAUUUUGACUGUAGGUUCUUGGUCUUACUUAUCAGUUACCAUUCUUGUUGUGGCAGCAGAGGUUGCAGAUAAAGCUUGCUUUCCAGCAAUUUCUGCUGCAUCCAAAAUCUUGUCUGUAGUUUUCAAGAAUGAAAAUUUUGGUCACCACAUAUUUUCUUGGAUUUUGUGAACCGAAGCUUUUCUUAUUUGGAAUAUAUACGUAUAAGGGAAAGUGUAGUUUAUACUCACUGACAGCAUCAAGUGAAGCCAACAGGAUUUCUCCUGGAGCUGUGGCUAGGAAAGCUUUCCCUGCUUGGGAAGUUACCAGGGGUGACAUUACGGAUCCAGUAGCGACACCAACUUGAUCAAGCACAGCUUUGCUAAGUUUUUCUGUCAUCUGUGAUAGACUUCUCACACUAAAAGCAGAAAGGAAAUAAAUAUAUAAAUUAAGGGGGACAUAAAAAAUGACUCACAUAAAUUUAUUAUUGUAUCAAGAUACCGUUUUAUGCUUUCAUUGAUGCUACUUUCAUUUGUAGCCUCUGCAUACUUUUUGCUAUUAGUUCUGCUAACAGGGAUAGCAGGAUUUGAAAUAAUCUCCCCUCCAUUAUGGACCUGUAUUCCAUCCAAUUUUCUUCAGAUUAACUGAGUAGGUGGUUUAUCUAUUUUUCUUGAAAACCAUGGACUUGUGUUUUAUGAAUCAUAUUAAUGUCAGUUAUAGGGAGCAAUAUUCUUGUUUUCCUUCUGUUCAUAAUUUUAUAAAACCAAAAAUAUUUAACUUUAGAAGCAUUACCUGGCUGCUGUAAGUAUUGCUCAUUAUGAAGAUACCUUUGACAAUUUGACCAGUUCCUUCUACAAUAGCAUUUGCCAAAACAUUUUUGUAAUCUUCAAUCCUUGAAGAAAACUGAUUCCAUUCAAUAAUAUUUCUACUUUUAGUUGAUGUAGUACUAGAAAAACAUGAAUUUUCCAUAAGAAAUGCAUCGAGCGAGGGUAAACUGCUGCUAAACUGCCCCGAAAAGGUCACCCCAUAACUCAAAGGGUCACUGUCUUUCAUAGGUAAAGAAAACAAGUAGUGAACGGAAUCAAGCUUCACAACAGGCUCAUCUUUUGUUAAUGGCCACUGAAGAUCAUUACCAACUUUAAUUAUGUUAGCAAUACAAACACCCUUAUCAAGGAUUUGAACAAGCUCAAAAUCGCCUUUUGCUAAAUCUAGAACUCCUCCUUUAUCCAUCAGAUAAACUAUGCAUCCUGGAAUCUGCAGUAGAACUUCACGGUUGAUAUUUUUGGUUUUUGGGCUCUUUUGUUUUGAUGAAAAAGUGAGUUCAGGUUUACCGCGCCUGAAAUAGGCCAUUGUUGCUAUUCUUGCUUUCUCUCUUCAGGAGAACAUAAUUGAUAUAUAUGGACAAGAUAAGAAGAUAGGCUUGACAAAAAAAAAAGAAGGUUUAAGCUACAAUUGAUUCUGCAACUUUAUUACAUUCGGAGGAAUAACAAGUUUAGCUACUUUUCCACCUUUUUCAAUAACUGAAAGGUAACAUUGAAUCUUUUUCAGCUUAUACAAUUUUUCAUAUAAUUAAAUUAUACCAUGGGAUGCAAAUAAGAUUAUGGAUUUCAAAUUAUAAUUAUUGAAUUAAUGCUCUAUUUCAUUAUUUUCAAAUUCUAUAAAUAAUACAUUUACUUCUUAUUUUCUAAUUCUGUUUUUAGCUGCAGUCUUUAGCAUUCCGGCAGAGACAGAUGAUGCUGGAUUGAUUGCCUUUCUUAUCUUGAAUAUAUUCCAAGCAGCACAAGCACAAUGCCCUGCAGUUGCAAAUACAUGCUCAGUAGCCUCGCCAGCGCUUUCACCAAAUCUGCCAAAUCAGGAAUAAGAAUAAUUACAGAAAGCUCCGGAUAGGAAAUUUAUUAUAUGACAAAGAUGAAUCAAAAAAUAUUUAAUUUACCUAUUAGAGACCAUUCUAGUUGUAGCUUUUGAGGUAGCAGAAAGAGAUUGUUUUUCAGCAGCUUCAGCUGCAUCUAGAAUCUUGUCUGUAAUUUACAAAAUAAAAACAAUUACUCGUUAUGAAGGACUUAAAUGAAAAAUUCAUAUAUUUAAUGAAGAUUAUGGACAAGUUUAAUUUGGGUUUCACUUACUGACAGCAUCAAGUGAAGCCAAGAGAACUUCUCCUGGUACCAUAGAGAAGAAUGCUUUCCCUGCUUUGGAAUUCACUAAUGGUGUCAUUACUGAACCAGCAACAAUGCCAACACCAUCAAGCGUGGUUUUGCUCAGCUUUUCUGUCAUUUUGGACAGCUUUCUCACACUACAUUAUUAAUAGGAGCAAUCAUACAUUUGGCGAGUUAAAAUUUAAAGAAAAAAUAAUGAAUAAAAAUAAGAAUACAUGUUCCCAUUAUAUUUUGAAAUAAAACAUUAUUCUUAUCUUAGGAUACCGUUUUAAGCUUUUGUUGACUUUGCUCUUCUUUGCGUUCCCACCAUUAGUACUUGUAUUUCUGCUAAUUUCUGUAAUUUUGGCACCAUUUUUCUCCUCUGCAGCACGAGUUAAAAUCAUUUCUCCUCCUUUAUUUACCUGCAAUUUCCCAUCUUUCUUUUAGAAUAAUUAUCAGAUAAUUUGUGGAUUAUAAAUUUAAUUAUGCUACAGAAACAGUUAUAAUUAAAAUACUGCAUACAACUUCAUAAUAUUCAAUUCGACUGUAAUCAUAUAAAAUGAAAAUUUUAUGACUUUUAAGUAUUAAUUUUGUACUAAUUCAUUAGCUUAAAGUUCUCCCCAUGCUUUAAUUAACAAUAGAUUAAGCAAAACAAACCUUGUUAGUGUAAGCAUUGCUACAUUUGAAGAUCCCCUUGACAAUCUGACCAGUUCCUCCUGCAAUAGCCUUGGCCAAAAAAUUAUUAUAAUCUUCAACACUUGGAGCAAAUUGUUUCCACUCAAUAUUAUUAUUUUUACUUGUACUUGAUGAACCUGACCCGGAAAAGCAGGAAUGCUCAGAAAGAAAGGAGUCCAAUAAGCUCAAACUGCCACUAUAAUGCUCCCAGAAAGUAACACCAUAACUCAAAGGAUCACCAUCUGUCAUUGGCAAAGAGAAUAGAUAAUGCAAAGCAUCAAUCUUAACUACUGGUUCAUCUUUUGUUAAAGGCCAUUGAAGAUCAUCACCAACUUUAACAAUUGUAGCAAGAGAAACAUUAUCUUCCGAGAUUCUAAUAAGAGUAAAAUCGCCCAUGGAAAGUUCCAGAGCUUCUCCUCCUUCCAUUAGAUGAACUGUGCAUGCUGGGAUUUGCAAAAGAAGUUCCUGUUUGAGAUUUUUGGGUUCUGGGAUUUCUUGAAAUGGAAAAGUAGCUUCUGAUGAGCUAGCUCGCAUUGGGGCAGAAGUGGUUUUGGAAAUUCUUGGCCUGAAACAACCCAUUUUUGAAAAGGGAUUUUCCUGAAGAGAAAGCUACUUGUGAUAUGAUAUAAGAAGACAGAAACAUAAAAAGAAAAGAGGUAAAGGGCAAUGGUUGACAGAGAAGCCAUGCUGUAAAUAUCUUUUUUUUCUUUUUUUAUUUUUGGUUUAUAAUUUUCUUGGGAGUGCUGCUGGUGAUUCUUUCUUUCCUGUUUGUGACUUUAUUCUAUUCCUGAUGGAUAAUUUUGCUACUGUAGACCUUUCGGUGGAGAAAAAUAAUGGGUGCUUUGACAAACAGAGAACGAGAUAGAUAAAAAAAUAAAUGAGAGGGAAGUUAUUCUUUCCCUUGUCCGUUCCUAAAUUUACAUUGAUCUGAUUUUGAAAUUUUUUUUUUUUUUUUCAUUUCAGAGUUGCUCAAUUUAAUCACAGACAAAAUUUAACUGUAAACACAGCUCAUAAUCCAACAAUAAUUCCUCUAUGAGUAAACGACCAGUAGUUUAGUGGGUUUGUCACAAUUUUCAACAAUAAUUCCUAAUGGGCUUUAUUACUGGGCUGAGGCAGUCUCUCAUCCAAAUUACUGUUAUCAAGUCCGGCCCACAAAAGCUCAGGAACAGCAACCAAACUCAUUCACAUUCACUGUCACAAGCAGCAUACGGACACAAUGAUCGGAAGAAAACAAUAAAGCAGCAGAAAUUAAUCAAGAAACAGUUCGCUGUAACAACUCAAAAUCUCACAGUGUUGUGUUAACUUAUACCUCCAUUUGGAUUUUGGUUUGGACCGCUCUCCUUUUUCUCGGAGUUUCUCAGUUGCCAAACGCAUUUUUUUUUCCUCAAGGUACAACAGUUUCAAGUAUGAAAUCAACUAUUUAAUUGGCAUUUAUUUUUGCAUACUUUCUUUUGUUUAAUUAGUUGUUAAUGGUGCUGGGUAUAGGCAUUAGGCCCUUACAAUGUGUUUUUGUUUGGUGGGUGUGGUUUUAGUGCAGUGGAGGGAGCUGAAUCUGAGAUAUGGUUGUUGCUGUGCUAGUACUGAUUUUGGGUGUCUUAUUGGGAGGCUUUAUUUUGAUUCCUCGACACUUGAAAUCUUGUAAUCUUUUUUGUUUCUUUUCUUUUCUUUUUAUUUUUCAAUUAAUUAAGCGAACCUUUCAGAGGGAGAUUGAGUUGCUAUGUUUUGAUGGGUAAAUCUUUGUUCAAUGCAGCCCAAACGGAAAAGGUUCACUCGAAUGCAAGUGGAACGAAGGUACGUCUGAUACUGAUAAUAUGAACUUCAAAGCGUUCUUAAAAGUACUUGAAAUGCUCAAGCACUCUGAAAUCUCUAAGAUUUUAUGAUUUUUUUGAUUGGCGAUCUUUCAAGGGAUAAGGAAUUUAGCCAUUUUUGUUUAUUAGUUUUGAAAAUGAAGGCUUUUGGAAUCAAUCUAAUGCACAACAAAAGAUGCGAAAAUGCCAACAUUUCUGAUGCUACCUGAAGAAAAAUAGUAAAUUGAAGCGUUUCAAGUUAUGGAUCUGUGCAUGCUUUUAGAGCUUGAUCUGUACUCCUUUUUUUAAACUUAAAAGAAUGCAACUUCUUUUUUUUUUUUUUGUUUUUCUUUUGCUAAAAGGUCUCUUAUUUGCUCUGCUCUGAUAAAUAGUUUUGAUUAACUGAAUUCCUAACCAUAGACGUAGCUGCUCCUUGAUGGCAUUCUGUCCUGUCUAAAUGAUACACCCAAUUAUAAGCCCACUGAAGAGGUUCUUGAUACAAUUAUAUCCUUCAGCAUUUUGACAUAAUCAGUAGCUCUUAUGAGGUGAAAGGCCAUAUAAUGAAGGCUUAAAUUGGUUGGAUAAGCUUUAGAUUCAUUGAUAAUUUCUGUCAAUUAAAGAGUAACAUUGACGCAUAUUUGGUUUGCUUGUCAAAUAUGCCACAGUUUUUUUGUUUGUUCUGUAAUUGAAGUGUUUUGAUUGACUAUGAUGUCCUCUUCUUUCAUUCUAUGGAAAGGAGAGAAAGGCAGCUAGAAGUUGGAAACAGAGAGCCCGAGGGGACAUGGUUUGCUUGUAUUCAUAGUAUACAGCAAGUUGAUAAACAUGAUAUCUACAUUGCAUGAUUUGAUGACAAGGUUUAAUGUGCAUCACGGAAUGUGCAUUUUACAAAGCUGCUUAUAUGCGGACCCCAAAUUUGUGACCAUAAGUGAUAAGUUAUCAUGAUUGGUGAGAUAGAGUAGGACCUACAGGUUGAAGUUGUUAUUCACUUUUUUUUUUUUUUUAAAUCCAAUAUGCAUUUAUCCAGGUUGUAAGUGUUAAUCAACUCUUUAUGUUUUGAAUAAAUUUUUUUCUUGUUCUUAGGCAUCCAAAAGCUACAAUAAAGCUGAAGUAUCUAAGCAUCAUAAGAGAACUGACUGUUGGAUAAUUAUCAAGGACAAGGUAUUUUCUUUGUUUUUAGUUUAAUCCUGCAUAUGAAACUCAGAACUGAUUUUUCCUGUUGAUAAAAUGUAAUGACACUUGUAGAUAAGACCUUCAUCUUUUAUGCCUAUAGGUGUAUGAUGUUACAUCAUAUGUAGAAGAACACCCUGGUGGCGAUGCCAUCCUGGCACAUGCUGGGGAUGAUUCAACUGAAGGAUUUUUUGGGUAUGCAUCUGUCAGCUGAAACAAUUUCGUCCUUGUUACUAGUCAGUCGGUCAAAAUCCUCUUUAAUUUCAAGUCCAUAAAUAUGUUCAACGACCGUGAAGUAACUGUUAACAUCAAUCUGCUAAUGCAUUGAAUUCUUUGAACUGAUAACAUUUCGAUAGGGAUCUUAGGUGGGGUUGGAAAUAUGAUAAUGAAACAUUAGUUCUCCUAAAUGUUUGCAAAAUCUGAUCCUUUCCCUUGCCUAAAUGUCUUGUUGCACUGUGUUUUAAUUGGAUAGUUCGCCUCACCAUCUUUUCCAUUUUCAAUUCUAUGUGCAGGCCGCAACACGCUACUCGAGUCUUUGACAUGAUUGAUGACUUCUACAUUGGAGAUCUAGAGCAGUAAUAAAUUGCUGGCAUUGGAUCACAGAUUAUCCAGUGAAUUGUACUCGGAAAAUAUUAUUCUUUUGUUGGGUUUCAUGCCUUCAGUGUGACAAUUGACAUACUGAUAUCUUUCCAUCAUCAUGCACAUUUUUGCAACCAUCUCCUAUUUUUGAGAGAUUCUCAAACAGUUCAUUUGUUUUCAUAUUUUAAAUUAUUUUAUAUAAUGUUUAAUAGUAUAUUUAAUUAAAUACUGAUUCAACCCCGAUCGACCCUUUAAUCUUUAACCCUUUGCAUUCGCUAGGUCAAUGACCUGACCGGAUUUGAAAAUCUCAAGUAUUCGUAAGAAUGUAUAAGGUGAUGAUUAAAAUUAAAUAAAAAUAGGACUUUUCAAACAUAGACCUCUAUUUUCCAAGGUGAACUAAAAAUUUAUCCGAAAUGACUCUGCCUUGCAGACUCGCAGAGUAUCAUUUUGAAAUUUGAAUCUCUGUUAACGGUUACAUUUGACAUUAAGAUACAAACUAGAAUAAAACUAGAAUGAACAUGGUUAAUAGAGAACUUAGGUGCAGCAAUGACGAGGUUAUGAAAAUAUUGCACAACAGAAAAUUUUCAACACUGAUUUUUGAUUUUUUUUUUUUUUUUUUAACUGUGUAAAUUACAUAAAUUACACAACAAAUCACCAAAAAUUACAAAAUCAGCCCAGACAGGAUGCCCUAAUUUGAAGAAUUAAAAUUGAUUAAAUGGAGAUUGAAUAAAUGACUAAAAUUCCUAAAUCUCUAAAAUCAACCAAUAAUGGACUAGCAAUUUAGCCAACCCUUUCUGAGACACAACAAUUUUGUUUCCCAAACCCUAACUGCCCCAUUGGAUAUUUGAAAAGCCACAAGGAACAAUAACAAGAUUUUUUCCACUGAAGCUUCAAUACCCUUGGCCAGUUUCUAACUAUCAAAUUUCUUAGGUUGUCGCCACUGUGCCAAACUCUUUGCCAGAGAGCCAAGGAAAGAAGCUUUCGGAGGAGCUCCCUUCUUCCCAUAUAAAUGUUUUCCUCCCAAGUCUGUAUAAAUUGGACCCUUGCCUUUGCUUCUUUCAAUCUGCACAUAAUAAAAUUUGCUGCUAAGAAACCGAUUAAACCAUCAAAGUAGAUAAGUUUUGCUUCUGAUCUAAGGAAAAAUUGCUAAUGAAGUCAUUUAUAGUUUCAAGACAGCAAAGUAUCAAAACUCAAACACUUCUUUUGUUCUUCAAUGAAACUUCAAGGUUUCAAAAAAAAUUAAAAUGUAAAAAAAAAUCCUUAAGACAGAAUUUAGACUAAUGAACAUAUCUUUUGCUGCUUUCUAGAUCCUUUAGAAAAUUGCAUUUGCUUGAAUACAAAGCAAUAAUAUCACCCUUGAAAUUAGAAGUAUAAAAUUUCGAACAUAGUCCCAAAAAUGUGGCGGUAAUACAACAUGCAAUUUGGGAAGGAAAAAUUAGUAUUAUGAUAAGAGAAGAUUUAAAUUCUAAAUCAAAAGCAAUUUGAGAAGGAAAAAAAGAUAAUACUCUAAAUUCACGAAAGGAUAAAACUAGCAUACCUUGUUUAUCUUUCCAUCUUUCAAGUGGUACCGUAUGCCAGACCAAUUAAUAGACUGAGAGAAGUGUGAACGGAAUGCAGAUACAGGAUAUAAAAAGUUAUCCACCAACAUUGCAAUAAAUACCUGUUCCAUUGCAGAGCAUAUUGUUAACAUUAAUCGCAAAUUAUAAAUCAAGACGCCCCCCACACUUCCUAACCAAAAUAAUGUUUGGGAAACAAUUGAAAAUUUGAGCUUUUCUGUAAUUGCUAGCUAUCAUUAUAUUUCAAGGAAAAUCAUUGAAUGUCUUACACCAGUGGCUUAACUUAUAUCUUUCCAGCUAAACUUCAGGAGAAAUACUUUGGAACAACCAGUUUUAACAAGUUGAAGAAAAUUAAAACCUCCCACCUAAAUGAACAAUCCUAUGAACUAAAAGAAAGUCAAUUUAUAUUCUGGACGUAGUAAUUUUAAGUAAAGCAGAAAAUUAUCAUAACAAUGUCAAAUGCUUGAGAAGACCAAAAUUCUUUGCAUAAAAUAUGACAUCCACAACGAAGUUUACAAAGUUCUGCAGCUGCACUGGAAAAACUAGAAAUACUUACAAGGACCCAGUUAUAAGAAGCUAGAGAGAGCGGAGGUGCCUCAGGGGACAGCAUGUUGCAUAGUUGAACUUCUAUCCUUGUCAAAUUCCACAUUGAGAAAAGUUCUGUAAAUGUGCAUACAGCUAGGCAGGUGACCAGUAACAACCCUGUCAAAGCAUUUUGCAGAGCUUUAAGAAUUGACAAUGCCAACUCUCAAAUCAGUUAUAGGCUCUAGCCUUAUAUUCUCAUUUUUAAUAUAAGUAACACUUAGCCAAACAAAUUAAAUUUCACAUAUGUGGAAGUGCAAGGAAAAAAAAAAAAGCUUAGUUAUCAUUCUGCAAAAAACAAAUGUCUUCUUAAAUAAUAGUAAGUAAAAAAAAAAAAAAAAAAAAAAAAAAAAAACUAGAGUGACAUUUCUGGUUCCAAAACUACAAAUAAUCACCCAUUUUGCUGUGUAAUUUCUUCUUUCUUGAAACACCUCAAAUGGGAUGGGCAUGUAUUGAAAGUUGUAAUUGCAAUGUAACAUUGGUUACAGUUACAAUAACAGGAGCAAUGGGAAGCUUUAUUCACAGAUGCUUCUUGAAGCCCCACCAUACAUGUUCCAUGUAAUGCAUGGAAUACCGCCACCACUUUCCUCAGACACCAAACCUCCAAAAGGAGGAGCAGAGACAGAUUUUUCAUCUGAAUGAACAUGCACUGUGUACUCUUUAUGGCAUUGACAAGUGAACCAACAAUACAACUUACCAGAAAGAAAAGCGAAGUAACUCACCGUUAGAAACAGAGGCUGCUUCCUCGCUUGCAUAUCCUCGUAUAUAUAUUCGCAAAGCUGCUGCAACAUGAGUCAUGGCCAUAAAGUACGGCGCCACAAACCCCCAUGACAAAUAGCAAUGGGAAGAAAAUAAUGCACGGUUCAUUAACCAAUUAACCUUCGAUAUAUAUGAUUCCAAAACAAAUGUUUGCUUCCUCAGGUAAUUCCAGUACCUAGACAAAAGUCGAUAAGCAUGGAACAAAAAUGUAGGACAUUGAAAAGUCUAACCAAUUAAUUAUUACAAACCUUGAAAAACUAAGAUCACUAGCAAGGGGAUGAGGAAAAACAGCAACUGGAGGUGAGGUAAUUAGCCUCUUGUGAGCCCCUAGAAAGAGAUGAUCAAAUCAGUCAUAAAAGGGGGAAAAAAAGGUUGAGAACCUAUGCUUGCAGAAAAACAUGCCACAUAGAGACUAAAAGAAAGGCAGCUUUUAGAACUACAUCAGCAAAUUAAUUACAACUUUAUUACCAGCUAGAGCAGCAAGAG